RNAcentral lists this long non-coding RNA (164326 nucleotides) under Vitis vinifera (wine grape). RNAcentral describes it as "long non-coding RNA (VVIN_LNC001392)". Lineage: Eukaryota; Viridiplantae; Streptophyta; Magnoliopsida; Vitales; Vitaceae. The record is from RNAcentral.
CACAAUGUGGUGGCUUCUCUCCCUUAGGUGGUUUGCCAACUGGGGUUGGUGGCUUGUGUUCCGGAAGUGGCUUCUCUUUGUGUUCAGGAGGUGGCUUCUCCACUGGAGGCUUGUGUUCAGGAGGUGGCUUCUCCACCGGAGGCUUGUGUUCAGGAGGUGGCUUCUCCACCGGAGGCUUGUGUUCAGGAGGUGGCUUCUCCACCGGAGGCUUAUGCUCUGGUGGUGGCUUCUCCACCGGAGGCUUAUGCUCUGGUGGUGGCUUCUCCACCGGAGGCUUAUGCAAUGGUGGUGGCUUCUCCACCGGAGGCUUGUGUUCAGGAGGUGGCUUCUCUACCGGAGGCUUAUGCUCUGGUGGUGGCUUCUCCACCGGAGGCUUAUGCUCUGGUGGUGGCUUCUCCACCGGAGGCUUGUGUUCAGGAGGUGGCUUCUCCACCGGAGGCUUGUGUUCAGGAGGUGGCUUCUCCACCGGAGGCUUGUGCUCUGGUGGUGGCUUCUCCACCGGAGGCUUAUGCUCUGGUGGUGGCUUCUCCACCGGAGGCUUGUGUUCAGGAGGUGGCUUCUCCACCGGAGGCUUAUGCUCUGGUGGUGGCUUCUCCACCGGAGGCUUGUGUUCAGGAGGUGGCUUCUCCACCGGAGGCUUAUGCUCUGGUGGUGGCUUCUCCACAGGAGGCUUGUGUUCAGGAGGUGGCUUCUCCACCGGAGGCUUAUGCUCUGGUGGUGGCUUCUCGAAUGGGGGAUGCGUAGGGUAAUCAGCUAGUGAGGGGGCGGUGAGAACCACCAGGCCAAGCAACACUACUAGCAAGUAUGUAGGAGACAUCUUUGGGUUUGGGCUCAGAUGGUGCAAAACUAGGAGAAUUGGCUAGCCUUUUAUAGCGGAUCGUACCCAAUAAUGAAAUGACACGUGUCAUUAUGACCCAUGUGUCAUGUGGUCGAUUUGGGUCCUACAGUGUUGAAAACUUCGACAUCCACUUUUUUGGCCUUUUGCUUUCUCUACAGUCGCCUUGCUUUUUCCCUCUUUUCUUUUGUUUUCCUCCUGCCCCAUUCUAUCAACUAAUCACAAUUAUGUAGUUGUUUAAUUCUUAAAUGAGAUAUUAUCCGUCAAUCAUAUUAUCUUUUAUCAAGAGAGAACGGAGUGAAAAGUGGCAAUCCAAAGAAAGAAGAUCCAUAAUGCAGCUGUAAUUUUAUCGUUUACUUUUAUCUCUAGGACCACUGCAUUUUUGUUGAGAGGUGCAAUAAUACACGUCUUUAUCUGCCAUUCAAUGUUUACAGUAAAGAGAGGGCACAAAACUCUUCACUGCUCUGCAUGUGCCCCAAAAAUGCAAUUGGACAAAUUAUGAUUUGCAUGCUAAAAAGAGGCAAAUGAGGUUAAUUAGCACCAAAAUUAUUUUGUUUUCUGGACACCCCGGGGCCCUUUGGUUGGUUUGGGGGUCAGAAAAUGAACAUCAUAGGGGGUUUUUCCCUAAUGUGCAUUUGCAUUUGUAUCUGAUGGCUUUAACUCGCCUUGUUACUACAAAGAAAUUGUCACAGAUAGGAACUUAUUCCAGGCUGAGUAUCUCCGCAUGGACCCUAUAAAAGAAGACAAGUCAUAAUGAACAUCUAACCUUUGUUCAAUUUGAUUCAAUGCCCCUAUUGUGUCCAUCUCACAAAUCUGAAUUAUUAUAUCCAUUGAAUACAUAAAUUAAUGAAGAAAAUAUGAAACCCAAGAUACAUCUCUGCACAACCUCAACCCUGGUUGCUAUGUUUCACUUCUAUUCACAUGAGGAUAUUGAUUACGGAAUAAGGAAACCUAGCAAGGGUUUACUCGGCUCUGGUUUGAUGCUAAUUGCCAAACUUGCAACAAGCCCUGAGUUUGACACCUAAUCGAUGGGCGAAUUAAAAGUCUCCUCCAAACAUAUAUUCCACAGCUUGAAGCUCACAGAAGAUGCUAUACAGGCAGGGAAAAACCUUCAGAGUUAGCUACCAAAGAUAAUUAUCAAGGAGAUAUCACCAAGAGAAUUCCAUGGAGUCUGAAUCAAAGACAAAUUGCUCGCUCGUGGGGGUUCUUACUUAAUUUCUUUUGGGUAUAACUCACUGAGGGCACUGGCUUUGUUAUUUGCAUUUCGCAUUUAGAGUUCUGUUCUGGAAGGUUUGUUCUGGAAACAUAUAAAAGGAGCAUCAUUUUGUUCUAGGGUAACCCAUAGUUGUGAGUGGGUCCAUUUGCAUGCUACUUAGUUGAAAAGUUGGACAAUUUGCUCCGACGCCUACCUCCUGGAUUCCAUGCUCGGAUAAAGCAAGAAUAAUAAAAUAUUUAUAAUUUACAAAUGGGGGAAAGAAAAAAAUGUCAACAACAAACUAGGAAAAAAGAGUAGUAAAAUUUAUGCCACAUGCUAUUGAUAGAAGGGGCAUGUAUUAGAUCCAUCACCAUUUGGUAAGAUUUUAGUAUUAUAUUUUUCAAGGUUCAUUAUUUGAGGGUGUGUUCUUCAUCUCUGUUGCAUUGCUUCUUACUAGGCCCACUGAGGUGGGUUCUUCACCUUUUGUAUAUUCUCUGCACUAGAUCAAUGAGAAAGGGGGAAUUUUGGUGAAUUUGCAGCCGUUGGAUGAUUGAUUCUAGGCUCAGUCCACCAAUGAUGCUCUCUUCACUCUUUCUCAUCUAGUGUCAUUCACAACUAUGUUUUGAUUCAUAUUUGUACUAUCAAAGAUAUCUCAUUAUUCUAGCUCAUUAGGUAGAGUUCCUAAUCUUCCUCCUUUUUGGUCUAUGGACAGUAUUGGCUUCAUAUUAAGAUCAUGUUUCAAUAAUUGCACAUUAAUGAAUGGAUCAUGACCCACAUAAACAGAGUCAGGGUUGAGUCAGUGAACCCUAAAAUUUCACAAUUCUAAAUUUGGGUUCUUUAACAAUGCAGGGUCAAGGACGCGUGGUGAUGAAGGAAAGCUGGUAAGCUCAGUGUUACUUCAAUUCCUGCCAUGUAGGAUGGUGAGGAGAUAUUCACUAUGCAAUUAAUAAUAGACAAUAUUCACUAUGCAAUAAUAAAGCAUAAAUUAAGUUGAAUGAAAAGCAUUUUCUUUGCAAGGAGUUGAUUUUGGUUUCAUAGUUUGUUCAACUGCUAUUUUGGAUAGGAAAGUGUGAGGAGAAGAAAAUAAAAAAUAAAAAUAAAACAAAAAAUAAAAAAUAGAUUUUAUAAAUUCAUUUAAUUUAUUUUUUUUUUAUAAAAAUUAACUAAUUUAAAAUAUAUGUAAAUUUCUAAUUAAUUUAAUUACAUUUUUUUUUUCAGUUUUUCAUAAUAAACCAAAUAUUAGAAAAUUAUUUUUAUUAAGACACCCAAGAUGAGGUAAUAUGCAAUGAAAACAUGAAUUAUAUUAAAAUUCAAAACAAAUUAAGAGAAAUCGGAAAAUAUACAUAGAUAUCUAAACAAAGAAAUUUAAAGAGAAGGAACCACAAACUUUAUUUACAUAAUUUGAAAAUAAAAAACAUAAAACAUACUUAUAGUAAGGAGAAAUUGAAUAUCUUACAAUGGAAGAAGGGAGAAAAGCUUUGAAGAAAGCUUUUGCUUGGAAGCUUACAUGGUGAGAGGUAGAGAAAGGAGAGAGAGAGAAGAAAAUGAAAAAUGAGAAGUGGAGAAAAUUGGAAGUUUUGUGUGCUUACAACUGAGGAUAGAGCCUCCUUAAAUAGCAAAAAAUGGAAUAUUAAAUAGUACCAAUCAGGAGACAAAAUAUUGUUUGCUUUUGAAACCCGUGCAUGAAUAGUAAUCCCGUGAGUGAAUAGUGAAUAAUAAAAGUGAAUAGUAAAAGUCACUUUCUACUAUAGCACUUUAGACUUUUUCAUCGAGAAUCUUACUUUCGGCUGAGUGAUGAUAGCUGAUAGGUUGCUUUGGAUUGUGGAGUCAUAUGUUUGAUGUUUUCGGUGCUGAAACCGCUUAGUUGGAGAAUAAUCUCGUCAGUAGAGCAUCAUGAGAAGCUUGAAUGGAGAGAGCUUAAUGAUGCCAUAUGAUUGGAAGGAAUCCUAUUUUAAUUUCCUUAUUGGAGGGAGAAUACCCUCACAAUCAUCUUCAUUAUCUUGAAGGUAGUUUGAUAUAGAGUCAUCUGACUCAGCAUAAGAGUCCUCUUGGGAGAAGCUUGAACUGCUUUUGUCAAGGAUUUUCUGAAAUUCUUGAGGGGUUUUUGCUAUUGCUAACAUGGUUUGGAGUUGCUGUUUCUUAAGAAGAAACUGUGCAAUAUCAUAAGAUGAUGAAGCUUGUGUAGGAUGCUUUAGGAAAUAUUGCUUUAUUGCUUGUAGUGAGGUAUCAUUUUUCAAGGCAUCCCACCACUUAGACUUGAAAGUCCUUCCAAGGGUUGGAAAGGCUGCUGAUUCAUCUGCUAUAAUGAUAUAAUCCCACUGGACUAUCCAGGCAAGGCCAAAUUCACUAAAAAAGAAUAAUAAUUGGGGAAAACUGAAAGUUCUCUAGGGAUAACAAAAGAACUUUGGAAUAGCUCAAAGCCAUCCAAAAUGGGUUUUGGGAGAAUUUUAAUAGUUGGACCAAAAUAUGUCCACCAAUUGUGGAACCAAAAUGGAAAAGAGGGGAGUUGAUGCUUAGAUGGGAAAUAGAACAUCCCUGAAUGAUGGAAGUCCUUGUUCUGGAUCAGAAAAGCAUUGAACCAUACUCUUUGGUAGUCUCAAUAAUUGAAAAUUUUAGGUUUUGAAGGCUUAGAAAAUUCUCUUGAAAAAUUAGGAUUCCCACCCCACUGCUUAACUGUAAGGAUUUUAUAAAUAUGGUAAGUGGAGAAUGCCAAAUCCAAAUUGCUGAAUUUAUCAGCAUUGUGCUUGAUUUUAACAGAGCCGGUUUCCAUAAGGAUUGCUUCAUAAAAUUCUCUUGUUUUUAAAAGAUCACCAAAGGGAUAAUGAAAAUUUUCAUGAAAAGCUUUUGCUGCAAUAUCUCUAGGGUUUUUAGAGAAAAACUCUUUUUCAAUAACCAAAAGAGGUUGAUUUAAAUCUUUUUGCCAAUAUCUUGCUUUUGCUGAAAGAGGUGUGGGGUUGGCUACCACCACAAUUUGCUUAUUUGAAAAAGAAGAGCUUGAUGCUAAUUCAUUUUGAGAGGGAUUAGCUUUAGUAACCUGCUUAAAGGUCUGAGACACAGUAAUAGUUGGAUACUGAGUAGCCUUGACUGGUUUAGAAGGAUUCGAAGGAUCAUAGUACAAGGACAAAAUCUUAUUAGGCAUAUGGUCAGAAGAAUGAAGCCUUGCUUCUUCUUCUAGCUCAACUUGUUGGCUCCAAAGUAUUUUAUGGGGAGAAGGUUCUUUGCUGGUUUUAGAAGACUAGGAUUCUGGAAGUUUAGGAGCUUGGGUAUUCUUUUUAGGGGCCAUGGUUUCGUGAAUCCUGUAAAAUUCACAAGUUAAGAAAUCAGGGCUCGAAGAAUGUUCUCCUUUAAUAUACUCAAUUUGUAAAUUAAAAUUGCUUAAAAUAGCUUGAUAUAUAGCAAAAAUAUGCUUAGAAGUUAUAUUCUUAACAUCCUUUUGUAAAACUAAUUUUGCAAAUUUACAAUCAACUCUUAAUAAAAACUUUUGAUUCAAAAGAUCAUCUUGAAAUUUUGAAAUGCAUAAAACAACGCUUAAAGUCUCUUUUUUAAUGAUGUUAUGAAUGAGUUGGGUAGUAUUCCAGGUUCUUGAAGUAUACCUAACUAACAUCUCAAGGUUACCAACACUUUGCUUAAGAAUCCCACCAUAACCUAUGUCUGAGGUAUCGAUCCCAACAAACUCAAAGGUUUCUGGAUUGAUAGAGCCUAAACAUGGUAGGGUCUUGACUUUGGACUUAACAUCAAUAAUGAAAACAAUGGUGAAAACAGAAAACUGGUUAAAGUUUUCAUCCAUUAUAUUCUGGAAUUCUGAGGUGCAUUCUUAAGAUCAAAGGGCAUUAUGAACCAUUCAUAAUGUCCAAGAGAUACCACAAAGGUGGUCUUAUUUGGAAUAGGACACCUAAUCCAACUUAAUGUAUCAUUAAGAGGCAUGUAGUUGACGACUAGUCUAGGUGUUCCUUUUUCUGAUUCAACUUGUUCCUGAACAUAGAAGGUUGAACAACUCCAAAGGGACUUAGACUUCCUUAUCAACUUUUUAUCAAGAAGAUCCCAAAUCUCCUUAUCACAAUAGCUUAACAAACCCUUGUUCAUCUGGAUAGGUCUUGAUUUAGUGGGAAUAUUCUUGUCACUAAAGUCUAGUUCAUAAGGUAAUUCUACCUCAUGUUGUUUCCUAUGCCAAAAUGCAUUAGGAAUGUUAGAGCAAACUUCUUCAACAAUCAGAUUAAUUUCUUGCUCAUGACUUUCCUUAGCUUGAAUCACCUGAUCCCUUAAGGUGUUUAUAUUUUUCUUAUUAGGUGGUUGGCAAAUUCAAAAAUAAUUUCCUUAUCUAAGAGCUUUGUUCUUAUACUUUGGUCAUCUACCCACAUGGGAUAGAUGGAGCUUAAAAAGGGGAUUCCAAGGAGAGCUUUCUCCUUAAGAUCCUUAACUAGAAUGAAGGUUUGCUUGAUGCAAAUGCCUUGGUUAUUUAUGUGAGCAUCUGACAGCUUAUACUCAAUGUCAAGCCUUUUACCAUUAGCUCCAAAGAGAGAUUCUUUGGUUUUCUUACAAAACUUAAUAGGACCUAGACCUUCUUGUAGGCAAUUCAAAGCUGUUCCUGAAUCAAUCAAAGCAACAAUAUCAAUGACAAAUUUACUCUUAAUUACUAUAGUAAGGGAGACUUUCCACCUCUGGAAAAUAACCCUACUAACAGUAUUUAAGUAUCCAUCCGUCUUUUCAUCAUUAGCAUGUGAAGAUUCUAGAACCUCUUCAAGGUUUUCCUAGUUAUCAACAAGAUUUUCUAUAACAAUCCUAUUUAUUUGUUCUUGGAGAUCUGAAAAACCUAAGCUUGUGUAUUGUCUUAAAUCUUUAAUUUCCUUCUUAUACUGUCUUACUUCUUCUUGAAGAUCCUUAAUGGUUACGUCUUUGGUAGACUACUGGUUAAAUCUUCCUAAGAUUUCAUUUAAGUUAUAAGAAUUUACUGUCUUCUUAAUCUCUUGCUUAUCGACAAAUUUCUUAAAAACUUCAUAAAGAUCUUGUUUAGUUUUUUCAUCUUCAACUUUCCUUAAAACAUCUAGGACAAGUUCUUGAUCUUGGCUUAUGACAUUUAUAGUCUUAGGUUGGCAAUCACAAUUAUCCUUAAUGUAUUCUUCUUGGUCACUAGAAGUUUGGCUUGAGAUUUCCUCACCACUACUAUCUAGUUGGUUAAUACCAUUUUCAUUAUCUGAAUCAAUCCUUGAUUCAGACUCUGUGGAAUUUAACAUUACUUUACAAAGCAUAUCUUUUAAGUCUUCUGUGACAUUUAAGUUAUUAAUUUUCUGCUUAACCCUACAAUCUUUCUUAUAGUGGCCUAUCUUACCACACUUAAAACAAACUGGCUUAGAUUGUGAAGGAGCUUCUAGCUUUUUAUGGGCUUCUUUGUUCAUCAUUCUUUGGAUGUGCCUUUGUUUCUUAGUUUCAUUCAUCCUAUAGUUGCCAUGAGUUCCUCUCUUGUUGUGAUAGGACUUUUCCUUACUAGGCUUUGUACUUACUUGUUUCUUACGUUGCUUAGAGGGGGGCUUAGUUUCUUUUUGGUUGAAUCCAAACUAGCUACAAAAUGAACCAAACUCAUUCUUGUAGAUCCUUUGUUCAUUUUUCAUCUGUUGCUUAAGCUUAAAGUCAUUGCACAGUUUAAUUGCUUCUGAUGUGACAAUGCUUAUAAUUUCUCCAUAAGAAAGCUUAUCAUAAGGGAUUUGUCCAUUAAACUGUUCCCUUAUCUUAAUCCUAAUCCUCUCAGAGAAAAGUCUAGGUAGUCCUAAGAUGAAUUUUUCUUUCCAAAAAGACUGGUUAUAGUUUGAUCUUAGUAUGACUUUGGUUAGGAAAACUUCUCUAUACCAUCUAAAGUCAUGAAGCUUGGGACACUUAAGGUUGGUUAAGAGAUCUACAAUCUUAUCCUUAAUCUUUGCAGGAUCUCCAAUGAAGUGCUUUGAAAUUGAAUAGAUUAGAGUAGCCACUACAUCCUCUAUAUCUUGUCCAUCUUCAUCCUUAACCACUUCAUUUUCCUCAUUAAUCCUAUAGGCUUUUAGGAUACCAUUUCUAUCCUCAAAGGUGAGAUAAUUAUCCCACCAACCCUAAAGUUGACCUGUAAACCCAACAACAAUUGUUUGAGCUACAGCAUGGCCUGACAAUCUAUUGUUUAACUUAUAGGUUGUACUAACCAUGGUCAUUUCUUGAAGCUUAGUGAGUAUGUUGUACUCAAUCAUACCAUCUAUGUUCCAUUCAUAGAUAGUGUCACUAGUGUAGGAAGCUUGAGUAUGCUGGUUUCUUUCCUCAUACUACAUAUCAGGAAAAGUUGGUCUAGGGUAGUAAUUCCUAGUUCUUGGUUGUUGAUAAUCCUCAUAACUGUUUGGUUAGGAGGUUCCUUAAAAAUCUUAAUUAGUUCAUCAGCCUCUGCUUCAGAACUAAUUUCUCCUUUAACCAUAUUGAUUCUCUUGUGAGAUGGUUGAGGUGUCUCAGAGACAACAAGGCUAUCCUUAACCUUUUGGCUUAUCCUAUCAAUGAGGGCUUGAUCAAUAUGGAGAUUCUCUAGGAAUUUCUUAGAGAAUUCAAAAGGCUUAAAUAAAGACUUAUUAUCUUUCUUAACAAACGUAGUCUUAAUGUAGUCUUGUGUUUCAAUGAUAUCCUCAAACUUGUUGAGUUGAUCGCCUGUAGUCUUAAGAAACAUGUUAGUGUAGUUGUUUUGUUCCAUGAUUCUUCUAACGUCAACAACACUAUCAAUUCCUUUAUUCUUUGGCCUAGUCUUAAAAGGUGAAGCUUUGACUAUGGUUCAAUUAAUGUUCUUUUAUAUCUUAGCUUCUAGAGGGUGGAUGGAUUCUAUGAUAGUAUCGUCACUAGUUUUCCAUAUCUUAGUUUUUUUGGAUGUGUCAUUGACACGCUUACUAGGGUAAUCUAGAUAUUCCUCUUGUUUGAAGAGUUCAAACCAGAUCCAAUACUUAAUGUUCUUCUUUUCUUGUCUUAAGUAUGUGUAGAAUUCUUCUUGGUAGAGGGUUCUAAUGUCUUUAAGGACCUUGCUAAAGAACCAAACUCUCCUUUUCUUAUUGACUUCAGAAUAGAAGUCUUUCCUUAAGAGGUCCUUGUUGAUUCAAAGUCUUCGUUAAUUAGGCUUACAGUGUUAAUCAACUGAGAAUAAGUAGGAGACAUAUCAGGAGAUUCGUCCUGAUGUGAUUCUUGAGUAAACUCAUUUUCCUCCAUGUAAAAGGGUUUGGCCACGUUGGUGUGACUUCUAACACCUGUUAGCUUAAUAUUCUUAGGAUUUGCUGAACUAGAUCCUUCCUCUAUCCUAGUGGUUCUUAUUGGGAUAGAUGAACUUGAAGCUCUAGAGGGCUCAUAAUAUGAAAUUCUAAGGCUGCUAGAAUGAUGAAAAGAGUUGGAGAAAAUUAGAUCUCGUUCUCCAUCAGGAUAUUGAACAAUCUGUUCAAUUCUUUCAGAUCUUUGCUCUAUGGCUGGGACAACAUUAGCAAAAUGCCAAUUUUCUGGAAACUCAACCUCAUUCCACUUGAUUUUCAUGGGGACUAUGAAAUUAGACUUGUUUAUCAUAUCUAAGUGGAAGAUAGUGGUUUCACCCUUGGGACUGGUGCACAAUGCUCCAAAUCCAACGCUUAUGGUCAUGCUCUUAUAGGCAAAUCUGGUGAUGAUGGAAACAUGAUUGUUUCCUUGCUUGAACUUAAAGUCAUGGGUCUUAACAUGAAGGACAACUGAAUCUAAGAUGUUGACAUCUCUUAGUCUAACUGUGAAGUUAGGGAAACACUGGAAAUAAACAGGACCAUCAUUUAAUCCUGCUUGGGUAGCUCCAAUAAUAGAAUCUCGGUAAUCAAGAUGUCUAUUAUCUCUUAAACACAUGACAAUAAAGGUGUUUAGACCUAGUCUUGUCAAGGGCUUAGCUGCAACUUGAAUCAUGCCAAAGUGUAUGAAGUUGUAGUCUCGCUUAUGCUUAUCAAUGGACUUACUAUCCAAGAGUCUUAUGACUUGAUCGUCGUGUUCUAAACUUACUGACAUUUCAGGGGUUUUAAUGGUGUAAUCUGUAAAGAACUUAAAGGUUCCUUUCUUAUAAAUUUCUUGAUUAGGUACCUUGGGUAACUUCCAAUCAUCUAAAUCAUCUUGGAUCUUAGGAUAAUUGAUCUCUUCAUUGUUUACUCUUGAGAAUUUGUGGAUUUCCUAGACAUGGUUCUGAAAAUCAAACUCAUUUUAAGGUUUUAAUCUAGAGCCUAAUAGCAGAUUAACAGACCUAGUGAGUAAUCACCCCAACCCUUUUCCAACCUUAACAAACGCCUAUCUCCAGCUAACAAUGGGCUCAACUCGGCAAGGAUCGCACUCAGGCACACUACUAUCUUUCCUAGGAUAGAUCAAAACACCCAAAACAAACCCGACUUCCUUUUCCUAGGAUAUAUAUAGUAUUUUGGGUUUGAGUAGGAGUUCAUGUUUUGUAUGUAAUUGUAGUCUACGUUGGACUAGGUUGUUUGCUCCUAAUUGAAAUAGGAAUGGUUGGUGUCACAUCUCAUUCAUUUUCUCAUCUAUUUCCAUGUUUAGAUAACUCAAGUAAUCAUAGGAAUGAAAUUAAGAAUGAUUUGAGGGAAAUGAAAUCUCACUUGUAAGUGGGAUCUCAAUUCAUCAUUAAUAGAAGGUAUUUUGAUUACAUAGUGCAAGUUAUUUUUAAAAACACUUUUCAAAAAUUGAAAAACCAAAAACUCUCUUGGAUAAGUUGUUUUUAAAAAGAAUUUUUGUAUUUUUAUUUUGUAAAAAAAAAAAAUAGUAAUUCAAUUUAUAUAAUAUAAAUAGACUUUAAUUUUAUUAAAAAUAAAAAUAAUUUUUUAAUUACAAAUAAAUUAAAAAAUAAAUAUUUGUAAUAAAAUAUGAAUAGUAAUAUUAUAAUAAAAUCAUAAAUAAAUUAAAAAUAUUUUUAAAAACAAAUAAGUUUAAUUUUUUUGAGGUACAAAUGAGCCAAAUUUUUCAUUAGGUACACAACCAACAAUUUUUAUUGGAAACAUUCCUCAAAAAAGAAUUCGUUUCCCAUAUAGCAAAGAUAUUUAUUAUUUAGUAUCUAACCAUCCGUAGUAAUCAUAUCAAUUCUACUAAGUUAUUUAAUAAUUCAUUUAUAUAUAGUACUCAAUUAUGAAUUUUUUUAUUUGAUGUAUAAUUAAUUAAUCAAUGUUUUGAAUUUUGAAUUAUUCUUAAAAUUUAAAACAUUAAUUAUGUCUAUUACUUUUUAUAGUCAUUAUAUAUAUAUAUAUAUAUAUAUAUAGAGAGAGAGAGAGAGAGAGAGAGAGAGAGCUUAAAUUUAUCUUUAAAAAUUAUUAAAUUUAUUAAUAAAUUCAAUACAAAGACUCAUUUGAUUUGAAAUUCAUUUCUUUAGUGAAAAUUUUGAAACUAAAUAGUACUUUGUUUUACUUUGUUUUUAAAUCAUACUCACAAAUAAGUUUUUAUCAUUUAGCCAAAAAAUCUCAAAGAUGUUUCUAAUUUUAUUUAUUUAUUUAUUUGUAAAUGAAAAUAAAAAAUUAGUUUAAACUAAAUAUGCGGAUAUUAUUGUUAAUUUAUUUCAUUUUUUAUUUCCAUUGUUAUUUAACAUUGAAACGGAAACAAAUAAUCAUUCCAAUCUUACAUUCUUAUAUGCAUCUAAACACAAGAAUUGAAAUCACCAAAUUCAUAUUCAAGGCAAAAUAGAAAUGGAAAAAAAAUAUUCAUUUUCAUUCCUCAUUCUCAUGUGCUAAACAUGACAUUAGUUCUACUACCUAUUUCACCAUUCUUCUUGAUAAAUUUGGUAUAUGCAAUAUUGAUCUAAGUGUGAGGUGAAUAAGAAUGAUGAUGGGAUGGGCUUGGAAAUAAGGGCAAAGUUUCUAGGUGCUAUCUAGAGGGGCAACGCGACUUUUUCAAAUUUCGAAUAUUUGUUCUCAACAUAAAGCAAAACUUUACUCACACAAUAGAUAAGACUCUGUUUGUUUUCUUCAUCCACGACUAUAUAAUGUAUAGCUCUUACUCAAGGGAUGAGCUACUUACUAUUAAGGAUUGGGUAAGAUAUUGCCUAAUGGCCAAGAAGGCAUGUCAAAAAAUAAAUCUAAUCACCAUAAAAAAUAAUAGGGGAAAAUUAAUAUAUUAUGAAUGAUGACUUUACUAUUUCUCUAUAUACAUAAUUAUAUAUUUUGAAUUUUCUCACUAGGUAAUGAGAUUCUAAAUCAACUGAAACAUAAUUAAUAAUUUAUAUUUUUAAUGAAUCUUUUAAUUUUUAAAAAUAAUUUAAAAUUUUAAAAAACAAUUCAAUUAAUUACAUAUUAAAUCAAAACAUUUCAAAAUAUUGUGUUUGUAGAUGAGUACUAAAUGCUUGCAUAUAAUAAUAAUAAUAAAAAAAUUGACUCAUUUAGAUGUUAAAAAAGUUAAAUGUUUUUCAUUAUUCAUUUUAAGUAAAAUAUUAUUGACAUUAUUAUUAUAAAAUUAUUAUUAUUCAUUUUUAACAAAAAACAAAAUAAGUUAUUCUUUUACCAAGAUGUCAAUAUCUAUAUUUUUCUAACAUAUAUUAAAAUAGUAUACUUUUCUUUUAUUAAAAAUAAUAAUUAUUAUUAUAUUAUUAUUCAAGUUUUAUUAAAAAAAUUUAUCUUUUAAUUCAUUUGUAAUUACAAAAUAAUUUUAUUUUAUUAAGAAUUUAAUUUAAUUACGCUUUUUUUUUUUAUAAAAAAAACAGUUAUGCUUUUACCAAGAUGUUAAUAUUCAUAUUUUUCUAGCUAACAUAAAUAGAAUAGUACACUUUUUCAUAUAAAAAAAUAAUUUAUGAUUUUAUUAUAAUGUUACUAUUCACAUUUUACUAAAAAUAUUUAUUUAUUUUAUUUAUUUUUAAUUAUAAAAUAAUUUUAUUUUCAAGAAUUUAAUUUUAAAAAAAUAGAAAUCAUUUAUUCUUUUACCAAGAUGUUAAUAAACAUAUUUUUCUAACAUAUACUAAAAUAAAAAAGUUUACUUGUUCAUUAAAAAAUAUAAUUUAUGUUUUUAUUAUAAUACUACUAUCUAUGUUCUACUAAAAAUAUUUAUUUAUAAUUAAAAAAUAAUUUCAUUUUUAAUAAGACUUGAACUAAAUUAAAUUUAUAAUUUUUUUUUAAAAUAAAAUAGAAAAUUAUUUUUUAAAAACAACUUAUUGAAAGAAAUUUUUUAUUCUUUACUUUUAAGAACUGUUUUUAAAAGCAACCUAUAAACCCCUUUGGGUCUGUUUGGCUAUGUUUCAUGCAACUUGUUUUUAAAAAUUGUUUUUUAUUCUUUAAUUUAAUUUUUUUUAAGUUAAAGAAUAAAAAACAACUUUCUAGUGUUUUAUAAAAAUGAGAGCUUUUGACAAGUUGUUUUUAAAAACCAUUUUUAAAAAUAAAAAAUAAAAAACUUAUUUAGAUAAAUUGUUAUAUAUAUAUAUAUAUAUAUAUUUGUAAAAACAUUUUAAAUUCAAUUUAUAUAAUAUAAAUUUAAUUUAAUUUAAGUCUUAUUAAAAAAAAAUUGUUUGGAUAAGUUUUUUUUUUUAAAUAGUUUAUUAUUUUUGUUUUGUAAAAACAUUGCAAAUUCAAUUUAUAUAAUAUAAAUUAAUUUAAUUCAAGUCUUAUUAAAACCAAAAUAAUUUUAUAAUUACAAAUAAAUUUAAAAAUAAUUUUUUUAGUAAAACAUGAAUAAUAAAAUUAUAAAUUAUAUUAUUGUGGACCCUGCAUUUAUGCUCAUGCGCUUCCACUUGUUGGCGAACUCAUUUUUUAUUUGAAAAUGAUUUAUUUUUUUAGAAAAUGACUUAGAGUCGCCACUUAUUUUUGUUUUAUUUUUAAAGGGCAAGCAAAAUAAGAAAGAAAACCCUAAGUGUGACUCCUUAUUCGAAAAAGGUAGUCUGUGUAAAACCGGAUCAGGGUUCAGGGAUCAGGUUACUUAUUGGGAAGGUAUGACAAUGACCGUAGCACUCCUCUAAGUCCUUAAAAACGGGCCUCUACUAAAAAAAAUAAAGUAAUCAUGGCAAUCAGUAAGGAAAUCACUGGAUACCCAGAACAAUUAUGCACAUGUGAGAAUUAAAACAUGCAUAAGAAUGGACAAAGUGAGAGUGGGUGCGUACCUUGACAACGAACCACAAUGCGUUAUCAAGAAAUGGGGUUAGUGCACGAUCAAUGAACAUAAAACACGUCACACAUGUCACUAAGCAGAGUGAGAAAUCAUCAGAUAUUACAAUUCAAUCAAAUUUAUUUUUAGAAGAAACAUCUGUUGAUGUAGAGCCCCUACCAAAGCCUAAUUUAUUUUUGCAUGAAUCAAUUUCAUAAAUUCAAUCGCUUGGAAUUACAGAAUUAAAUUCAUGCUUAUUUUAAAACAUCUUUUUAAAAUCAUGGAAGAUGUGAAAAUGGUUUUCCAAAGAGAAAAUGACAACUGAUUUUAUUGAAAAUGGGAUUUUGGGGACCUAAACGUUAAAGAGGGAUUAGGAAUUGAAAAUUAAAUCAUUUGAAAAUUGAAUUUUUCAAAAAUCAGUUUUGAAAGCAUGCAUGCAAGUAUGGACUGUGAAAGUGGGCCUAGGGAGGGUGGCCAUGCAAAAUGAGGUCAUACACGUGGGCCUUGGGUACAAUUGGGACUACUUUGCUGGUGCCAGUGGUGCUUGCAGCUGUCAUCCAUGAUUUCUUCAUUGGGAUCAAUUUCCAUUCUUACUGCCAAACAUUCCAUAACAAUUGACCAAACUAGUAACCCUGACCUUGCAUGAAAAUGAACGUUACCUAGAAACUCACUGCCAGUGAGAUUCAUUGCUCUUUCAAAAGGUCUCAUUUUCUUUCUCAUCCAAUUGCUUUAAGGAGCAUUCUAGCGUCACGAUUGGUGACUGCGCAUCAUCUAGAGCCUUCUUUCUUCUCAGAAUCAGGUUUGCGUGCAGAGGCCUGUGCUUGUUCAAGGUUGACCUAAAUUCAUCUAGGUUUAGAACCGACCAGUUGAGCUUGGGGAGCAACGACAAGAAUAUCAGUCACUUGCGAAGAGAAAACUCGAGAUCUUUCAAGUAAUGCCUGACAUAGAUUCCUCCAACCUGUGGCCAAUAUCUCAUUCCUUGUUGGCCAGACGCCUAUUAGGGCGUAUCUCAAUCAAUAAUAUGAUUUUUCGUUUGUUCACAAUAAAGACCGGAAGCCAUGGUUGUGAUUUAUGCAGUACAGAAGAAGUUGCCAUGGCUGGUAUCCUUACAAAUUCUGGUGUUUCUGCUAUCUGUUCAAGUGCAAAACACAACAGCUUUAUCAAGUUUGUCCCUAACAACUGAUAUUGAGCCCUCUGGAGGAAACCUUGAUAAAUUCAUAAUCACUUUUGACUCAUGCAUGGGCUGCCCAUCAAAUUUUCCUAGCAACGAGACGACUGCUGUCAUCUACUGCAAAGAGAAUUUCUUCUCGCAAAGACAAGAGGAGUUUAAGAAUACACACUAUUCUGCCAUUUCAUUUCCUCUUUCUCCACAACCAACAUAAACCAUAGUGUCUACAUUAGAGUACUUAGAAAGAGCUUAACUGAUGACCGUUUUUCCACAACCAAAUGCCCCAGGUAUGGCACAAAUUUCACCGAAAACAGAAGGGAAAAGGGCAUCAAGAACACGCUGUCCUGUAAGUAGUGGGGUAUCAGGACUACUCUAGGGAAGUUAUUUCUGUCAUUUUGAAAAAGAAAAAUUAAAGAAUGUACACAUGCUUUCAAGUGGACUGGAGCAUUCUACAUAUCAGGUGGUCUGUAGCCACAUGUGCCACUUUGUGGAAGUUGGAACAGUCGAUCACUAGGCUAUUUAGUGUGGCCAAGCCACGUUAAUCAAGGACAAGUCUUCAUACUUAAAAGUCAAAUGGUGCCUUUAGUCUCAUUACACAUGGCUAUUUAAAGAUGAACUAAUCUUUAGUGUAAUGUGAUUAAGACAGUACUAACUGAUCAAUAUUUUUUCUAAUUUUGGAUGCAAAUGCUUGCUGGCUUCAUCAUUGGAUGGGAUAAAGGUGCAUUCAUGACUCUGAAUACUUGCAGUAAUACUUGCAGUAAUACUUCAUUCUCUUUUUUCUCGAUGAGACUUCUUGGCACAAUUUUGCUUCUCAGCAACCUACCUCUCCAUGGAAAAUGAGUUGCGAUUGAUGGUACUGGAUAUUUUCUAGGAAGCUAAAUAUAGAUAUAUAGCACUCAAUGUCAACGAUAUAUAUAGCAUUAACAGUAUAUGUCUCAAUGCUCAUCAGCUACAAGCAAGGGACAAACACUUACAAUGAAUAACUCACGUCAACAUUCCUAAACAGGACAUAGAAGUGACAGAUCUAUAUAUAGAACACUGCAUAUGAGUCACAAGAAAAGAUAAUACGGGUGCAUAGCAGCUCUUAUAUUACAUAUUACUCAUACCGUUCAAAUUCACUCAGUUGGGAUGGGUGGGAGAAGGAGGCCUCUGGGGUGGCUUGUGCGUGUGAGAAGUGGAAGAAAGUUGAAUGGAAUGAAACUGAAAAACAGGGUAGAAUAGAGGUUUCUUGAAUCUUCUGAAAUCUUUAUUUUUCUGAGAUUUAUUCUCUGUUUUUGUGAGUCGUGACUCUACAUAUAUACAUGUAUUUAAAGUUAGUUAUGCCUUAUAACUAAUUAUCUAACAGUACCAAAACUAAUCAUCUAGUUGCAUGUUUCUAAUUAAUGCUAUUUAGUUACAACUAUAUAUGGCUUAACAUCCUCUCUCAAACUCAAAAGUCUAGCUAGAACAGUGAGUUUGCUUCAUAGAUUGAGAAAUUGUUGAAUAGGUAAGGCUUUGGUAAGAGCAUUAGCAAUCUGGUCAUAAGAAGGAAUGUGUUGAACCACCAAAGUCUUAUUGAGCACCUUUUCCUGAACAAAAUGGCAAUCUAGUUCCACAUGCUUAACUCGAGAAUGAAAAUAGGAUUGGCAGCAAGAAAGGUGGCUGAAAGAUUGUCAUAGAACAAAACAAAAUAGGAGAAUAAGAAGAUGAGAUAGAAAACUCCUGAAGAAGAUGUUGAAUCCAUUGAAGUUCAAAAGCAACAUUUGCUAAGGCCCUAUACUCAGCUUCAUUGCUGGAACGAGACACAACUUUCUGCUUACUGGAGUUCCAGGAGACUAGAUUAGAGCUAAAAAAGAUGCAAUGACCACUUGUACUUCGACGAUCAUCAGGGCAACCAACCCAAUCAACAUCAGCAUAAGCAGUAAGUUGAAAAUCAGGAGAAGAAUAAAAGGAAAGACCAAAGGAAGUAGUGCCCUUAAGAUAAUGCAACAAUCGUUUAACAACUUGCCAAUGAAGAUCAGUUGGUUAUUGCAUGAAUUGGCAAAGUUUAUUGAUAGAGAAAGAGAUGUCAGGCCUUGUAAUGGUACAAUAUUGCAGGGCUUCAACAAUGUUGCGAUAUUGAGAAGGGUCAGCCAAGAGGGAACCUUUAGAGGCAGAUAAAGUGUGAGAGGUAGUCAUUGGUGUAUCAAUAGGUUUAAAAUAUGGAAGACCAGCACGAGUUAACAAGUCCUGAAUAUAUUUGGUUUGGGAAAGAUGAAGAGAAGAUCCUUGCCAACAUACUUCUACACCCAAGAAGUAAUUCAGAAUACCAAGGUCCUUGAGAGCAAACUGAAAGUGUAAAGACGAAACCAUUUGGUGGACUAGCACGGUAUUAAGACCACUAACAAUAAUGUCAUCAACAUAGAUGAGAAUAAUGAUCAUGUCAGUCCCUUUCCGAAGAGGAGCUUGCUUCAGACCCUACAAGGCUUUGCGAAGUUUACAGAAAAAACCGGGUUUAGAAUGAUCAACAAAGCCUGGAGGUUGAACCAUGUAAACCUCUUCUUCUAACUCACCAUUGAGAAAGGCAUUAUUAACAUCUAAUUGUUCCACUAACCAACCAUGAGAAAUAGCAAGAGAAAGAACAAUUCAUAUAGUAGUUGGUUUAACAACAAGGCAAAAGGUUUCAAAAUAAUCAAUACCAUAUGUUUGAUUAAAACCCUUUGCAACUAAGUAGGCUUUAAAACGAUCAAUUGAGCCAUUAGCUUUGAGUUUCAGCUUGUAUAUCCAUUUACAACUAAUAAUGCGUGUAUUAACAGGUUUAGGAACCAAUGUCCAUGUGGAAUUGGUGAGAAGAGCAUCAUACUCAGUCUUCAUAGCAGCUUGCCAAUUAGGAUGCAAUAUUGCUUCUUUGAAAGAGGAGGGUUCGACAACAGUAGUUUGGAUAGCAAGGCUAAAUAUUUUUUUGGGUUUAAAAAUACCAUUUUGGCUACGAGUAACAAUAGUUCGGUUUGGAAGUGAAAGAGGAUCAGUGGAGGAGGCUGGAACAAGGGAUUGUGGUAAAGUAGGAAAGGAAGGUGGAUGAGAUGGAACAAAAUCAGUAGGGACAAUAAUGGGAGAAGAAAAAUUAGGUGGAGAAUGAUGAGGAUUCCUUGAAGAUGGUGUAGGAAUAGAGAGAAUACCAGAAUCAAGAAGUGUUAAAGAAGAGUUGGAUGAUGAUACUGGUUGACAGGAUAAAGACUUUGUUAAAAAUGGAAAUCGAGUUUCAUCAAAUACAACAUGACGAGAAGCAUAUAUCCGAGAGGAAGCCAUAUCCAAACAGAGGAAUCCCUUGUGUUUAGCACUAUAACCCAAAAAACAGCAAACAACAAAUAUAUUUGCUAGCUUGUGAGAAGCAUAAGGGCGAAGAUAAGGAAAACACAAGCAUCCAAAACUUCAAAGAGAUGUAUAAUAAGGUAAACGAUUAUAAAGAACUCCAUAAGGAGAAUUUUGUGAAAGAACAGCAGAGGGAAGGCAAUUUAUGAGAAAAAUGGCAGUUUGAAAUGCAAAUGACCAAUAUUUGAGAGGGUAUACCAGCUUGUAUUAACAAAGAAAGACCAACUUCCACAACAUGACGAUUCUUUCUUUCAACUCUUCAAUUUUGCUAAGGAGUAUAAUGACAAGAGACUUGAUGAAGAAGACCAUUUGUAGCCAAAUAAUUCUGAAAAGCUGAAACUGAAACUCAUCAAAUUGAUUUUUAGUAUCAAAUUUUCUUCAGACUGAACACAUUGAUUUUUAGUAUCAAAUUUUCUUUCAACCAUGGCUUGAAAAUGUUGGAACAUAAGUAAAGCUUCAUCUUUAGUUUCCAAAAGGUACAACCAUGAGAAUAUGCUAAAAUCAUCAAUUAGCAAGAGGAAAUAUUGAGCAUUACCAUUGACAGAAACUAUAGGAGUUGCACCCCAAAGAUCAACAUGGAUGAGACCGAAUGGUUUUAUUGCUCUAGAAGUGGAUAUUUCAAAUGGAAAACGAUGGCUUUUAGCCAACUGACAAGACUCACAUACAGAGUUAUUAUUGUCAUGUUUCAAAGGUAUUUUAUAAAGAGAUAAGAUUUUGGAAACUACAUUAAUAGAGGGAUGACCAAGUCUAUUAUGCCAAAGCCUCAAAGAACCAACGGCUAAAGUACUACUAGUAGAGUAAAAUACUAGUGGAUGACCAACAACUCUUGGUGUAGCAAGAAGUUUAUAGAGACCCUUCUCAAUUUUUCCUUGAAGAAGAGCAAGUCUCGUUUCCUGAUCCUUUACCACAAAAUGAGAAGAACGAAAUUCAAUAAAGGUGCCAUUGUUUGAGUAAAAUCGUUGCACGCUAACUAAGUUGGUGGUAAUAGAAGGAACAUGUAAGACAUCAUUGAAAAACAAAGAACCACUUGAAGAGGCAAGAGAAAAUUUACCAAUAUUUGCAAUGGAUAAACCCUUACCAUCUCCAACAAUUACUUUGUCACCACUGGUAAAUGGAUUAUGGAUUGUUAAAUUGUUAAGAUCAGAUGUGAGAUGAUGGGUAGCCUUUGUAUCAAGAAACCAAUAAGUGUCUCCCAUUGUUGCAGAAGUUGUAGUCAUAGCCUCAGGAUUGUUAGAGGUGGAAUGUUUAGAAUCUUUUGGCUGAUAAUCAGAGUUAAACCGAUACCAGCAUUGUAAAGCGGUGUGUCCGAACUUACAACCGAGAGAAAUAAUCUUUACUUAUUCUCUAAAAACUGUUCUUUAUUCCACACAUUAUUUCUAAAAACUGUUUCUAGAUAACAAUGACAAAAUAGUAUUAGGAAUUUUUAAAAAUAAAAAUUGUUUUUAAAUUACAUGAUCUAUAUCAUUCACAUUUGACCAUUAUAGCUUUGUUCAGGAAAACACUUGAAAGUAACCUUAUCGUGAUAAGAGAUAUAAGUUGGCUGUAGUUUCAAACUGAAAACAGAGGAUGGCAAUAGAAAGCAAAGCAUUAGUUAUCUGCAAUCAGUGGUGAUCAUGCCCCAUGUCAAUUUCGGACCCAUAUCUUAAAACCGUAUAAUUUGCAUUUCAACAUUUCUGAUUUCUCAGAUGUUUCAUACUCCACAGAAGAACAUUGUUUGUGAAAGCAUGCAUUUAUGCUGGAUUUUGGAUGAUGUGGGAACUGGGGCAAGGAUCAUAUGGAAGAGUGGUCGAUUUUUUCUGUACUUUAACAUUUGAAAUAGGAGCAGCACGGGCAUUUGUGGGGCUUAAUUGAUUUUGAAGCCUGAAAUUGCGUUUCUGUCAUUUUGUAAAAAAUAUGGCAGAUUCCAUGCUCUCAUAUGUUUGGUCUGUGGCCAUGUAUAGAUGCCACUUAGUGACCAGUUUGUAACUGUCAAUCAUAGUGUUUUGACUCUGGCUCAACAACAUCAGCCAUUGACGGAUUUUCAUACAUGCAAAUCAAAUAGUCUUCUUCCUCCCUUAGGAAUUUCGGUUUAAAUGUUAUUAAGCAUACAUUUGGCUGACAAUUAUUAACCACUUCAUGAUAUGGUUUCUUACCCUUAAUCAAUGGUUUCUAAGUGAAUAUAUGCAGAAGGAAAUCUGAACUGUAGACAGCAGUAUUGAUAAUUAUCAAUAUUCUUUAUAUAAGAGAAUAAACAACGUCAUAGUGAUCGUCGCCUACAAGAAAGGUACAUUUCCCAACAAGAUGUAGUUGUGACUGGUACAUGGACGUAAUUAACUCGUAGAAAAGGAUAAGACCAGUGCACGGCAGCUCUUAUUUUACAUGCUAAUUAUGCUAACCAAAGUCACUCAGUUGGGAUGGGAGGGAGAUGGAGGUUUGUGCGGUGGCUUGUGGGGCGGAGUUGGUGGCUUCUUUUCAGGAGCUUGUGGCUUUUUCGGAGCUGAAGGAGGCUCAAUCUUAUGAGGCGGCUUGUACGAGUCUUCUUUACUCUCGACAGGAGGGUGGCCAGGGUUGUGACCAUAAUGUGGUGGCUUCUCUCCCUUAGGUGGCUUGCCAACUGGGGUUGGUGGCUUGUGUUCAGGAAGUGGUUUCUCUCCCUUGGGAGGUUUACCAAUUGGGGUUGGUGGCUUGUGUUCUGGGAGUGGUUUCUCUCCCUUGGGAGGUUUAGUGGGUGACUUGUGUUCUGGAGGUGGCUUCUCCACCGGAGGCUUGUGCUCCGGUGGUGGCUUCUUGGUUGGAGGGGGCUUGGGGUAAUCAGCAAGAGAUGGGGGGGUGAGAACCACCACUCCAAGGAACAACACUAGCAAGUAUGUGGGAGACAUUUCUGAGUUUGAGCUGAUCAGAUGAUGCAAAACUAGAAGAAUUACGUGACCUUUUAUAGCAAGUAGCUCCCAAUACCCACAUGACACGUGUUACUGUGACCAUAAAUAUUAUAGGGUCCAUUUGUGCCCUACCGGGUUGAAAACUUGGACGCUUGGCCGAGGACACACCGAACUAUGGAGGACUAUUGACGUGUGAUCACAGCUUUUGGAUUUUUCUUCCUGUGCAGCUGUCUAGCGGUUGGCAUUAUUUUUUUAAUCUUAAAUAAAGGCAUAGUUAUAGAGUACAUUUAUAUAUCUUCAGAUAGCCAUUAAUAUAUUUGAUGAAGAAAGACAAGUGCAUACAACAUGUAUACGGCUUGCUUCAAUCGAGUACAUUUAUGAUCAGUUUUCCAGUGCAAGUAAACCAGUUUUUUGUUCCACAACUAUUUUGGAAUCUUGUUUAUCAGUUUCUAUCAUUAUAAUGUCACAUAGGCUGCAAACUUGGGCACCCAAAGAUCUAGUUGGGCAAAUUUGUUUCAGAAUUUCAAUGGUGGAUUCAGUAAUUGUUAAAAGGUGUUUCUUCAUUAAGGAAAGAGUCCUGUAAAAAUAUUGUUAAAAGGUGUCAUAGAAACUAUAAUAAUUAAAUAACUUCUUUUCCCCGUGGGUGGUGUUUCUUCUGGGGAUACCCAAAAUGAGUUCAGAUUAAAAUUGGUUCGAGUCAAAGCUGUCUCUUUUGUCCAGAAAUCAACUAUUUUGCGCAUUGCAUGAAUCGAUAAAGAAAAAAUGAAAGCCAAAUCACACCUCCCCUGCAAAACCUAAACCCCGGUUGCUAACUUUCUAUGUUUCAGUCCUAUUCAUACAGGAAUAUUGGUUCAAGUUUGAGAAAAAUGGCAACUUACCUAGGGAUUACUUGGUUGUGGUUUGCGACGACUAUUUACGCAACCAACCAUGAGUUUGACUUUAACGUCAUGGGUUGAAGCCUCCUACAAUCGUGUAUGAUAGUUCAAAGCUCGUAGUAGAAAUUAUACAGGAAGGAAGAAACCUCCAAAGCUAGCUCCAAAAGAGAAUUAUCACAUCGAUAGCUCCAGAGAUUCCCAAGGGGACUGAAUCAAAGACAAGUUCCUCACUUUUUCUUCUUUUGAGGCCAAAUAUGAACCAAGGAUCACACGACCUCAUUCAACUUCAUAAGUUUGAUUUCAUGCAGUUGAACACUGGGUGAAGGCCAUGACAAGAAUUGAUUAAAAAAUUCUACCACUGUUUUAAGUAAUGGAAGAUUAUUAUCUCUGAUUGGCACCACAACAGCACAUGCUGCUAGAUCUUUCUAGACACUCCAUGCAAUGAAAGUACAAUGGAUCUUGUAACGAUAGAAACUAAGCCAUGCUACAGUACUAGAUGACGAGGUAAAACUAUUAGACAUGGGUGGCAGCCUAUAUGGGAGGGACACAAGUCUAAUUGAUUUGCAUUUCAGCGUUCUAGAUGGGUAUGUUUUGGAAGAUUUGUUCUGGAAAUACCGCACCAAGUAGGAUUCUUUUUUCUCUUGAGUGGGUCCACUUGCAUGCCAAUUAUCGAGUUGAAAAGUAGAGCACCUACCUCGUGCUCGUGGAACCGAAGGUCAGUGAAGUGGGGCUCCUUUUGGCCUCUUGUGUUUCUGUUCCAACCAAGGCGGCGGAGGGAAAAACAGCAAUAUGUCUCCGCUAAAUAUCAACGCAUGAUAGCGAAUGAGGGAGAAAAAAAGUAAUUGGCAUCUCAAUCUCACAAACUUGGUACAGUAGUGACAUUAAUAGUCUUCCACAUGGUUUUUAUUUUAUUUUAUUUUAUAUUUUAUAUUUUCCAUUUUUUUAUUUUUUUGUAUGUCAAGGCUAAUGAAUAAAAUGCGUUAGCUUGUUUUGUGAUUGGAACUGCAAAUGUCCAAAUUGGAGUUUCUCCAUUUCUCAGUUCGGAUGGUUAACUUUAUAAACAAGAUAUAGGAAACAUGUGAACGUCUUGAGGAACAAUUCGAAUUAUUGAUUAGAACUCCUAGGUUGAGUUCCAAGAUUUAAAUCAGACCCCUCUAGCAGCUUCAGGGGUACCUAGCAAUUAGAACAUAUUAAUGAAGAUUUAGGAUUUAGACUCCGGAAUACAAAUUAAUAUGUAUCUUAUGCUCUGACUAGCUUCCCUGCAUAUGCACAAAAUGGAGAUGACCCAAAAAAUAGCAGAAUCGCCUUAGUUUAUGUGGUUAAGGUGAUUCUCCGGUUAAUAUCCACAUUGGCUCAUUAUGCAAAUCAACUGAGCUAUUUUUUUUUUAAUGUCAAAUAGGAACUCCUAAUUAACCUAACCAUUGGCCUGUGUAAAUUGAUUUCACAUGCACAAUGUUGUAGUAGAAGUCCACAUUUUGAAUUUUAUUUUUGGAAAGGUAAGGAAAAUGAAGCAUUGUGUAAUUAUAAAAAUAACUUCAUUGGAAUUCACAAGGUUCACCCAAAAUGGAGCUACAUCCGUAUUCUAUCUUACAGUAGACUAUAUAGAUUGUACAAUAGUAAAUUGCAAAUACAAUUAAUAAGUCUUGUGUUUCCUUACUAAUAAUCCUUUGACAUAAACAUUGCAGCACUAAGGUCCUCUUGGGCAGACACCUUGCACCCAUGAGAGCACUAAGAGGAAGCAAGGCGGAGUCAUGGGUGCAAUGUCAUGACUUGUUGCACUAAGAGAGGCUUGGUGAUGGCAUAGUGCUGCAGUAGCAAGAAUGUUGCCUUGGCAGGGACACGAUCUAGGGACAGAUGCCAAGAAAGGCUUAGCACUCACAUGAGUUGCACAAAGAUGAAUGAAAUAGAACAUCAAAGAGACAUCUUGGCAAGCUCAAGAAAGACAUGUGGGUUGGUAAAUGAAUGGAUGCAAGAGGCAACAACAUGAGGAGUUUCAAAUGGAUAGGGAAUGAGUCAAAGACAUUUGAAAGCUACAAGUUGGAUUCUAAUUACGAUUGCAAUUUGAGUUUGAGUAGGAGUUUAUAUUAUGAUUGUAAUUGUAGUAUGAGUUGGACUAGGAUUGCUUAUCCCUAGUCAAAAUAGGAGUUGUUCAUGCCACACCCUAUGAAAAGAGUUUGAGUAGGGACUAGGAUUGCUUGCUCCUAGUCAAAUAUGGAGUAGGUGGUGCCACACCUAUAAAAAAAAAAGGGACAACAUGAGAGAGAGAGAGAAUGAAUUCACCAAAGAUAUUGUGGGAGUUUUGCUUUGUUACAUCUUGUAUUAUUAUUUAGAAUAGUAAUAAAAUACAAGUUGGGGCUAGAGCCCCAUAAUCUCGUGUGCCUUUGUGGGUUAUUCUUUAUUUGCCAUCUCGUGUGGAUUGGAUUAGAUUGAUGAGGCGAAAUAUUAUGUGGGAAAUUUAUGUUGGGACACUUACCAUAACCAGGUAAAAUCUACCAAGUCUUUUGUAAUAUCUUCUACAAAUAUUUUAGACCAGUUCUUCACAAAACAUCAUAAUAUGUUUUGUGUUUCUCUUGGAUUUUGAGUUGAAUUGUCUUAGAUCAAUUGAAUGCAUCUCAAUAUUAUUAUCUUGUUUGAAGGCUUGAUGAUUUUCCAUUUAACUUUACUUUCUUUAGGUUAUGCUUGAUUCCUUAAAAGUACUAAGGAAAACAAAAAAUAAAAAAAAAUAAAAAAUGCAGAGGGUUAGGACAUGUGUUAUCUAAUUGUCCUAUCCAAAGAUAUUAAGAAAGUCAUGUAGGAAAGUAAUUGAAAACUAGGUCAAGAAAGGAGCAAAAGGGAAUUGUUUUGGUAUUUUCUUUUUUAUUCUUGAAGGUGGCAGAGCUAAAAUUUGAGAAAUCAAGCAAAACAUACUGAAAUUACAUUGAAAGAAAGAAAAUGGUAGUUAAUGUCUUGCAGUACAUGAUAAGGACUUCAUGCAUGUAGUGUGACGACCCAUGUCUUGGACUGAUGCCACACUCACGGUUACACUUAUACCCUUGGUUCUCUCUUUACUACCUUGGCUAACCUAGAUCAGGCUAUGAGAUAGGCUCCUCACCACACCAUCACUUGCCCAGUAAUUAGUGACAUUUUCAAGCAAUGAGGUAACAUGGUGACACCAAGAGGGUUUAUCCCUCGCCCCAACAAGUCUAGACUCGGUCUCAAAAAAAUGGAGAAAAAUGAGGUGUCGUUAUGCAGAAAUACAACAACCAUGCCUUCCUUAUUACUUAGAUUCAGAAUGUGAAGGUGAAAUUGAGAAACAGAAACUCUUGAAACCAGAAUGAAAAUUGAUACUUUUACGAAGAAUUACAACAUUAGAGGAAGACUACAUUCUUCCUCUAUAUUCCUACGUUUCUACACUACUUCUACUCCACUCCAUAUUUCUACAUACAUCUUUAAUCAGUUUUCCCUCCUUUAUAUAGAGCCAUCUUCACACAAAUUCCGCAAGGUAGAAAAGAGGAAUGAAACUUGGAGCAAGGUUCGACUACUGGUUGUCGCUUGUCAAGGCUGGAAUUGAACUUUUUUUCUUGGCUUUUCUGGGCAUAGGUAGUAACUUGUGGUUCCUUUUUGGAAUGAAAAUGGUACAGCUAGAACAUGUGGCACUCUCUUGUUGGAUUAUGUGUCAAACAUGUGGCAGCCAUCUAGUGGAGAUUAUUUCAAUUUUGGGAUGGAGAGUUGGCAUCCAAUUGCAAAGAAAUAUGACAUCUACCAACAUGCAAUGUAAACCUAUAUAGAUCAUAUGGAGAUAGAGAGGAAACAUAUAGAAAUGGAUAUAUACCUAGAACUAGCUUUUUAUUAAAUGAGACGGAGAGCCAACAAUGAAGGAAAAUCAAAAUUUUUGGCUCAUAUCAAAGAAUUCACAUUGUGUUACCCUAGGUUUUCUUAAAGCUUGCACAAAGCCAAAAAGCACACAAAAAAUUAUAUUUUCUAGCUCUCUACCUUGGAUGGUCUCUUGAUCCUACUUGGAGAUGUGCAUAAAUAAAAGGAUUUGAAAAUGACAAUUGACUAAGUAUGUAGUCAAUCAAUUACUCAUUAAUUGACUAGUUGAUCAAUUAACUUUGCAACAUCAUAUGCAAUCCUAAUAGCUAGUCAUCUAAUCAACUAGGUAGUAAAUCAAUAGGCCAAAAAUAUGUUUAUAAUGACUAUUUUGUACAAAAACCACCUAUAUGGUUAAAUAUAAUGCAUUUCAUUUAUAAAUCUUCUAAUUCUUGAAUAACGAUCCUAUCAUCCUUUGAAAGUUUUUAUUACACCUUUUAUACUUUUGUUCUAAAACUUACACAUGUACAUCACCCUUAAUUGUACCAUGAGAACCUAGCUUUUUUUUUUUUUUUUUUUGUAAUUCAUCAAAGUUAGCUUUUGUAUUCAUUACUGUACUAUUUUUAUUGUAACUUAGAAAGCGAGUGUUUUCAAGUGAGUGAAAUUGACUUAUAAAUAUUGUAAAGAUUCAUUGAUGUGUAUCUUAAACUAAGUGUACAAGUUGAAACAUUUGCUAGUAGAUUUUCUCAAGAUUUAGAAUAGAGCUUGAGGCUAUUGAAAUAGGUGGGGUUGCACCAAACCACAUCACAUUGUUGUUUGCACCUUUUUUUCACUCUCUUUUACUUAGUUGCUCUAUAUUUGUUGUCUAGUAAUAUCCUAUAGGCUUGAUGGGUUAGGGAGCAUCCCUUUGUGAAAAAUUUUCAUUCAAUCCUUAGUUGUAUCACGCAUAUAUAAAAUGCCUCAUUGUUUUAAUGGUAUUCAGUCGUGGCAUCACAGAUAUGGGCAUCUAAAUUUUAAAAGUUUGAAACUUUUAUCUAAAGAAAAUAUGGUGCUUUGCCUUUUUGUAAAGCAUGUUGAUGAAAUCCAUGAGAAUUGUGUACUUGGGAAGCAACAUCGAGAUGACUUUUUUUUUUUUCAUUUUUUAUAAUGCGACACCUAAGUCCGGUUUCUAAAUGCUGAAGUGAAAGGGUAGGUAUGGACCAUUGAAAUCUGAUCACAACUUUUGGCCUUUUCCUUUCUCUGCAGCCAUGUUGUCUCUUUUUUCUUUUGCAUGAUUUUCUUACCUAAACAGAAUCAUAGACUUGUUUAAUCUCUAAAUGGUAUUUCAUCCAGCUUUAAGCUACUGUAUUAUAUCUUGGUGGAGGACUUUUAAGAGUGAAACCGACAUAGAGCACAUGCAAGUGGGUAUAUGGGACAUGAAAUUUCUUCUUAUAAAGACUGCAUGGUUUUUAUAUUAGAGUUGUUGAGGCGCAAUGUAUUUAGCUUGUUUUGCAGUUAAAUUAAUUGGAUAAGUAGACAUUGUCGUUUCUAAAUUUCCCACCUAAGAUAGUGACCUUAUCCUUGACUGCUUGAUGAGAUACACAAACAAUUAUACCUUCAAAAUCUACUGUGAAGUGCUUCAUGUAUGUGUGAAGUAUUAGAAAUUUCUUUCUUGGCAACUUGUUUUUUCUUUGCCCUCUACUGAUAGGUUUGACUCAAAUUAAAUUCCCUGUCAUGCUAAUUAAUUUUCACGUGCAUGCUCAAAAGGAUCACGUCAACUCUGGUUUCUACUAUUCAGGUCCAUUCCCAGAUAAACUGGUUCAAAUUUGAGAAAAUGGCAACAGCCCUUUAGUGAUGUUGGUUUGGAGCCAGUAGCCAAACCCGCCCUGAGCUUUACCACUAAUGUCAAGGGACAAAGCCAUUUGAACAAAAACAAUAGCUUCAAGAGACUGAAUCGUGGAUGAAAUCUGAUCCACAUUUCUUCUCAUUUUGGGAACAAAUGAGAACUUAACUACAAAGAUUCUACUGCCUCAUAGUGCUUUUCCUGAUCUAAGGUUGGUUCGUUUCCCAAAUUGUGAGGUACGUGCCAUUCUCACGCUCAGGAGUGUAUCCACGUGGUGGACAUAAGAUGGUGGCUUAAUAUCUGGUGUCGGUGGCUUUACUUUACUAGGAGAGUAGUGUGUCUUCAUCUCAUUCACUGCCGGAGGGUGGCGUAAGCAGUGACGCUAAGGUGGGGCACAGUCAAUAUCAUUUGCAUUUGACCAUUAUAGUUUUCUCCCGGCUUGAAAGUAACCUUAUCGUGAUAAAGGAUUACUAGCACUAGUUCAGAUGACAGUCAUGUUAAAUUCGGACCAUGUUUGUGUCACAUUAUCAGCAACCAUGUGUUUAUGGUUCAUGCUAUCUGCAACUAAACUUGAUAUAUAACCACGUGAACUUCAAUCUAAAUUCUGGAAGUACUCUUGUGAUAGAUGGUGCCUGUCUGCAGAGUCCAUCAAUUGAAAAAUGGAGUGAGUGUAUCUAUAAGAGGGAAGGCUUGGCAAAUGUUCAGUUUUCUGGGAACUCAACAAGGAUCUAAAAUAGAUUGUUUUCUUUGCUGAUUUCAAUGGUUGAAAUUUGAGAAGAUUGUGUCCACAUAACACAACUAUUACUGGUCCUUCUGUUGCAAUUUAUCCUCUAAGGCUCUAACAUGUCUUCCAAUUCCCACUUCCCUGUUACUCCAGGAAAGCUAUUUCUGUCAUUGUGAAGAAGAAAAGAGAAUGUACAUAUCGAUGGUUUUAAGUGACUGGGGCAUUCAUAUCAGGUGGUCUGCAGCCAUAUAUGCCACUUUGUGAAGGUUGGAACAGUCAAUCACCAGGCUAUAUUAGUGUGGCCCAGCCACUUCAAUCAAGGACAAGUCUUCAUACUUAAAGUCAAAUUCUGCCUUUAGUCUCAUUAUAAAUUGCUGUUUAAAUAUUAAGCAAACAUUUGUUUAAUGCGAUUAAGACAGUACUAACUCAAUACUUGUUCUAUUUUUGGAUGCAAAUGCUUGAUGGUUUCAUCAUUGGAUGGGAUAAAGGUGCAUUCAUGAUUAUGAAUACUUGUAGUUAUAUUUUCAUUCUCUUUUUUCUCAAUGAGACUUGUUGGCACAAUUUUGCUGUUCAGAAACCUACCUCUCCAUCGAAAAUCAGUUGUGAUUGAUAGUACUGGAUAUAUUCAAGAAAGCUAAAUAUAGAUAGCACCAAAUAUUAUCGAUAUAAAUAGCAUUAACAGCGUACGUAUGUCUCAAUGCUCAUCAGCUAUAAGCAACGGGCAAACACUUACUAUGAGCAACUUGCGUCAAAAUUCCAGAAUAGGACAUAGAAGUGACAGAUCUAUAUAUAUAUAGAACACUGCAUAUGAGUCACAAGAAAGGAAAUUACGGGUGCAUAGCAGCUCUUAUUUUACAUCCUACUCAUACUGAUCAAAGUCACUCAGUUGGGAUGGGUGGGAGUAGGAGGUUUGUGGGGUGGCUUGUGCGGAGGAGUUGGCAGCUUCUUUCCAGGACCUGGUUGCUUCUCUGCUGGAGUUGAAGGAGGCUUAAUCUUCCGAGGUGGCUUGUAUGAGUCUUCAGCAUUCUCAGCAGGAGGGUGACCAGGGUUGUGACCAUAAUGUGGUGGCUUCUCUCCCUUAGGUGGUUUGCCAACUGGGGUUGGUGGCUUGUAUGAGUCUUCAGCAUUCUCAGCAGGAGGGUGACCAGGGUUGCGACCAUAAUGUGGUGGCUUCUCUCCCUUAGGUGGUUUGCCAACUGGGGUUGGUGGCUUGUGUUCUGGGAGUGGCUUCUCCCCCUUGGGAGGUUUUUCCAAUGGGGUUGGUUUGUGUUCAGGAGGUGGCUUCUCCACUGGAGGCUUGUGUUCAGGAGGUGGCUUCUCCACCGGAGGCUUGUGUUCAGGAGGUGGCUUCUCCACCGGAGGCUUGUGUUCAGGAGGUGGCUUCUCGAAUGGGGGAUGCUCAGGGUAAUCAGCAAGUGAGGGGUUGGUGAGAACCACCAUGCCAAGCAACAGGACUAGCAAGUAUGUAGGAGACAUCUUUGGGUUUGGACUUAAGACAGUGGAAAACUGCGAGAAUUCUCUAGCCUUUUAUAGCGGGUCGACCCAGUACUCACAUGACACGUGUCAUUAUGACACAUGUGCCAUGGGGUCGAUUUGGGUCCUACAGUGUUGAAAAGUUGGGCAUUUGAGGUGUGAGCACAACUUUUGGCCUUUGCUUUCUCUACAGCCGCCAUGCUUUUCCCUUUUUUCCUUUUCCUUUUGUUUUCCUCCUGCCUCGUGUUCUCAACUAAACACAAUUAGGUUGUUUAAUUGUUAAAUGAGAUUUUUGUCUGUCAAUCAUAUUAUAUCCUAUCAAGAGAGAACAGAGUGUAAUGUAGUACACAUAACACGAGGCAGUAGUAAUUUUAUCAUUUAUUUUUAUAGCUUGGACCACCGCAUUUUUUCUUCUAAAAUAUUCUGUCUUGUUAAGAGACGCAAUAAUACACAAUUUUAUCUGCCAUUCAACAUUUACUGUAAAGUUCUUUUAUCUCUUUGUAGUUCUAGAAAAGUACAAAAUGGAACAUCAUGUAUAUGGUGCCUUCUGUCCUAAAAAAGAAACUGGACAAAUUAUGAACUGCAUGCUAAAAAGAGGCAAAGGAGCUUAAUUCGCAGCAUAAUUAUUUUGGUUUCUAGAGAGCCCGGGGCCUUUUGGUUGGUUUGGGGUCAGAAAAUGAACAUCAUAGGGAUUGUGCCCUUAACUGGCCUUGUUACUACAAAGAAAUUGCCAUAGAAAUUUAUUCCAGGCUGAGUAUCUCCGGAUAGACCCCAGAAAAGAAGAGUCAUAAUGAGAAUCAACCUUUGUUGAGUUUGAUUCCAUGCCUCCAUUGUGUUCAUUUCAUGAAUCUGAUUUGCAUUUAACAUUACAGUUUUGUUCUGGAAACAAUCAAAGGAGCAUCGUUUGCUUCUUGGGUGACCCAUAGUGGUGGGUGGGUCGAUUUGCUUAGUUGAAAAUUGGACAAUUGGCUCCAUCGCCUACCUCUUGGAUUCCAUGCUCGGAUAAAACGACAACAAAUAAAUAUUUAUAACUUACAACUGGGGAAAGGAAAAAAUAGUACUAAAUUCAUGGUACAUGAUAGUGAGAGAAGGGGGUGUUACACUCAGCUAAAGUUCUUUUCUAAAUAUUGCAUGGUGUUUAAUUUUAUGUGUCGGCGCGCGUGUGAAUGGAACCUGCAAAAGUCCAAAUUGGCGUUUCUCCAUUUUCCACAUAGGAUGGUGACGUUAAUAGACAAAGAUACAAUAUCUGUAGACAUUGCUUAAAAAUCGAUGUGAAGUAUUAGAAAUUACAGGCCACUGUACUGGGGGAGCGGCUGCCCCGCCAAAGGAAGAAUGUAGCAAUUUCUUCUGUUAGCCAGGCCUUAGGAUUUAUGCAUGGGAUGCCUAAUAACAAACAGAGAAAAUAUGCUUUUGGGGAAGGUAUCCAACAACAGACACCAUCAUUCAGAUGGUGGGAAGGUAUCCAACAGAUGCCAUCAUUCAGAUGGUAACAUAUAUAUACAUUUAUUAGUGAGUUUUUUUAAUACCUAUAAAAAAAAUAUACACUUUGAUAUUGUGGCUGAAUCCAUUACAUACUCAACUAACCUUGCUCAUUAGGGAUUUGACGUAACAAGGGCAACGUUGCAGUAAAAGCUCGAAACUUUAUGCAGGUGACAUUACAUUUGGUAAAGAAGAGGAAAAUAAGGAAAGCCAUCCAUAAAAGCAAAAUUCCUCAUGGGAUGAAAUUCACAAACUUCAUUUACGUUAGAGUCGCAUCCAGGCAAUUAAUUCCACAUUAGACCGCCUUUUGACAUGUGUACGGAUCUUUUUUCAAAAAUUAUUUAUAAAUAAUUGAUACUUACAAAAAUAAUUUAAGAUUUAUAAAGGAUAAAAAAAUAUUUUCAAAUCUAUGACAAUUUAUAAAAUAUUAAUAAAAAAUUAUCUCUUAAACUUAGUAUAGUUUUAUCGUAUUAAACUUUUAUUUUGAACAAAUAAUUUUAAUCUAAGUUUUAAAUUCUAAAAUUAUUUCCUUAAAAUAAAAUUUUAAAAUUCAACACUUCAAUUGAAAUUGUCUUUUAAAAAAAAUAUCUUCUUAUUUUAAUCCUUAUAAACUAUAGUUGAUUGAAAAUACUAUUGAAGUUCUCUCUUCAAAAAAAGUCUUAUUUUAAUCUUCAUAAAUUGCCCUUGAUUUGAAAAUAAACUUUGGGUUAUCAUAUUUUAAAUAAUAUAUAUAUAUAUAUAUAUAUAUAUAUAUAUAUAUAACAAAUACUCUAUUUUUUUUUUAAAUGAACUAAUUUUAAUUAUAUUUUAUUUUAUUUUUUUAUAUAUUUUUAAUGAUAAACCAAACAUAGAAAAUCAUUUUUCUAAAUAUUUUAAAAUUUCUAAGCAACCAAACAUAAUCUUCAAAAUAAAAGGAGAAUAAGGAGGGACAAGUGAGAAAUGGCGAUUAAAAAAAAGUGUACAAAAGCUCAAUUAAUUUUCUUCUAGUCUUUUAUAUAAAAAAGUAUUGGUAUGUAAAUUAAUAUUUGGAUUUUAAUAGUAUUUUAUUUGUCUUUCUCUAUCUCAUGUAAAAGAGAAUUUAAGAUAUUUCCUAAAGCAAAGCAUUAGUUAUCUGCAAUCAGUGGUGAUCAUGGUCCAUGUCAAUUUCGGACCCAUAUCUUAAAACCGUAUAAUUUGCGUUUCAACAUUACUGAUUUCUCAGAUGUUUCAUACUCCACAGAAGAGUAUUGUUAGUGAAAGCAUUUUGUAACUGUUACUCAUAGUGUUUUGACUCUGGCUCAACAACAUCAGCCAUUGACGGAUUUUCAUACAUGCAAAUCAAAUAGUCUUCUUCCUCCCUUAGGAAUUUCGGUUUAAAUGUUAUUAAGCAUACAUUUGGCUGACAAUUAUUAACCACUUCAUGAUAUGGUUUCUUACCCUUAAUCAAUGGUUUCUAAGUGAAUAUAUGCAGAAGGAAAUCUGAACUGUAGACAGCAGUAUUGAUAACUCUCAAUAUUCUUUAUAUAAGAGAAUAAACAACGUCAUAGUGAUCGUCGCCUACAAGAAAGGUACAUUUCCCAACAAGAUGUAGUGGUGACUGCUACAUGGACGCAAUUAACUCGUAGAAAAGGAUAAGACCAGUGCACGGCAGCUCUUAUUUUACAUGCUAAUUAUGCUAACCAAAGUCACUCAGUUGGGAUGGGAGGGAGAUGGAGGUUUGUGCGGUGGCUUGUGGGGCGGAGUUGGUGGCUUCUUUUCAGGAGCUUGUGGCUUUUUCGGAGCUGAAGGAGGCUCAAUCUUAUGAGGCGGCUUGUACGAGUCUUCUUUACUCUCGACAGGAGGGUGACCAGGGUUGUGACCAUAAUGUGGUGGCUUCUCUCCCUUAGGUGGCUUGCCAACUGGGGUUGGUGGCUUGUGUUCAGGAAGUUGUUUCUCUCCCUUGGGAGGUUUACCAAUUGGGGUUGGUGGCUUGUGUUCUAGGAGUGGUUUCUCUCCCUUGGGAGGUUUAGUGGGUGACUUGUGUUCUGGAGGUGGCUUCUCCACCGGAGACUUGUGUUCUGGAAUUGAUUAAAAAAAUUCUACCACUCUUUUAAGUAAUGGAAGAUUAUUAUCUCUGAUUGGCACCACAACAGCACAUGCUGCUAGAUCUUUCUAGACACUCCAUGCAAUGAAAGCACAAUGGAUCUUGUAACGAUAGAAACUAAGCCAUGCUACAGUACUAGAUGACGAGGUAAAACUAGUAGACAUGGGUGGUAGUUGAUUACUACUCAAAAAGUACUCUUUUAUAGUUUGAAACUAACUGUUUUAAACACUUUUGAGUAGUAGUUAAUAAAUUUUAACUCAAUUGGCACAUUAAGGAACCUAGCAAGGGUUACUAAUAAACUUUUGGCAAGUUUUGGUGUUUUUGGUAGUUAUUCGAUCAUUGAAACAAGCCAAGAAUGAGGGAGAAUUUUGUGAAGUCCAUGGCAAUGCAAGUUAAAGCUCAAAUACACGAAGAAUCCAAGCUUUGGAGCACUACAUAGCCCUUUGCCAAGCCAAUUAGAGAUGCAAGGAACAAAACCAAAGGAAGAAAUCCAACAACCAACAUUUUCGCAUGGUUGUGUGAAAUUUCGCACACCAUGCGAAACCACAAGAGGUAGCCAAAGAAUUUCACAUGGUAUGCGAAAUCUUCUCAUGCACCGACUCCGUUAGAUUUUUAUCUUCAGAUAUUUUGUGUAAUUUCCUAGUUUCUCCUUGUAACCAACCUAGAUAUUUUCUUUUAUAUCUUUUUUUAUAUUUUUUAGGUAACAUCAUAUAUAAGGGGAGAGACAUAAGGAGGAUAUGGAUGUUUUUCAUAGAACACUUGUAAAUUUUCAGUAGUAAGAAAUAUACAAAGCUUUUUGCUAUGCCUUACCUUCUCAUUUUGUUUUCACCUGUCUUUCUAGCCAAACAACCUCUAAGGAUGAUUUCUCAGGGGAUGAGUGGCUAGGUUUUACGUUUCUUGGAGUGAGGGAAGCUAGGUGAAGGACCUGAAUGCAAAGAUGAGAGUUUUCCUUGCUUUAAAUGAAAGUAGUUGUUAAACAUUAAUGGUUUUUAUUUUAAGGUUUAGCUUUAAAUCCCUUAAAAACACCUUGAAUGACCAAUACUUGGUAAGCUUUUCGGAUUCUAUGGAUGCUUAUUGCUAGAUCCAUGGAUGUCUAUUAGUUAUCAUUUACGAGCCUUUGGAAGGUGAUUCAAGGUGAGGGUCUUUAGUGUUUGAAGCCAUUAAUGGGAAGCAAUUACCAUUUUUUCAUGAAUCCUUUGGAUCAAAUCUUAAUUGCUAAAUAUAAAACCGAUUUGGGAAAUAACCAUCCUUUAUGUUAUUAUCCCCAACGCAAGGAGAAGAUCCGGAAUCUUCCCUUUUGUCUAAGGAACCCGAUCCUAGUGACCUAAAGCUCCAAGAGACCUUUUCUUUGUAGUUAACUUCAUUUAUUGUUUUUGCUUAACUUAAAAUCAAUCUUUGCAACCACAAUUCCAUUUUCUUUAAAAGCUAAUUUUUAUAAGGAAAAACACCAUUUUAUUUCCUUCACUAAGUCAACUGUACGAUGAAAACCCAUCCCUGUGGACGAUCCUAGAGCCAUUAUACUAUGUUAGCUAUGCUACCCUAGUGUGAGGUGAUUUAGGUUUUAUAAAUUUUGUUGAUAACACCCAUCUGAGCCAGAAUCAAAUGGCACAACUGAACCAGGGACGAAUCAAAUGGCGCCGCUAUCGAGGAUGGUGCCAAAGUACAUUGACAUGACUUUUGGUGAACACUUGUGAUCUUCAUCACAAGUUUGGUGAUUUUUCUAUUACUAAUUUUUUUCUUUGUUUUUAUUUUAGCUUAUCUUUUAUUUAGUUUUUAGCUAACCUUAACUUUUUCUUAGAAUUGUAUUUCUUCUAUUUUCUUUGUUUUUGUUUCAGUGAUCUUUAGUUGUGCAUGCCCUAUUGGAUAAGAAAUAUUGAGGGAAUACUUGUGAAGAUUGAAAAUCCUCGAGAAACUGAGUUGGAAGUGUGAUUGAACAUCAUGGAUGUUCCACCUGAAGACCAGAAUAGCCAACAUGGUUAAGAGGAUAAUUUCAAAGCAUACCGAUCCAUGAGGGACUGCAUGCAUCCACCUCGUAUGAGUGCACCGUCAUGCAUAGUGCCUCCCACUGAGCAACUAGUAAUCUGACCUCACAUUGUGCCACUCCUACCUACUUUCCAUGGGAUGGAGAGUGAGAAUCUCUACUCGCAUAUUAAGAAAUUCGAGGAGGUUUGUAAUACAUUCCAAGAAGGAGGAGCUUCAAUUGACUUGAUGAGGCUCAAGCUAUUUCCUUUCACUUUGAAGGAUAAGGCUAAGAUUUGGCUUAAUUCUUUAAGGCCAAGGAGUAUCCGAACUUGGACUAAUUUGCAAGCCGAUUUUCUUAAGAAGUUCUUCCUUACCCAUAGGACCAAUGGUUUGAAAAGGCAAAUUUCGAACUUCUCAGCUAAAGAGAAUGAGAAAUUCUAUGAGUGAUGGGAGAGGUACAUGGAAGCUAUUAAUGCUUGUCCUCACCAUGGCUUUGACACAUGGCUCUUAGUGAGUUAUUUUUACGAUGGUAUGUCUUCUUCAAUGAAGCAACUCCUAGAAACUAUGUGUGGAGGAUACUUCAUGAGUAAGAAUCCGAAGGAAGCCAUGGACUUUUUGAGUUAUGUGGCUGAAGUUUUAAGAGGAUGGGAUGAACCAAAUGCUAGAGAGGUGGAAAGAAUGAAGUCUCAACCUAAUGCUAAGGGUGGGAUGUAUGUUUUGAAUGAAGACAUUGACAUGAAAGCAAAGGUUGUAGCUAUGGCAAGGAGAUUGGAAGAGCUAGAAAUGAAGAAGGCACAAAAAGUGGAAGCCAUUUCUGAGACAUCAGUGCAAGCUAUGCCUUGUUCCAUUUGUCAACCUAAUGCUAAGGGUGGGAUGUAUGUUUUGAAUGAAGACAUUGACAUGAAAGCAAAGGUUGUAGCUAUGGCAAGGAGAUUGGAAGAGCUAGAAAUGAAGAAGGCACAAAAAGUGGAAGCCAUUUCUGAGACAUCAGUGCAAGCUAUGCCUUGUUCCAUUUGUCAAUCUUAUGAGUACCUAGUGGAGGAGUGUCCUACAAUUCCAGUAGUGAGAGAGAUGUCUGGUGAUCAAGCAAAUGUUAUUGAUCAAUUCAAGCCUAAUAAAAAUGCUUCAUAUGGCAACACCUACAAUUCAAAUUGGAUGAACCAUCCAAAUUUCUCUUGGAAACCAAAGCUACCUCAAUACACACAACCUGCUCAAGCACCUUAGCAAUCCUCGAAUCUUGAACAAGCUAUUGUGAACCUUAGUAAGGUUGUGGGAGAUUAAAAGUCCAUCAAUGCUCAACUGAAUCAGAGAAUUGACAGUGUAGAGAGUACAUUGAACAAAAGGAUGGAUGAGAUGCAAAAUGAUCUGUCUCAAAAGAUAGACAAUGUCCAAUAUGCAAUCUCAAGGCUUACCAACCUCAACACAGUGCAAGAGAAAGGAAAGUUUAUUUCUCAACCUCAUCAAAAUCCCAAGGGUAUCCAUGAAGUGGAGGCUCAAGAGAGAGAAUCUUCAAAGGUGAGGGAAGUCAAAGCAGUUAUCACCUUGAGGAGUGGUAAAGAGGUUGAUCAACCCACAUCCAAGCCAAAGCAUAAUGAAGAGAGUUUUGUAGAAAAAGAAAAGAGAGGAAAAUAAAGGAAAGAGAAUAGAGAAAAGUACAAAGAAAGAUGACCAUGAGUCUAGUGUGGAUGAAGAGCCCAAGAGGAUAGUGAUCAAGGAAAAUAUGAUGAAGAAACACAUGCCUCCACCUUUCCCCUAAGCUUUGCAUGACAAAAAAGGAACCAAUAAUACAUCGGAAAUUUUUGAAGUAUUGAGGCAAGUGAAGGUCAAUAUCCCUUUGCUAGAGAUGAUCAAACAAGUGCCGACAUAUGCAAAAUUCUUGAAGGACUUGUGCACUGUAAAGAGAGGGUUGAAUGUGAACAAGAAAGCUUUCUUGACCGAGCAAGUGAGUUCCAUCAUACAGUGCAAGUCUCCAGUGAAGUACAAAUAUCCGGGCUACCCUACCAUCUCAGUGAGUAUUGGAGGUACUUGUGUGGAAAAAGCUUUGUUGGACUUGGGAGCAAGUGUGAAUUUGCUACCCUACUCUGUCUAUAAGUAGUUGGGACUUGGAGAGUUGAAGUCAACAUCCAUCACCCUAUCUCUGGCAGAUAGAUCAGUGAAGAUUCCAAGAGAGAUGAUAGAAGAUGUCUUGGUUCAAGUUGACAAAUUCUACUAUCCAGUGGAUUUUGUUGUUCUUGAUACGGAUCCGAUUGUCAAAGGAACUAAUUAUGUUCCUAUCAUACGAAGACCCUUCCUAGCUACAUCAAAUGCAAUCAUCAAUUGUAGGAAUGGAGUCAUGAAACUCACGUUUGUCAACAUGACAUUAGAGCUCAACAUCUUCCAUUUGUACAAGAAGCAUAUCCAUUCAGAAGAAAAAGAAGGUCUAGAGGAAGUGUGCAUGAUUGACACUUUAGUGGAGGAGCAUUGUGAUCGACAAUGCAAGAAGAUUUAGUUGAGAGUUUUGGGGAUCUUGAUGAAGGGUUACUUGAACCCUCAGAUUUGCUUGCUACCCUACUCCAUUGGAGGAAGAGAGAAGAAAUUCUACCCUUAUUCAAUGAGGAGGAGACACAAAGAGCUGCUAAAGAUAAGCCCCCAAAGCUUAUUCUUAAGCCACUACCCACAGAGUUGAAGUAUGCAUACUUGGAAGAAGACAAGAAGUGCACUGUUGUUAUAUCUUUAGCUCUUACCAUUCAUCAGGAGGAUUGUCUACUUGAAGUCCUUAGAAGAAGUAAGAAGGUAAUAGGGUGGCAAAUUUCUGAUUUGAAAGGGAUCAGCCCUUUUGUCUGCACCCAUCAUAUUUACAUGGAGGAUGAAGCUAAGCCAAUUCAUCAACCUCAGAGAAGGUUGAACCCUCACAUGCAAGAAGUGGUGAGAGUUGAAGUUCUUAAGCUACUUUAGGCUGGUAUUAUUUACCCCAUAUCAGAUAGCCCAUGGGUGAGUCCUACUCAAGUUGUGCCAAAGAAGUCGGGGAUCACGGUGGUGCAAAAUGAUAAGGGAAAAGAUGUCUCUACAUGUCUCACUAUAGGUUGGAGGGUGCGUAUCAAUUACAGGAGGUUGAAUGUAGUGACAAGGAAUGACCAUUUCUCGUUGCCCUUUAUUGAUCAAGUGCUUGAGAGGGUCUCUGGGCAUCCUUUUUAUUGUUUCUUGGAUGGCUACUCGAGGUAAUUUAAGAUAGAAAUUGAUGUUGAAGACCAGGAGAAGACCAUUUUCACAUGCCCAUUUAGAACCUAUGCAUAUAGGAGAAUGUCUUUCGGCUUAUGCAAUGCACCCACAACUUUCCAAAGAUGCAUGUUAAGCAUUUUCAAUGAUAUGGUGGAGCAUAUUAUGGAAGUCUUUAUGGAUGAUAUCACCAUAUAUGGAAGUGCAUUUGAUGAAUGCUUGGUCAACUUAGAAGUUGUUCUGAACCGAUGCAUUGAGAAAGACUUAGUGCUUAAUUGGGAGAAGUGCCAUUUCAUGGUACACCAAGGGAUUGUCCUUGGGCACAUCAUCUCCAAGCAAAGCAUUGAAGUUGACAAAGCAAAGGUUGAACUCAUUGUUAAGUUGCCAUUCCCAACAAAUGUCAAAGGAGUAAGGCAAUUCCUUGGCCAUGCCGGGUUCUAUAGGAGGUUUAUCAAGGAUUUCUCUAAGCUUGCAAGGCCUCUUUGUGAAAUAUUGGUGAAGGAUGUUAAAUUCAUAUGGGAUGAUAGAUGCCAAAGGAGUUUUGAAGAAUUGAAGCUAUUUUUGACAACCUCACCAAUAGUGAGGGCUCCCAACUAGCAACUGCCCUUUGAGGUAAAGUGUGAUGUCAAUGACUUUGCUAUAGGAGCUGUUCUUGGGCAAAGAGAAGAUGGAAAACCUUAUGUGAUCUACUAUGCGAGCAAGACAUUGAAUGAGGUGCAAAGAAACUACAUAACCACCGAGAAAGAAUUGUUAGCUGUAGUUUUUGCCUUGGAUAAGUUUCGUGCUUACUUGGUGGGAUCCUUCAUCGUGGUUUUUAUUGAUCACUUUGCUUUGAAGUAUCUAUUGACUAAGCAAGAUGCUAAAGCAAAACUGAUUAGAUGGAUUUUCUUGCUUCAAGAGUUCAAUCUCCAGAUCAAAGACAAGAAAAAAAUGGAGAAUGUGGUAGUAGACCACAUUUCAAGGCUAGCUAUCGCACAUAAUUCCCAUGCUUUGCCCAUUAAUGACGAUUUUCUAGAGGGGUCUCUCAUGUUGGUGGAAGUUGUCCCUUGGUACGCUCACAUUGCUAACUACCUGGUCACAAGAGAAGUUCCAAGUGAGUGGAAAGCACAAGAUAAGAAGCACUUCUUUGCAAAAAUUCAUGCCUACUAUUGGGAAAAGCCAUUUCUAUUCAAGUAUUGUGCGGAUCAGAUAAUAAGGAAGUGAGUUCCUGAAGAAGAGCAACAGGGGAUCCUCAGUCAUUGCCAUAAAAAUGCAUGUGGAUGCCACUUUGCUUAUCAGAAGACAACCAUGAGGGUGCUGCAAUCGGGUUUCUGUUGGCCAUCACUUUUCAAAGAUGCCCACACCAUGUGCAAGAGUUGUGAUCGAUGCCAGAGGCUUGGGAAGUUAUCAUGUAGGAACAUGAUGCCUUUGAACCCCAUUUUAAUAGUUGAUCUUUUUUAUGUUUGGGGCAUUGACUUCAUGGGACUUUUCCCUAUAUCUUUUGGCUACUCUUACAUCUUGGUGGGAAUAGAUUAUGUUUCUAAGUGGGUUGAGGCAGUCCCAUGCAAACACAAUGACCAUAGAGUGGUUCUCAAGUUUCUUAAGGAGAACAUCUUCUCAAGAUUUGGGGUGCCCAAAGCCAUAAUUAGUGAUGGGGGUACUCAUUUUUGCAACAAGCCUUUUGAAACUCUCCUAGCCAAGUAUGGGGUGAAGCAUAAGGUAGCUACACCUUACCACCCUCAAACUAAUGGGCAAGUUGAGUUAGCAAACAAGGAGAUUAAAAACAUAUUGAUGAAGGUGGUGAACACAAACAGAAAAGAUUGGUCAGUCAAGCUCUUCGAUUCACUAUGGUCAUGUAGAACAGCUUACAAGACCAUUAUCGGGAUGUCUCUUUAUCACCUAGUCUAUGGAAAAAAUGCCAUCUCCUUGUGAAAUUGGAAUACAAAGCUUGGUGGUCAAUCAAGAAGCUCAACAUGGAUUUGAGCAGAGCUGGGUUGAAGAGGUUCUUAGACCACAAUGAGAUGGAGGAAUUGAGAAAUGAUGCCUACAUCAAUUCAAAAAUUGUAAAAGAAAAAUUGAAGAGGUGGCAUGAUCAGUUGAUUUCCCGCAAGAAUUUUCAAAAUGGAUAAAGAGUCUUGCUCUAUGACUCUAAACUCCACAUCUUUCCGAGCAAGCUGAAAUCAAGGUGGAUAGGUCCUUUUACCAUUCACCAAGUGCAUUCAAAUAGAGUAGUGGAACUACUCAACUCCAACAACAUCGGGAGCUUCAAAGUGAAUGACCAUUGUCUCAAGCCCUUUGUAGAGUCUUUUUUCUCGCGACAAGGAGGAAUUCAUCCUCCUUGAUCCACAUCAAGCUUGACAAGACCAGUUUUUUUUUAUGGACUUAGUCUUUCUAAAGACUAUCGAGUCCAUAACUUUUUAUUUUAUUUUUUAUUUGAGAGUUUUUCGGUAUUAUUACUUGUUUUGUUUUUUAUUUUUCGUUUUACUUUUAUUUGGUUUGAUUUAACUUAGAUUUUUUAUGAUCAAUUGCAGGGGGGAUUUCAAAUAGAGGAAAAACCAAGAUAAUUCGCACACCCUGCGAAAAUUUCGCAAGGCAUGCGAAAUUUAUGGCUCAUUUCGCAUGGGAUGCGAAAUUUCGCACACCCUACGAACCAAUUUCGCACACUUUGUGAAAAUAAACCAACCCUACGAAAUCAUUUCAAAUACUCUACGAAAUUUUCGCAGAGCAUGUAAAAAAUUUCGCAGACCAAACACCAUUUCGCAUACUAUGCGAAAAUGUAAGGGGUCUACAAAACCAUUUCGCACCUCCAAAGCCAUUUCGCACAUUGUGCAAAAAUGAAAAGUCGCCCUAUCAUCCAUUUUUAAACCCCUUGAGCCCUGAAAUCCCCAUUUCGCAAGCACCCCUGUCCUUGCGAAUCCCUCAUUUUCCUCUGCCACCUUGCGACCUUGUCCCUCUCCAUUUGAUAUCGUGCCCUGCGCACAUCUCAUUUCAAAGACUCGCACUCUGCGCCCUCUCAAAGCACGAACCCAAGGCUCACAUUCCAUUUCCGACAUGGCACAGACCCGAGGAGCCCUUCCCGCCCCUUCAUCGAGACGCACACCAAGGUAGAGAGCCUCUUUUGCUCAGAUGCCAAGUGAUUCUCCAUUUCAGGCCACGGAGGCCCUGCGGAUUCCACAUUCCAAGGGUAGAACAGCCACUGGUCCUUCCUCUUCUAUUCCUCAGCGUAGAUAUGAGACGAGGAGACCACCUACUACACAAAGGGCGACUACUUCGCGCCAUGAGAAUUCGGUACGACACCCUCCUGCCAAGAGGGCCAGGACUUCAGGCCCAGGCGAGUCAUCCAAAGCUUCACAGCCUGAGCCUCCUGCAGAUUCCGAGGUUCCUACUGACAUAUCAUCGGAGUCUAUUAUCAAACGCCCGAUGCUCACAGCACCGCCCAUUGAGGGCAACUCUGAUUGUAGAGCGAGACCUUUCCACUUGGAGCUAUAUUUUAAUUAAGAGGCCAUGCCACAGCAGCCUGAGCUCCAAGACUCUUAUGGCUUACUACAGAGGUACCAUCUUGAGGACCUUAUGACUCCUCGUGAGUUCUUUUAUCCCAGAGUAGCACUAGACUUUUACCAGUCCAUGACUACUCGUGGCGUCCCGAGUCCUACCGCGAUGCACUUCACCAUUAAUGGACGUCAUGGUAUCCUCGAGGCCAGACAUAUUGGAGAGGCUCUACAGAUUCCUUUCGAGCUAGAGGACCCAUCUGUUUUCUGCCAAUGGUCCCCAAUAUCUCAGAGGGACAUGGUCCAUAUUUUAUCCAGGGGGACAUCUACAUAUUCGAUCCUUCUACGGAAGGAGCUUCGACCUGGGAUACUCCUCGUAGAUGUGGUGCUACUUUCCAACCUCUUUCCCUUUUAGCAUUCGAUACAUAGGCGAGGAGCUAUUUUGGACGCUUUAUUCUGUAUAUCAGAGGGCUUCUACUUUGGCCCGCACCACUUGAUCAUGGUUUCCCUCAUCCAUUUUGAGGAGAAGGUCCAUAGAAAGAAGCUUCAGAGGGCGAACACCAUUCCAUUACUAUUCCCGAGGUUGCUCUACUAGAUCUUGGAGUACAUGGGCUUUCCUACUGAGCCUCGGCUUGUGUGCCGCCGCCUUUGUCAAGAGCGAUCCACUCUCGACAAAUGGAAUCAGUUGGCGGGCUAUUCUACACCUCCAGGAGCCCCUCCCAUGGUAGCACCUCUAGUGUCCCCACAGGCAGAGUAGGGCAAGCUCCCGGUAGAGACUGCACCCCUAGUGCCCACACCUGAGGCUACUUCUGCUGUUCCGCCUACGACUCCUACUGUUCCACCAGUUGGUCCUUUUACAUCUGAGUCUUCCAUCAACAUCUCGACUUCGGAGUUUCGCGCCCUUGUGCAUACCUUUCAGACACUCACCACCACACAUACUGCUCUCUUCUAGAAAAUGGCUGAGAUGCGUGCCCAUCAGGACCAGCAGACUACUAUACUCCGCCAAAUUCAACAGCACCUGGGACUUCUGCCUCUGCCUCAGCUUGACCUUCCCACAUCAUCAGAGCCUCUAGCUCCAGUUGAGGAUACUAUUCCACCUGAGGACACUACCACAGUAGAGGUUCAGAUUCCACCACCUCAGGAGGCCACCACAGCUACAUUAGAGGAUGCAUCAUCUCCACCUGAGGCUCCCACUACUUGAUCAUAGGACAUCUCUUUAUCUUAUUGUAUUUACAUAUUAUAUUACUGGAGAUUUGUCUUUGUUUUGAUACUUUAUAUUCUGGCAUUGAAUGUAUUGCCUAAUGAUAUCUCAAUUGUACUUUCUCAUAUUAAUAUAUAGACAUCAAUUUUUUUUAGUAUACUUAGGAUUUUUCUAUUUACUCUACUCAUUACUCUUUUGUUUUUUUUUUUUUACUCAUGUGGUUUCUCCUAUACGACUCAGACUCCAUUUCACUCAGGAGGUACCACUUCUUCCCUUUAUUUUCAAUUGCUCUUGAAACAUUGAGGGCAAUGUUGAUCUUGGUUGGAGGGAGAGUUGAGGAAGGAAGUGAUUACUACUCAAAAAGUGCUAUUUCAUAGCUUGUAAUUAACUCUUUUAAAACACUUUUGAGUAGUAGUUAUCACCUUUUAACCCAAUUAACAUAUUAAGGACCCUUGCAAUCAAUUCUAAUCAAAUUGUGUUAAGUUUUGGUAUUUUGAUAGCUUUUUUAUCACCAAAGCAAUCCGAGAUUGAGGAUAUUUAUUUGGAAUCCAUGGCAAAAGAUGUUUGGACAGGACGUCCGGACACACCAUCGGAGGGCGGCGGAACGUGGGCUGUGGCAGGCUGUCGGAAUGACGUAGCAAGGCUUGUGCACUUUAGCCAAUGAUCGGGAUAACAUAUCCGAAAUUCUGCUCCGCCGACAUUCCACCCGGAUGUCUCACAUCCGGAAUUCUGCUCCGCCGACAUUACACCCAGAUGUCUCACAUCCAAAAUUCUUCUCCGUCGACAUUCCAUCCGAAUAUUUCACAUCCGACGCUUGACGCCGGAUGGGAGAGGAGGGCGUUUCAACUUCCCCGGUCAGACAUAUCCGAAUCCUUUGAUAACGCUUACCCGGAGAGUUUCGCAGCCAUUUUGCACAGUGCCGCGGUGUUCUCUUGAAGCUUCCCGAUAUGUGCGACCGACAUUUUGAGAUAUUUUGCUUUAGAUAUUUGAUGUCUAAAUCCCCAAACUCUCCUUGUAACCCACCAAUUAUAGGAUUCCUUAGUUAUUAAGUUUGGAAAAAUGGUGAAUAACCCCUUAUAUAUAGUUUGCAAUUUUCAUAAAAAAGAUAUGUAGAAUCUCGGGAGCUUGUUCCCAGAGAGACGCAUCCUUUGUACAGUUUUGGAAGGAAGUAAAAUACAGAGCACUUGCUCUGCUUUUCAUAUAUAUUUUUGUUUUCUCGUUCUUUUUAUUUCUAGCCAAUCAAAGUCUGAGGAUUUUUCCUCAGAGGAUGAGAGGCUAGGCUCUUCGUCUCUUGGAGUGAAGAAAACUAGGUAAGUUUCCACAUGCAUAAAUUGAAAGUUUUGUUGUUUUAGUUUUUAAUGAAGAGAAAGUGUGACCCGUUAAUGGUUUUUAUCUUUUUAGUUAACUUAAAACGCCUUUAAAUCACCCGGGCCAACACUUGAUAAGGCAAGUGGUCUCCAUCCAUUGAGAUGCACUAGUUUAUCUCUUGCGAGCCUUUGGGAGGUGGUUUGAAGGUAGGAUUUUCUAGAAUAACCAACACUUGAUAAGCUUUUGGACUCUAAGGAGACAUCCAUUAGUUAUCUCUUGCGAGCUUUUGACGGGUAAUCCAAGGUUAAAGAUCACCUUGAAUGGCAAGUACUAGGUGAGAGGUAUGAGCCAUUGCAAGAUGCAUUAGUGAGAGGGAUUUAGUGUUUGAACCCAUUAAAGGGAAGCAUCUGUACCACACCGGUUCGGGAAAUAACUAUAUGUUAAAUCCCCAAUGAGAGGAAAAGAAACAAGUGACCGGAACUCCCUUUUUGUAUAAGGAACCUGAGCCUAGUGAUCUAAACUCCAAGAAACACUUUUCUUUGUAAGUAAAAUCAGUUACUAUUUUUGGUUAGUUUAAAACCAAACCUUUUUCAUUCAAACAUCUUUAUGUUUUCUUUUAAAGCUAACCUUGAAAUGAAAAGGCACCAAUUCAUAUUUGAAUUAAUAUCAAUUGUGAAGUGAAAACCCAUCCCAGUGAACGAUCCUAGAGCCACUAUGCUAUAGUAGCUUUGUCUUUGCUACCCUAGUUCAUGGUUUAAUAGGUUAUAAAUUUUGUUGAUUACUCCCACAAUCAAAGGAGCACCAGUUGGACAUGAAUCAACUGAGACACUAAUUGGGCACAAAUCAGGAAGUUUUGUUAAUAAUGCUAGGUUAAUUUGUUAAUUUAGUUACUUUCUGCUUAAUUUUAAAAGUUUUCACUUUACUUUCCAUAGUUAUUAAGGAAAAAUUCUCAAAAUGAAAUGGGAGAAAUUGAAUUCUUACAUUUUUACUUGAAUUUUAGAAUUUGUAUUAUGCUUAUUGAAGCUGAUGAAUUAUUGAAACUCCUAUUGAAUUCAACCUUAUUUCUUCCACUUUAAUCUUACCACACACGGUGCACAUUAGGUUCCGAUUAUAAGAGGUGCGUUCUUAGCCUAUUGGAGGUUGGUCAAUUUGUUAAAGUUUGAGAAAGAUCUAGGUUAGGGGAGAGAGAAUAGUCUGACAUACUAUAAUCGAAAACUAAUAAACUUAACACUUAGAUCUUUGUGGAAGAGUAAGGAUUGGACCUUUGGGAGUGGAAAUUCGUUUGAUGCUUAAAUUUGCAUAAUGCUUACACUUUAUAAAUUGUGAUUAGGCAAGAGAUUUGAUGACUCUUGUUCAAGGUUGGGUUUUGCCUCUUUGAUGUUCCAUGAGAGAGUAUAAUCCUCAUCAUGCCACUUGAAAUUUUUUUUGGAGUGAUUAACAUGAUUUUGUAAAUUACUUUACUGUCUAUUUUUUUUUUAUCUCUCCUUCAUUGCUAAUGGACUAGCAAUAUGUCAGUUGAGGGGAGUGAUUACUACUCAAAAAGUACUCUUUUAUAGCUUGAAACUAACUGUUUUGAACACUUUUGAGUAGUAGUUAAUACCUUUUAACUCAAUUGGCACAUUAAAGAACCUAGCAAGGGUUACUAAUUAGUUUUUGGCAAGUUUUGGUGUUUUUGGUAGCUAUUUGAUCAUUGAAACAAGCCAAGAAUGAGGGAGAAUUUUGUGAAGUCCAUGGCAAUGCAAGUUAAAGCUCAAAUACAUGAAGAAUCCAAGCUUUGGAGCACUUCAUAGCCCUUUCCAAAGCCAAUCAGAGAUGCAAGGAAGAAAACCAGAGGAAGAAAUCCAACAAUUAGCAUUUUCGCAUGGCUGUGCGAAAUUUCGCACACCAUGCGAAACCACAAGAGGCAGCCAAAGAAUUUUGCACACUAUGCGAAAUUUCGCAUGGUAUGCAAAAUCUUCUUGUGCACCAACUCCGUUAUAUUUUUAUCUCAAAUAUUUUGUGUAAUUUCCUAGUUUCUCCUUGUAACCAACCUAGAUAUUUUCUUUUAUAUAUUUUUUAGGUAACAUCAUCUAUAGGGGGAGAGACAUAAGGAGGAUAUGGAUGUUUUUCAUAGAACACUUGUAAAUUUCCGGUAGUAAGAAAUAUACAGAGCUUUUUGCUCUACCUUACCUUCUCAUUUUGUUUUCACUUGUCUUUCUAGCCAAACAACCUCUGAGGAUGAUUUCUUAGGGAAUGAGUGGCUAGGUUUUACGUUUCUUGGAGUGAGGGAAGCUAGGUGAAAGACCCGAAUGCUAAGGUGGGAGUUGUCCUUGCUUUAAAUGAAAGUAGUUGUUAAACAUUAAUGGUUUUUAUUUUAAGGUUUAGCUUUAAAUCCCUUAAAAACAUCUUGAAUGGUCAAUACUUGGUAGGCUUUUUGGAUUCUAUGGAUGCUUAUUGCUAGAUCCCUGGAUGUCUAUUAGUUAUCAUUUAUGAGCCAUUGGAAGGUGGUUCAAGAUGAGGGUCUUUAAUGUUUGAAGCCAUUAAUAGGAAACAAUUACCAUUCUUUCAUGAAUCCUUUGGAUCAAAUCUUAAUUGCUAAAUAUAAAACUAGUUCGGGAGAUAACCAUCCUUUAUGUUAUUAUGCCCAACGCGAGGAGAAGAUUCGGAAUCUUCCCCUUUGUCUAAGGAACCCGAUCCUAGUGACCUAAAGCUCUAAGAGACCUUUUCUUUAUAGUUAACUUCACUUAUUGUUUUUUCUUAACUUAAAAUCAAUCUUUGCAACCACAAUUCCAUUUUCUUUGAAAGCUAAUUUUCAUAAGGAAAAUCACCAUUUUAUUUUCUUCCCUAAGUCAACUGUACGAUGAAAACCCAUUCCCAUGGACGAUCCUAGAGCCACUAUACUAUGUUAGCUAUGCUACCCUAAUGUGAGGUGAUUUAGGUUUUAUAAAUUUUGUUGAUAACACCUGUUUGAGCCAGAAUCAAAUGGCGCAACUGAACCAGGGACGAAUCAACAACUUAUAUGGGAGGGACACAAGUUUAAUUGAUUUGCAUUUCAACGUUAUAUAUAGGUAUGUUUUGGAAGAUUUGUUCUGGAAAUACUGCACCAAGUACGAUUCUUUUUGUCUUGAGUGGGUCUACUUGCAUGCCAAUUAACGAGUGGAAAAGUAGGAGCACCUACCUCAUGCUCGCGGAACCGAAGGUCAGUGAAGUGGGGCUCCUUUUGGCCUCUUGUGUUUCUAUUCCAACCAAGGCGGCGUAAGGAAAAACAACAAUAUGUUUGUGCUAAAUAUCAACGCAUGAUAGAUGUUUUUGUUUUUUGGUAUGUCAAGGCUAAUGAAUGAAAUGCUUUAGCUUGUUUUGUGACUGGAACUGCAAAUGUCCAAAUUGGAGUAUCUCCAUUUCUCACUUCGGAUGGUUAACUUAUAAACAAGAUAUAGGAAACAUGUGAACAUCUUGAGGAACAAUUUGAAUUAUUCAUUAGAAGUCCUGGGUUGAGUUCCAAGAUUUAAAUUAGACCCCUCUAGCAGCUUCAGGGGUACCUAGCAACCUAUAGCAUAUUAAUGAAGAUUUAGGAUUUAGACUCUAGAAUACAAAUUAAUAUGUAUCUCAUGCUUUGACUAGCUUCCCUACAUAUGCACAAAAUGGAGAUGACCUAAAAAAAUAGCAGAAUCUAGCUUCCCUACAUAUGCACAAAAUGGAGAUGACCCAAAAAAUAGCAGAAUUUCCUUAGUUUCUGUGGUUAAGGUGAUUCUCCGCUUAAUAUCACAUUGACUCAUUAUGCAAAAUCAACUGAGCUAAUUUUGUUUAUUUAUUUAAUGUCAAAUAGGAACUCCUAAUUAACCUAACCCUUGGCCUGUGUAAAUUGAUUUCACAUGCCCAAUGUUGAAGUAGAAGUCCAUAUUUUGAAUUUUAUUUUUGUAAAGGUAAGGAAAAUGAAGCAUUGUGUAAUUAUAAAAAUAACUUCAUUGGAAUUCACAAGGUUCACCCAAAAUGGAGCUACAUCCGUAUUCUAUCCUGCAGUAGACUAUAUAGAUUGUACAAUAGUAAAUUGCAAAUACAAUUAAUAAGUCUUGUGCUUCCUUACUAAUAAUCCUUUGACAUGAACAUUGCAGCACUAAGGUCCUCUUGGGAAGACACCUUGCACCCAUGAGAGCACGAAGAGGAAGCAAGGCAGAGUCAUGGGUGCAAUGUCAUGACUUGUUGUUGCACCAAGAGAGGCUUGGUGAUGGCAUGGUGUUGCAGUAGCAAGAAUGUUGCCUUGGUAGGGACAUAAUCUAGGGAUAGAUGCCAAGAAAGGCUUAGCACUCACAUGAGUUGCACAAAGAUGAAUGUAAUAGAGCAUCAGAGAGACGUCUUGGCAAGUAAAUGAAUGGAUCCAAGAGGCAACAACAUGAGGAGUUUCAAAUGGAUAAGGAAUGAGUCAAAGACAUUUGAAAGCUACAAGUUGGAUUCUAAUUACGAUUGCAAUUUGAGUUUGAGUAGGAGUUUAGAUUCUGAUUGUAAUUGUAGUAUGAGUUGGACUAGGAUUGCUUAUCCCUAGUCAAAAUAGGAGUGGUUCGUGUCACACCCUAUGAAAAGAGUUUGAGUAGGGACUAGGAUUGCUUACUCCUAGUCAAAUAUGGAGUAGGUGGUGCCACACCUAUAAAAAAAAAGGGACAACAUGAGAGAGAGAGAGAGAGAGAGAGAGAGAGAGAGAGAGAGAGAGAGAGAGAGAAAGAGAUAAUGAAUUCACUAAAGAUAUUGUGGGAGUUUUUCUUUGUUACGUCUUGUAUUAUUACUUAGAAUAGGAAUAAAAUACAAGUUUGGGCUAGAGCCCCAUAAUUAAUCUCGUGUGCCUUUGUGGUUAUUCUUUAUUUGUCAUCUCGUGUGGAUUGGAUUACAUUGACUUAGAGGGCUUCUAAGCACCACCUUUGUGGGUUAUUAUUUAUUUUCCAUUUCUUGUGGAUUAGAUUAGGUUGACUUUGAGGGCUUUUAAGCACCACCUUUGUGGGUUAUUCUUUAUUUUCCAUAUCGUGGGGAUUGGAUUAGGUUGACGAUGAGAAAAAUUAUGUGGGAAAUUUGUGUUGGGACACUUAUCAUAACCAGGUAAAAUCUGCCAAGUCCUUUGUAAUAUCUUCAACAAAUAUUUCAGACUAGUUCUUCACCAUAAACAUCAUAUUGUGUUUUGUUUUUCUCCUGGAUUCUGAGUUGAAUUGUUUCAAGUCAAUUGAAUGCAUCUGAAUAUUAUUAGCUUGUUUGAAGGCCUGGUGAUUUUCCAUUUAACUUUACUUUCUUUAGGUUAUGCUCACUAUAAGAAAAAUGAGAAAUAAUGACGCUUUUUACGCGUUAAGAAAGGCAACAGAUGAUGCUUCUCUAAAGCGUCCUCUUCGGCUCUGUCAUUAUAUGUGUUAGCCAAUAAUGACGCUUCUAGGAAGUGCCAUCUUUGAAUAAUGUUAAUAACGACACUCGUAAAAAGUGUCAUCUUUAAACAUAUUCUGGUCAAAUAAUUUUUACAAAAUUAGUAAUCUUCAAGCCGUUUCUGAAUCAUAUCUGAGCCUAUUUCUGGGGACCAGAAAACCAUCUUUUUUCCAUUCGCCUGAGAGGUCUGAUUAGCAUUUCUGGAAUCAAUCUCUAAACCCAAGCUUCCCUCAUCUACCCAUUUAACCCUCAUGCCCUCCUGUUUGAACAACUUUCCCACUAUAUACACAAAUUUUUUACCUUCUGUUGUUGGUAUUCGACCUCUUCCCAUUCCCAGCACAGAAUCCACCAUUAGUGCCACUUUGUGAAUAAAAUCAUCGAACCAGAUCUUUCGGGCGGAAGAUGAGCUCCAGAGAAAUAAAAUUUUUGGGGUCUUCCCAGCAUGAAAGUCAUAGGUAGCAUUAAUGACAUCAAGAAAUGGGGCACUGUUGAGAAAAAACAUGUUCCCAUCAACCACCCAAGAAUUGUACCAGACUCCAAACACUUCUGGAUUACAUAUGCCUUUACUAAGAUAUAUUUCUUGAUCUCCAUAUCAGAAUCUUGGAGACUCUUCAUUUUAUGAGCUCUGACACUACUGUGAAAUUGGUCCACAUCAAUCACAGGAUGACCCCUUCUAGCAAGAUCAAGCAGGAAGUCUGAAUUCGGGCCCAUAAAAAUGUAGUUCUGAAUAUUGAAACUCUCAAAGUGGCACAACAAAUUCCUUAUGACUCUUUCAGAUGCUCCAAACAGGCUCACAAGUAUAAUGGUAUCCUGUUUUUGCACAGAGUAAAGAAAAUAUCCGAGUUCUUCAAAACUCCUUACAACUAUUCCAGGAUGUACUUCUUUGAAACAGAAAUCGUACCACUUUAGCUUAGUCAGAGGUUGAAUCUAAAAUAACAAAACCCAAACUGAAAUCAAAAUCGAAAUCAACCCUAAUAGAUUUCAGAAACAACAAAUUAAAAGAGUAAAGCACAAAAGGGGGAAAACACAUAUGAAGCAAUCUCCAUACAAGCCCUAACCUUAGAUAAACCCAAAAAAAAAAAUCAAAGCAGAGAGUUACCAUAGAGCAUCUCUGUUUCAAGCUUAGAAAAUGUUUAAUGCCAUUGAUAACUAGUUGGCUAGUGGUGGACUUCAAGCUUCUCUAUUUCGGUGUUAGUAGCUCUCAAUGGCUAUGGUGAGAACAAAGAAAUGAGAGGCUUAGGGUUUGGGAUGUGAGGUUAUUGAUGAUGAUGAGGAUAAAGUUAUGGGCUCUUGGAGGGGUUAGGGAAAUUGAAGAUGGCUGAGAGUAAAGGCUAGGGUUUUUGAGAUAGUUAAUAGCUUUUUAGGGUGUGACUGUCCAUAGAUAGAAGAUAAAUGAGGGUGUGAGAAUUUAUAGAUCUCUAGGUGAUAUGGCGGGUGUGAGAAUGAAAUUUUAGAGGGAAUUGUGUGUUUGGUAGAAAUUUCACACAUGCAUAUAUAAUGUUUCAGAACAUGGCACUUUAAAAAUACGACAAGGAAGAAAUUAUUUAUUGACGCUUAAAUAAAGCGCCAAGGUCUCCAACAUUUUUGCAAUCAAUGACGUUUGUAAAAGGUGCCAUUGAAUAGGAGUGCCAUUGCUUUCCCACAAAGCAUCAUUGUUAAUCAAGCCUUUAAAAAACGCCAAGAUAUGUUGCCACUUAGGUUAAAUAUUGACGCUUUUAAAAAACGCCAAGGAAAAAAACGUCAUUAUUCAUGUUUUUUGUAGUAGUGGCUUGAUUCCUAAAAAGUAAAGGAAAGCAAAAAGUAAAAAAAUAAAAAUGUGGAGAGUUAGGACAUGCGUUAUCUAAUUGUCCUAGUCCCAAAUAUAUUAAGAAAGUCAUGUAGGUUACUUGGAGUAACGAGUCAAGUAAAGCAAGCCUUCUAGUGUUUAAGACAUUAGAUAUUACCGAACUGAUUAUGUCAUUAAUGUAUUGCAUUUGUUGUUUCUAAUAUAUAGAAGAAGAUGAAAUUAUUGGAAUAAGUGGGAAAUAGGAAUAAAUCCAAGGUACCAAAAAGUCACUUUAUCUUAGAUGUUGUUGGAAACAUAAGUGAUUUCACAAUAACGACUAUGAGACAAUCAAGGAUUAAUAAGAUAGACUUUAUAUGAUAUACCUCCCAAUUAGAGCCUAAAAAUAUGGAUGAAGCACUUAGAGAUGAAUCUUCAAUUUUUGUACUAUAGGAAGAAUUAAAUCAAUUUGUUAGCUAUUCUUUGGAUAUUUGAUUCAUCACAAGCUACAAAUCACUUUUGAUGACCAAACACGAAACUAAGAGGAUUGGGCCCAAUUCGAUGCCUAUCAACAAUGAUUUGUAUUCCACCUCAUUAAUUAUUCAAAGUUGGGAAGCUAGGUCUAACCACUUUCUCUACCUGUUCACCCUUAGAGGAGCAGAAGAAAAUUCUAACUUUGGUGCCUAAUGCCUUUGACAAUCUUUCGACAAAGAGAGUUCACUAAUUACUUUGAUUAUUUCUCUGUUGGUCACUGGGGGACAAGACUUUUGUAAUGAAGUCAACUAGAACUUGCCCUUUGAGGGCCAUUCAUGGACGAUAUUACACCAUGAAUUCCCUUAGGUCAUGUUUGGUAUGUGAGAAUGAGGAGUGGAAUGGACAUCUUAUUCAUUUUUUCAUCUAUUCAAAUGUUGGGAUAACUCAAGUGACCAUGAGAAUGAAAUCAAGAAUGAUUCAAGGGAAAUGAAAUCUUACUUAUAAGUGUGAUUUCAAUUAAUCUCUAAUAGAAAUUAUUUUGAAUCAAUAGUGCAAGUUAUUUUUAAAAACAUUUUUCCAAAAUUAAAAAAAUCAAUUUUUUUUUUUUCGAUAAGUUGUUUUUAAAAGGAUUUUUUUUAUUUUGUAAAAAGAAAAUUGUAAUUCAAUUUAUAUAAUAUAAACUAAAUUUUAUUUUAUUCAAAAAGAAAUAAUUUUUUAAUUAUAAAUAAAUUAAAAAUAAAUACUUUUAAUAAAAUAUAAAUAGUAUUAUUAUAAUAAAAUCAUAAAUAAAUUUAAUUUUUUUUAUAAAUAUUAUAAAAAUAUGGAUAUUAACAUUGGAUAAUUGAUUUAUUUUGUUAAAAUAAAAAAUAAUAAUUUUUAAUAUUAUUUUAUGUUAAAUGAAUUUUAAAAUAAAGAAAGUUUAAUUAUUUUAAGGUAUAGAAGAGCCAAAUUUUGCAUUACAUACAUAACAAACAAUAUUUAUUAGAAACAUUUCUCAAGGAGAAUCUUAUUCCAUCUCACAAAGAUACUCGUUUAUUCGAUGUUUGACCAUCCGUAACAAUCAUGUCAAUUCUACUGAUUUAAUAAUUCCUUUACAUUUAUUACUCACUUAUGAACAUGGUAUUGUGAUUUAUUUAUUUAUUUGAUGUAUAAUUAAUUAAUCAAUUUUUUAAAUUUCAAAUUAUUUUUAAAAACUAUUCAUUAAGGAAUUUAAAGCAUUAAUUAUGUCUAUUAUUUUUUAUAGUCAUUAUAUAUAUAUUGAGUUUUAAUUUAUUUUUAAAAAUUAUUAAACUUAUUAAUAAAUUCAAUAUAAAGUCUCGUUUCAUUUGAAAUUCAUUUCUUUAGUGAAAAUUUUGAAAAAAAAAUUGUUAUUUAUUUUACUUUGUUUUAAAAAAAUUGUUUCUAGAGAACAAUAAUCAAAUAAUGGUAUGAAUUUUUAAAAACAAUUUUGUUUUUAAAUCAUAUGCCCAAAUAAUUUUUUUUUAUUUAGCAAAAAACUUUGUUGUAGUAUGUGGCUCAUAUUGAGGGAAAGACAUAUAUGGAGAAAAAUGUGCAAAUGUUGGAGUGGAGCGGAGUGGAAUGACGACAUUUGUCAUUCAAACUUGUAUUUUUAUUGUUAAGGGUGACCGAUAGGUUGGUACGGUUUAGGGGUAUUUUUGGAAUUUCAUUACCUGAGGGUUAGUAUAAAUACCAUUUUAUGUAACCCUAAUUUUACAUAUAAUGUAAGUUUUCUUCCUUGUUCUUGUGGACAUAGGCAAUCCGUCGAACCACGUUAAAUCUGUGUGUUUUUUUUUCUUUUUUCUUUUUCUCUAAUUUCUUCACCAGGAAUCGUUACACUAAGAUCAACAAACUCUCAAAGAUGAUUUUUAAAAUGAAAAAAAUAAUGUAUAGUGUGAGAAUUUUUUAUUUUUUAUUUUUUUAAAAUGAAAAUAAAAAAUUGCUUUAAGGUAAAAGUGUGGAUAUUAUUGUUAAUUUAUUUCAUUUUUCAUUUUCAUUUCCAUUGUUACCUACAAUUGAAAUGGAAACAACUAAUCAUUACAACCUUACAUUCUUAUAUGCAUCCAAAUACAAAAAUUGAAAUCACCAAAUUCAUAUUCAAGGCAAAAUAGGAAUGAAAACAAAUAUUCAUUCUCAUUCUUUAUUCCCACGUGUCAAACAUGACCUCAAAGUUAUAAACAUGAACAAGAAGUCCUUGAAACACCAAUGAUCUCUUCUGGUAUAUAUAUGAGCUUGAUUGACAACUGUUUUAAAUACAGUUUUUUUUUUUUUUGUUUUCAAAAUCAAAACAAAUUUAUUUUUAUUUUUUAUAAAUAGUAGUUUUUUAAUAUUUUUUUUAAACCUUAUUAUGAAAAUAGGAUGUUUUCUAAUAUCAUAUUUUAAUUAUUUUCAAUUAUUUUCCCUUCUUUUAAGGAGGGCUAUUUUAAAAAUAUGAAAAAUGAUACAAAAUAAAGCAUUACAAAUAAAAAUCAUUUUUAAGAAAUAUAUGAAAAUAAUUUGAGAACAUUUGAAGUUCCUUAAUUAAACUUUUGUUCUAGAAAAUGCAAGAAAACUGUUUUUGAAAAUUGUUUUCAUAAUGAUAUGCAUUGAUCGUUUAAAAUUUAAUUACAUGAUAAAAAGACCUAUGUAAAAACCAGAGUUAUAUAAUCAGUCAUAGAUCAAAUCUACUAAAUAUGAAAAGUAAGUACAUAGUUGUAUAUGACUUAGAUGGAGCCUUCUCCGAAUGACAUUCUUUAGUCGGUACUCAUAUUUUUUUGUUUCGUGUCUUCAACAUAACACCUCAUGAUCCUUAAUAAAUCACCUGAAAACUAUAUUAGCACCUUAUUGUUUAAUAUUUCUCUAAAUUUUUUUAUUAAGCAAAUAAAUUCCAAAUUUAAAAUGACAAAUAAAAUUUAUUAAUUUUUAAAAAUAAUUUAAAACUCAAAAACCAAUUUAAUUGAUAUUAAAAGUCAUGAAACUUAAUAAUAUUAGAAAGUCAUGUAUCCAAAUUUAUUUUAAAUGACUUGUUUAAUUUCUUGUUUAUAUAUAUUAUAUUUUUAUAAUUUUUUUUACUAUACAAAUAAAUUUUAAAUUAAACAAAACUUAAUGCGUUGAAUUCAUUAACGAGUCUAAUAAUUUUUAAAAGUUACUUAAAAUUUAAAUACUAAAUCAAUUAGUACCACAAAUUCAUGGAAAAAAAUUGAUUUAUUACUACUAUAUUGUUUCUCUAUUGCAUAGAACCAUUAUUUUUCAAUUUUUUCAUUUGGCAAAUGAACAUCAAAUUAAACAAGACUAAGUGUAUUAAAUUCAUUAAUGGGUCUAGUAAUUUUUUAAAAUAAUUUAAAAUUCAAAUAUUGAUACUCCAAAUUAAACAAGACUUAGGUGGUGUUUGUUUUUUGGUUGAAUAGAAAAAGGUAAAAUAUUUGACUUUUUCUAUUUAGUUAAAAGUAACUUGUUGACAUCGUCCAAUAUAAUUAAAGUAAACCUAUUGAGGGCAAGUUCACUUUAAUUAUGUUGGACGAUGUCAACAGGUUACUUUUAACUCAAUAGAAAAAAUCAAAUAUUUUGACUUUUUUUUUAACUCAAAUAAUAAAUCCAUUAAUACAAAAAAAUUAUGGAUAAUUUGAAACUUUCUUUCUUUUUUUUUUUUUUUUUGCUACACAUAGCUAUAUUUUUAUAAAUUUUAUCAUUAGAGAAAUGGAUUUCAAAUCAAGUGAAACUUUGUAUUGAAUUAAUGGAUUUAACAUUUUUUAAAAAUAAUUUGGAACUAAAAAAAAAAGAUUUAAUUACUAAGAAAAUCAUAGAUCAAAACUAAUAUAUUCUGAUCCAUGAUUUUAUUAUUUUUCCUAUACAUACAAUUAUAUUUUUAUAAUUUUCUCACUAGGUAAAGAUAUUAUAAAUUAAGUGACACAUAAUUAAUAAUUUAAAUUUUUGAAUGAAUCUUUUAAUUUUAGGAAUAAUUUGAAAUUUAAAAAGUUGAUCCAAUUAAUUGUAAAUUAACUUAAAAUAUUAUAAAAUAUUAUGUUCAUAAUUAAGUACUAAAUGUAUAUAUGUAAUGAAAACUUAACUAGUUACAUGUUACAAAAGCCAAAAUUUAUUCAUUCUUUAUUUUAAAUAAAAUAUUAUUAAUAAUUAUUUUUUUUAAAAUAAUAUUUAGUAAUUAUUGUUUUUAAAUUAUUAUUAUUAAUUUUUAAUAAAAAAAUUGCAAAGUUAUUAAUAUCAUUAUAUUUCUAACAUAAAUUUAAAUAGUAUAUUUUUUAAUAUAUAUAUAUAUAUAUAUAUAUAUAUAUAUAUAUAUAUAUAUAUAUAUAUAUAAUUUAUGAUUUCAUUAUAAUAUUUUUAUUCAUGAUUGACGAAAAAUUAUUUAUUGUUUAAUUUAUUUGAAUUGCAAAACUAUUUUUCAAAAUUCAAGCGAGAAAAUAGGCCUGGAUUUGAAUUUCCUGUAGAAGAGAAGGAUGUGGAGAAUAUGUUGGGAGUAUUUGUGGAUAAAGAAAAGGCCAGGGUACUGAGAAAGGAGAGAGAACUUGCUCUUGCCAAAAGAGCCCUGCACAGGUAUUCUACUGAUUCUAAUUAUCGGUUCUUACAUGAUCAGAUUUCAGAUUUAUUUGCUGAGCUUCUGAAAUCUGAUACAGUAUUUAAACUCCGGUGAGCUUUACAAGAUUAGUCUCGCAUCCAAUUCCAAAUGGUGUCCCACAAUUGAUUCUUCUUAUGAUAAAUCCACCUUGAUAUGUGAAAAUAUUGCUCGAAAGGUUUAUCCUCGCGAGGAAUAUCCAGAAUACUAAGGAAUUGAGGAGGCUCACUAUGUUUAUAGAGUCAGGGAUAGGUUGAGAAAACAAGUAGUUGUUCCAUUACAUAAGGCCCUGGAGUUGCCAGAGGUUUUCAUGUGUUCGAACAAGUGGGGAUCACUUCCCUACAACCCUGUGGCUUCAGUGGCCAUGAAAUCAUACAAGAGCCUCUUCUCAAACCAUGAUACAGAGCGGUUUGGUGAGUAUCUUGAGAAAGUGCAAACUGGGAAGGCUAAGAUUGCAGCUGGUGCAUUACUUCCCCAUGAGAUUAUAGCUUCAUUGAAUGAGGAGGAUGCCGAGAGAGUUGCCGAGCUUCAGUGGGCAAGAAUGCUGGAAGAUUGAUCAAAGAAAGGGAGGCUCACAAAUUGCAUUGCAGUAUGUGACGUAUCAGGAAGUAUGAGUGGAACUCCAAUUGAGGUGUGUGUGGCUCUGGGGCAGUUAGUUUCAGAGCUCAGUGAAGAUCCAUGGAAAUUAAGGUAAUGUAAUUACUUUCAGUGCAAAUCCUGAGCUUCACAAGAUCCAAGGAGACAGCCUUGUAUCCAAGACUGAAUUUGUGAGGAUGAUGGAAUGGGGUGCCAACACUGACUUUCAGAAAGUUUUGACAGAAUCUUACAAGUAGCAGUGGAGGGAAAUAUGAGUGAAGAUCAAAUGAUAAAGAGGGUUUUCGUUUUCAGUGAUAUGGAGUUCGAUGAAGCUUGUGGGAGGUAUAACUAUUGUGACUAUGACUAUGAUAUGGAGGAAAUUGACGAGAGUCAGAAGGCAUCUCAGAAGUGGGAGACAGAUUAUGAAGUGAUACAGAGGAAAUUCCAGGAGAAAGGAUACAGAAAAGUUCCAGAGAUAGUGUUUUGGAACCUUAGAAACUCAUCAGCGACUCCAGUGACGGCCACAGAGAACGGGGUGGCCUUAGUAAGCGGGUUUUCAAAGAAUCUGUUGACCUUGUUUUUGGAAGGAGGUGGAAUUCUGAUCCCUCAGGAUGUGAUGGAAUUCGCCAUCUCUGAUGAAGAUUACAAGAAACUUGUUCUAUUUGAUUAAGAUAUCAAGAGAUUUAUCAAUAAUAAUAUAUUUUUUUUCUAUGUGAAAUACAUAUAAUAUUAACUGUGGAGUUAUCAAAGUUCUGGAGGUUUAAUUAUUUCUUCUUUUCAAGUUUUGUUUAUUUAAGGUUUUCUUUGUCUUUGUUAGGAAUUCCCCUUGGGUGGACCCAGCUGGGGAGUUGGAUUGAGGAAGUAAGCAGGCGAACUUGUGUUCUUCUAUGGACAGAGAAAAAAAAUAAAAUAAAAAAAUAAAAAAGGAGGUUAUUUGCAUUUGGAUGUCGUGGUUUGAGGGUACAACUACAAGCUCGAAAUUGUACAUAAUGUGAAAACUCCUGUGUCCAUUGCUGAGAACAGCAUAAAUGAUGGUGAUUUUCAAGUUGUGCCUGGUAUUCUACAGGAUGAAACAAGAAAGGAUCCAGGUGGUAUAUUGAACAAUAUCCCAAUCAUGUUGGUGGCAUCUUUAUUUAGUUAAUGGUAUUCAUUUGGUGGAAGCUGGUUGUUUAUGAUGUUUUUAAUUUUUUUUAACAUGAAGUUCGAUCAAAUACGUAUCUUAGUAUGUUUUGUUUGAGCUAAUUGGCAAAUGCGCUUUAAACAUGGUCACAUGGAUGCAGUUUUAUUUGUGAAAUGAUAAUAGUCGAUUACUUGGUCAGUAAGGUUUAUAUCUCUAACUUCAACAUCUUAUUGUAGUCUUUUAAAAUGUCAAAAGUUUAAUGCUUGAGAAAUUUUGGAAUGGAGACAUUCUAAACAAAGUUAAUAAUCCACAAGACUUGGUAAAACCGAUCAGAUGAUGCUUACGUACAUCAAUGCCUUCUUUAAGCCAUAUCCUAUUUUCAUUGAACGGGAUGUGCCAUCUAGUUUGGUUCUUUAAGCCUCCAAAUCCUAAACCUAGUCUCAAUUUAGAGCAAAUUUAGGGUGCAGGGCCUGCAUGCCUCCCCCUCCCCCUUCCACAAAUAGUAGUGACCUUGCUAUGCCUAUGCAUUGUCAAUGCCUCAUUUUCUAUGGUCUCCAAUGUAAUAUCUUAGUUUCAAUGUCUCUUUCCUUACUAUCUCCAAUGCAAUAGAUUGAUUUCAAUACCUCUUUACAACUAAGACCUCCAAAUUUUCUUGGUUCAAACCUACCAGAAUUUUUCUUCUCCUUUGCUUUCUAUCAAUAUUAGUUCCCCUAAUUUAAUAUAUACUUCUUUAUUACCUUCAACUCUACCUCUCUUUCUUUCUCUAAAAGCUUCCUCAAAGAUUUAAUUGCUUUCUUGCAUGUUUUAAGAAAACAAACAUGCUCAUAUUACAUUACCUCUACUUGAGAUCUACCUUAUACUCUACCUUCUUUCUUUACCUCCUAUAUCAUCUACUACAUUAGCUUCAAAAAUAUUAUUUAGUUUGAUACUAAAUAAGGCUCCUAAUCCUACUCUUCCUUCAACAAACUUUCUUUUUACAAGUUCCUUAAACUUUAUUUUUUAUUUUUUAUUUUUUGGAAAUUCGGGUUAGAAAGAUUCCAUUACUCUUACCUAAUAUUUCAACCAUCAAGUUGAAUCCACUUAUUGCCUAAAUCCAAGGAGUCUGCCCUCCACAAAAACAAGGAAAUUGAUCCCACAAUAACAAGGAGAUUGCCUUCCACAGAAACAAAGAGAUCUCCCUUCACAGAAGCCGAAUACAUUGCAAUCUAUUUUCUUUCUUGUAAGAUCAAAUCUUCAAUCGAGCUCCAUCUUAUGGGGGCAUAUUAGAGAAAUUUAAUAUUAUCCUUAAUUUACAUAUUAAUAUUUAUCUAUUUAUUAUAUAUUGAAUUAAAAUAGAAUAUAGAAUUUGAAUCAUAGUAGAAGUUUACUAUAAGAUUGAAUUACAAUAGUUAAUAGAGUUUAAAUUAUAAUAACUCAAAUACAUUUAUAUAUAUUUGACCUUACGAGAUUUUCUAUUUAUGUAUUUGAACUACAAUCCUUAUGAUCCUUAGGUCUCUAUACCUUCGUGAUGGGCUCCUUGACAUUUCAUAGGUUGUGCUACACAUGCAUUUGAAAUUUAGAGUGCAUUUGACAGUGAUUCUGGGAAGUGUUUUUGGCAUUUCUAACACUUAAAAUUUUUUAUUUUUCAAGUAUUAGAAAUGCUACAAACACUUUUGAAAAUUACUGUCAAACACACUCUUAGGAGCGCAUAUAGUAGAAAACUAGAAAUUGUGGUUUUUUUAGGAUUUACUGUAAUGUCAUUAGGAGGGUAGUAAGUUGAAACUGAGUAUGAAUAAAUAUUUCUUUCUUUGGGAUGUUCUUCUGGUAGGUGCUGAUGAAACUGUUCUUUUUACUGCCAAUGUCACAUAUCAGCCAGAAAUUGAAAAUUUCAGUCAAGGUGUCCUCGGUUUUAGUGGUGAGGAAAGCUAGAAAUUUUAAGGUGAAGUUCUGUUAAAAACCUUAAGUAGCUGGGAUAUCAGGCCUGUUUUGCUUGAAAAAAAAAGUUGCAAGAUAACUCAUAUGCCAAACAGGUUCUGAUAUUGUGAAUCUAUCGGCAGACAUCAGUAAUCUCAUCUUCUGAGAUGGAUGUUGGGGGUGCAUGUGGUGGUGGAGGGGCAAGGUUUCAUUUGGUUUAUUUUGUUGAUGGAUAUUGUCUAGCCCCCUGCGCCAAGUUUGAGGGGUGGUGGGUUGUGAUGGCCCUACAAUUACUAUUAAUUUCUUCCUCUUUUACCGAUUAAAGUGUCCGAACAGUCGAAGUUACCCUUAUGCAUGUCAACUUGAUCACUUACCUCUUCAAUGGAGUUUAUGCUGGUUCAUUUAGGAACUGAUUUUUAUUGUUAUGCAUUCUAUGCUGAUGUUUAGGCCUCUCCAUCAUCACUAUAUACAAAAAUUCUAGGUUGAUACUAUAGGUUGAGAUUUAUUUUUUAAAUAAAAAAUAAUAAAAAUAAAAAUUAUGGUGAUGUUUAGUUGUUUUAUGGAAAAUUUUAACAAGUUAUUUUUGGGCAAGUUUUCAAACAAAAAGAAAAGUAAAAGUUGUUUUGACAAAAACAUAUAGAAAAAAAAAAUCAUAGAAAAGAAAUAAUUUCCCCAUAUUCUAACUUUUUUUAAUUUUUCUCAAUGGGCAAAGGAAUAUCAAAUCAAGUUUGAGUAGGAUUUCUUAAUUUUUAAAAUAACUUACAAUUAAAAAAUUUUGGUGUUUUCAUUUUUGGACAAUUUUUUAUUAAGCAAAUGGACUCUGAGUCAUGCAAGAGAUAUGGUUGAUUAAUGGGUCAAACAAUUUUUUUAAAAUAAUUUAAAACUCAAAUACAUAAUCAAUGUCACAAAAUUUAUAAACAAAAAUAGGUUUAGAGAAGAUCUACACAUAAUUUUACUUUUCUAAUUUUAUUUUAUUUUAUUUUUUUGUUGGAAAAUAGUCUUCAAAUCAUGUAAGAUUUAAUAGGUUAAAUUUGUUAACAAUAAAUUUUAAAUUAUAAAAUAUAAUCUGGAACUUAAAAAUCAAUUCAAGUAAUGCUAAAAAAAAUCAAAUUUGGUAUAGAAUGACUACGUAAAAUUUUUUACAAAACAAAUGAAUUUUAAAUCAAGUGAGAUUUAAUGCAUUAGAUUUUUAUCAAAUAUAGUAAUUUUAAAAUUUAAUUUGGAACUCAACAAUAGACACAAUAAAUACCAAAAAAUAAUGAACCAAAAUUGGUUUGGAAUAACUCCACAACCUCUUUUUUUUUUUUUUGGUGCACACGAAUUUUCUUACUAGGUAUAUUGCUUUCAAAUUGAGAAAGAUUUACUAUUUAGAUUUUUUUUUUUAAUGAGUUUAAUGGUAUUUUAAAAUAAUUCAAAAUUUCAAAAAUUGACUAAUUACUAUUAUAAAUUCAUAAACCAAGACUAAUUCAAAAUGCAUUGGGGGCUAAGGGGGUUGAAAAUAGGGACAAUGGGAUGGGUUUGGGACAUGACACUCAUAUCUCAUUUCCAUUCCAAUUACAUAGUUAUCUCCCAUCCUUAUCCCAAACUUGUGUUGGAGCAAGUUGAUUUGUUCCCAUCUUUGUUGAUGAAAUGACUAAUAACCUCAUCCCCUCCUUAUCUUAGAUGUACAUUUUGUCAAAUUUGAUCAGGUAUGAUUGAUCCAAGCCCUAACCCUAAUUGGUAAUGACUGGAUACUACACCUAAUUGCAUUCUUCUUUCGUCGCAAAAUAAUGAGAUUAUAAUAAUCUAGCAAAUAAGAAAAAAUAGUAUGGAAGUUCAAUUUAACACCAUAACUAUCAAUAAUUUUAAGCUUAUAGAUGACUUAAAUGAUUAAAAACUAAUGCAAAAUACCAAAAAAAAAAGUUCAUAUAAAGAAUUCACAAGAGAACAAAAUGAACAAAAACCAAAUAUGAACAUGGGUCAACAUUAGUUAUGGAUUUGGAUUCCUUUCAAGGCCAAUCUUUGAACCAAGACUUCAUCAAAUCUACUACUUCAAAGGCUUUUGUGUUCUUCUUGGGUUGUGCUCUCAAACAAAGACUUCAAGGUGAUGCUCUAGAUGAUUGCAUUACACAUAUUUAGGGUGGAGAGAUUGGAGAAGCUUGAAGAUGCCAACGAUGGGUACAAUUGAGUGGUCAAUAAGAACAAUGUAGCCUAUGACUAGUUUGAUGUCGUGGUACAAGAGUUUUAGGCAUUGAGGUUAAAGCAAGAGCAACAUGGAAUUGAUUUUGGAGUCUUUCAAUUAGUGUAAAGGAGGAAGAAGUGGUAUUGAUUCUAGAAAUAGGGUUUUAGGUGGUGCGUUAGAGGAUGAAGAAGAAGAAAAAGAAGGAUCUGUUGGAAUUAGUGUGAGUGUGAAGAGAGAAGUAUAUAAAUAAGGGGAAGUAAAAGCAAAGUUCUAAAAGCUAUAUUUUUUUUUAUUGUUGGUGUAUGGUUGCAUGAUUAUCCCUAUAAAUAAUAGGAGUUUUUUUGGUAUUCUACUAGUAGUUGAAGGAUAAUUUCAUAAAUUUAUAUUUAGAGUGGGGUGGGGUGAGUUGUGACAAAAUUCAUACCCGUCCUAAACCUUGGUUCAGAUUUUUAAAAUAUCCUCAAACUUAUCAUAUACCCAACUUUUAUAUUUCAUACUUGUCUUGAUAGAGGCAGGUUAGGCCGGGUUACUUGAGUAACCUACAUAAUUGUCAUCCCUAGUUGAAAUACACUUUUUUGGCAGUGGCCACCAACUGAGCUAGAAGCUUGAUCGAUUGACCUACAAGAUUAGUUCUCAUCAUUUUAAAAAAAGUUUUGGCCUUGGUUGUGAGUGCAAUUGAAUCUAAACUGGCAUUUCCUUAAUGCAUCUACUUCAAUCCUAAAUUUCUUACUUCCUAAGCCUCAAUUGUUGUUAGGAUUUUGGAAAGCCCAUUUCCUUAAAUUGUAAAUUUAAGAAAAAAUAAAAUAAAAGUGAGACAUUUCUUGAUUGAAUAUUGUUAAAGGUCCCUUGGCAUUAAGACUUGGUUGAAGCCUUGGAAGAUUAGUGGAACUCUCAACUUGUGUUUGAAUCUUGAGGAGAGUGGACGUAAGCCAAAAUUUUGUCAAACCAUUAAACAAAUUGAGUUUGAAUCCUCAUUUCUUGAUUUCUUAUUUAUUUGCUUUUUCUUAUUAUUACUUGAAUUGUCAUUUGCAUUCAUUAAUGUUAAAAUUGGUUAUAAUUAACCAACACUAAUUCUCUUUCCCCUUCCCUUUCUUGGGUGUAAACCUAGGUUGGAUUAACUAGAUUAAUUUAUAAAAUCUAUUAAGAUGGUAAAAGAAUAAUUAUUCUUAACACACAUAAGAUCAUCUUCAAUCAAAUGACUCAUUGGCUAAUAUGUUGAAUUUGCUUAUUACUUGCAACUCAAAAUUGUGUUCUAGUUGAUAUGUCAAGUCCCCAGUGUAUGGACAUUAAAUUUGUAGUACGUGAUGGUAAUUAGAUGGUCCAACUCCAAGAAAGUGAUUGAAAACUAGUUCAAGAAAGGUGCAAAAGGGAAUUGUUUUGGUAUUUUCGUUUUUAUUCUUGAAGGUGGCAGAGCUAAAAUUUGUGAAAUCAAGCAAAACAUACUGAAAUUACAUUGAAAGAAAGAAAAUGGGAGUUAAUGUCUUGCAGUAGAUGAUAAGGACUUCAUGCAUGUAGUAUGACCCAUGUCUUGGACUGAUGCCAACUCACGGUUACACUUAUACCCUUGGUUCUCUCUUUACUACCUUGGCUAACCUAGAUCAGGCUAUGAGAUAGGCUCCUCACCACACCAUUACUUGCCCAUUAAUUAGAGACAUUUUCAAGCACUGAGGUAACAUGGUGACACCAAGAGGGUUUAUUCCUCGCCCUCCUCGCCCUCAACAAGUCUAGACUUGGUCUCAAAAAAAUGGAGAAAAAUGAGGUGUCGUUAUGUAGAAAUACAACAACCAUGCCUUCCUCAUUACUUUGAUUCAGAAUGUGAAGGUGAAAUUGAGAAACAGAAACUCUUGAAACCAAAAUGAAAAUUGAUACUUUUACGAAGAAUUACAACAACAUUGGAGGAAGACUACAUUCUUCCUCUUUAUUCCUACAUUUCUACACUACUUCUACUCCACUCCAUAUUUCUACAUACAUCUUUAAUCAGUCUUCCCUCCUUUAUAUAGAGCCAUCUUCACACAAAUUCCGCAAGGUAGAAAAGAGGAAUGAAACUUGGAGCAAGGUUCGACUACUGGCUGUAGCUUGUCAAGGCUGGAAGUGAACCUUUUUUCUUGGCUUUUCUGGGCAUGGGUAGUAACUUGUGGGUUCCUUUUUGGGAUACAAAUGGCUAGAACAUGUGGCACUAUCUUGUUGGAUGAUGUGUCAAGCAUGUGGCAGCCAUCUAGUGGCGAUUAUGUCAAUUUUGGGAUGGAGAGUUGGCAUCCAAUUGCAAAGAAAUAUGACGUCUACCAACAGGCAAUGUAAACCUAUGUAGAUCAUAUGAAGAUAGAGAGGAAAAAUAUAGAAAUGGAUAUAUACCUAGAACUAGCUUUUUAUUAAAUGAAACGGAGAGCCAACAAUGAAGGAAAAUAAAUUUUUUUGGCUUAUAUCAAAGAGUUCACAUUGUGCUACCCUAGGUUUUCUUAAAACUUACUUUUAUGAUAACAAAAAAAAAAAAAAACAUUAUUGUUUAAUCCUUUGUUUUAAACGCAUGUUUAGCAAGUUAUAAAAUGUAAAAAUCUUUCUAAGUUCAAAUAUGAAGAUAUGACAUCAUUUCAAGCAAGAUAGUCUCUAGGAAUUAAUGUAAAGCUAAAUUAAGGUGAAAUUAAAUUAGUUCAAUGCAUUAAUUUAAGAAACUUGACCUAUCAAAAGUACAAAAUUAGAUGAAAUCCAUUUCAAUGGUUAAAAUGAUCAAAAUCAAACUUUUUCUAAGUAUUUUUUAAAAGUAUCAAUAUUGAAAGACAAUUUUAUAUUUAGUCAGAGUUUGGACAAAACCAAAAAGCACACAAAAUCCAAGCGACCAUCUCUAGCUUGGAUGGUCGCUUGAUCUCUAGCUUGUGUACUUGGAAAGCAACAUCGAGAUGAUAUAUAUAUAUAUAUAUAUUUUAUAUAAUAUUGUUUGUCCAAAUUCCCUAAAAAUUAGGCCACCACAUGUUCAUAAUUCUCCCUUCUUGAAUUUGAAAACUCGGACAAUUGGACAAUGCGACACCUAAGUCCGGUUUCUAAAUGCUAAAGUGAAAGGGUAGGUAUGGACCAUUGAAAUGUGAUCACAACUUUUCUCUGUAGCCAUGUUGUCUCUUUUUUCUUUUGCAUGAUUUUCUCACCUUAACAGAAUCAUAGACUUGUUUAAUCUCUAAAUGGGAUUAAUUUCAUCCAGCUUUAAGCUACUAUAUUAUAUCUAGGUGGAGGACUUUUAAGAGUGCAACCGACAUAGAGCACAUGCAAGUGGGUAUAUGGGACAUGAAAUUUCUUCUUAUAAAGAUUGCAUGAUUUUUAUAUUAGAGUUGUUGGGGCGCAAUGUAUGUAGCUUGUUUUGCAGUUAAAUUAAUUGGAUAAGUAGACAUUGGCGUUUCUAAAUCUACUGUGAAGUGCUUCAUGUACGUGUGAAGUAUUAGAAAUUUCUUUCUUGGCAACUUGUUUUUUCUUUGCGGUCUACUGAUAGGUUUGACUAAAAUUAUAUUCCCUGUCAUGCUAAUUAAUUUUCACGUGCAUGCUCAAAAGAAGAGUAUGACCUUAGUGCACCAAAAUCACUUUGAUUAAUUUGUGAUAGGUUUUUGUGCAUCAUGACAUUAGCCUUAUUCAUUUAGAUAAUGUUUAGUUUUUAGAAAGUAUUAAGAAAAGGAAAAUAAAUAUUAAGAAAAAUAUUCUUAUAUUUGAUUGUAUUAUGAAAAAUGUCAUAAAAAAAUCAAAUAUAAUUUAAAUUAAUUAAUAAUUUAUACAUUUUCAAAUUAUUUAAUCUUUAUAUUGAAGAUAUAAUAUAAAUGAAAUGAGUUUUAAGUAUUAUAUAAAAGUGAUUUAUUGAUCUUGCAUAUAUGUAUUUCUUUUUUUUUUCUUCUAUUUUUUUUCUUUAUUUUAUUUUCCUUAUGUUUUCCUCAACAUUUUCCGGAACCAAACAUAGCCUUAGGAAAUCCACAAUUACCUUCAACUGAGUAUAUUCGGUUGUUUUAGCAAUGUUAGGCUGCUAACUUGUGUUGGUACGAACCUGUUAAGCCUAAAGAUGUAAUUAGUUAGGAUAUUCUUUUCCCUCUAGUCUUGUAGCUCCACGUGUAUAGUUGGUUAGGACCUCAUUGUAUAUAAUGCCUGCCCUGUUAUUGUUGAAGACAACAGAGAUAAAUAAUAUUAACAUUUUUCCUCUCAUCUCUCUUUGUUUCCCUCUGUUUUCAUCUCCUCUCUCAUCUUGGUAUCAGAGCCUCCAUGGAUUCUUUCAAAGAAACCUCCGAAUCACCUUCUGCUAGCAUUGUUAAUGUGCAAAACCCAUUAUCUCAGUCAAACAACCUUCCUUCACCAGCAGCCACACCCUCUUUUUCUUUCUUGUCUAUGAAUCAACCUCUCACAGUGAAGCUGGAUAAUGGAAACUACCUCAUCUGGAAGAAUUAGCUUCUGAAUGUCAUCAUUGCGAACAGACUCGAUGAUUUCAUUUAUGGAACUCGACCCUGCCCUCCUUGAUUUCUCAAUCUGCAACAACAAACCCUCACUCCAGAGUACUCGGUCUAGCAGAGAUACAAUCGACUUCUAAUGAGUUGGCUGUACGCAUCCUUGUCCGAAGAUAUAAUGACUCAGAUUGUUGGGUAUUCAACAACUGUGGAGAUUUGGAACGUCCUUAAUCAGAUUUACUCUGCCUCUUCAAUGGCGUGGGUUACCGAGCUUCACACCAAGCUUCAAACGCUCAAGAAAGAUGGACUCUCAGUUGGUGAAUAUAUUCAAAGGCUCAAAUCCAUUUGCAAUAGUCUUGCAGCAAUAGGAGAACUAGUUUCUGAGAAAGACCAGCUUAUCUAUUUGUUCAAUGGAUUAUAUUGUGAGUAUAAUUCUUUUGUUACCUCCAUUCAAAAUCGAUCUGACCAACCAACUAUUGAGCAAAUCCAUAGCCUAUUGCUUAGCUAUGACUUUCGGCUUGAACAACAAAACUCUGUUUCUCUCCAUUAUGCCCAAGUCCGUAUGGCUCAUCUGAACAAGAAACCUUAUAAAUCAACUCCUCAACCUACAUUCAAUCAUAUUCACAUUCAACCUAGAUACUCUUCUCCACCUUUUAAGCCAACCACUAGUCAAUAUCAACCCAGGAUUUUGGGCAAACCACAACCACAACCAUGACAGCCUCAACCUCAAUGGAAACCACAUUUUUCAAUCCAGAAUCAAAAGCCUCAGUGCCAAAUUUGUGGUAAAUUUGGACACACUGCUCUUAUUUGCUUCCAUUGCACAAAUUUGAACUAUUCACCCCAACCUUCUCCUAAAUCUUUCAAUACUGUUCUCACCACAAAUUCCCAGCUCCCUAAUCCUCCAAAAUUUUCUUACCCUACAAUGGCUCAUCCUGCUGCUACGCAUAACACGAUUCCUGAUACAAAUUGGUACAUGGACUCAGGUGCUACACAUCACUUUACUCCGGACAUCAACAUGCUUGACACUGUGACACCAUUUAGUGGUUUAGAACAGGUGACAGUUGGGAAUGGUAAGCAACUCUGUAUCUCACAUCUUGGUACUGCAAAACUACCAUCCUCGUAUUCUCCUCUUGUUCUACAUCAGGUAUAUCACACUCCAAAAAUUUCAAAUAAUCUUAUUAGUGUUAGAAAAUUGUGUUCUGAUAAUAAAGUUUUUGUUGAAUUUUAUGCCACUCAUUUUCUUAUCAAAGAUCAAGUUUCGAAGAGAGUUCUCUUUCAAGGUCAACUUGAUAAUGGCUUAUACAAAGUUCAGUCGUCAUGCUCUCCUUCUACUAUUUCCUUUCAUCCUCAAGUUUUCAUAGCCAACAUCAAGGAUCAAAAUUUGUGGCACAAGAGACUAGGCCACCCAGCUUUAUCUGUUAUUAAUCAAAUCUUGGAUUCUUGUAACAUUGCUCGAACACAGAAAAUUGGUUUUAAUUUUUGUAGUUCUUGUCAAUUAGCAAAAAGCCACAGGCUUCCUUUUUCUCUGUCUCCAUCCAUUGCAGAAAAACCUUUUGAGUUAAUUCAUACAGACCUAUGGGGUCUUUCUCCUGUUCGCUCUAUUUCUGGUGCUCGUUAUUUUUUACUUUUCAUUGAUGAUCAUACUCGUUUUACUUGGUUUUAUUUGCUCAAAACAAAAGAUGAAGCAUAUCCUACUUUUCUCAAGUUUCAAGCUCUCAUUGAAAAUCAAUUUAAUACCAAGAUUAAGGUUGUCCAAUCUGAUUGGGGAGGUGAGUUUCGAUCUCUCUCCAUACUGUUUUCAAAUAUGGGCAUUGUCUAUCGUUUAUCAUGUCCAUACACCUCACAACAGAAUGAGUGGGUUGAGCGAAAAAAUCACCAUGCGGUUGAAAUGGGAUUGUCCUUUCUUGCUCGCUCGGGUAUGCCCUUAUCUUAUUGGCCUUAUGCCUUUCAAACUGCCACUUACCUUAUUAAUCGUCUCUCUACCCCUGUGCUGCACCAUCAAUCCCCUUACUUCGCACUCUAUCACAAAUUCCCAGCUUAUACUCAUCUUAAGGUCUUUGUUCCUCUUGUUUUCCAUAUUUACGCCCUUAUAAUACCCAUAAACUCCAAUACAGGUCACUGGAGUGUGCUUUUCUUGGUUGCAGUUCACACCACAAAGGUUAUCUAUGUCUUGACAUUCAUUCUAGCAGGGUGUAUAUUUCUCGCCAUGUGAUUUUUAAUGAAGAUUCUUUUACAUUCAAGAAUUUGAAAUCUUCUCUCUCUUAGUCUAUUUCUUCUUCCUCUUCUUUAUUAGUUCCUCUGUUCAUUUCCUUGCCUCCCCUCUCCCCAUAUCCUCCUAUUUCUCCAUCUAUAUCUCAUUCUUUUCUCUCUUCUUCUUCUACCUCUAGUACUUGUUCCCCUCUCGUUGCUCCUACCUCUCUUCCUCCCUCUUCACACUUUGUGUCCCAUCUAUUCCACCUCCUUCUCCACCUUCUUCGAGUGUGGACCUGCUUGUACCUUGUGUGAAUACAAAUUUACUUACUUUUUCUCGCACUCACAAUAUUCAUCCUAUGGUGACCAGAUCUAAGGGUUUGUAUCUAUAAACCUAAGUUGCUAUUGAGUGUCUCCAUAGGUUCUCUCACUAAGCCUACUUCCUUUCUUCAAGCUAUUAAAGAUCCUUCAUGGAAGCAAGCCAUGGAAUUGGAGUUUGCUGCCCUUCAACACAACAAGACCUGGCAUCUAGUUCAUUCACCUUCCUCAGGCAAAGUAAUUGGUUGUAAAUGGGUCUAUAAGAUAAAGCUUUAGCCUGAUGGCUAAUUGAGAGAUACAAGGCCCGCUUAGUAGCUUAGGGUUAUCAUCAAACUGAAGGUAUUGACUACUUCGAAACAUUCAGCCUGGUUGUCAAGCCUUCUACUACCGUAUUGUGCUCAGUCUUACUUUUUCCCAGAAUUGGUGUAUUAGACAGCUGGAUGUUCAUAAUGCCUUCUUACAUGGUGACUUAGCUGAAGACGUUUUCAUGGAACAACCACCUGGAUUUGUUGAUCCUCUCUAUCCUACUCAUGUCUGCAAGUUGGAUAAGUCUCUCUACGGUCUUAAUAGUCACCUCGGGCUUGGUAUACUAAGCUGAGUACUUCUCUACUACACUUGGGAUUUGUUACUUCUAAGAAUGACUCUUCCUUAUUUAUUUGUCAUUCGUCUCAUGGGUUACUUCUUGUUCUUGUCUAUGUGGAUGAUAUAAUCGUCACUGGGAGCCACUCUCCUCAAGUUACUCACCUUAUCCAAUAGUUGCAUCAUCAGUUUUCUUUAAAGGAUCUUGGUCAUUUACACUAUUUUCUGGGCUUGGAGGUUCAUCACACCCCUACUGGUAUUCACCUCAGCCAAGCAAAGUAUAUCACUGAUCUCCUUACCCGGGCGGCUAUGUUGGAUGCCAAGCCAUGUCCCACUCCUAUGUCCUCCAACACAUAUCUUUCUCUUCAUGAUGGAGUGGCUCUUGAAAAUGGUUCAGAUUAUUGAAGUUUUGUUGGUGCCCUUUAGUAUUGUACCAUGACACGCCCAGAUAUAGCUUUUGCAGUAAAUAAAGUGUGUCAAUUCAUGCACCAUCCCUCUGAUGUUCACUGGCAGGCUAUAAAACGUAUUCUCCAGUACUUAAAGGGCACAUCUCAUUUUGGUCUCUUCCUACAGCCUUCCUAUGACUUCAACAUCACUUGCUAUACAGAUGCCGACUGGGCUUCCUGCCUUGAUGACAAGUGUAGCACCAGUGGCUACUGCCUCUUUCUUGCCUCUAAUCUGGUUUCUUGGUCAUCUUCCAAACAAAAAGUGGUCUCCCGCUCCAGCGCCAAAUCAGAGUACCGAGGGGUAGCAAAUGGGGCUGCUGAAAUUGCUUGGACUGAAUCUCUUCUUUGUGAACUUUCCACCCACUCGACCUCCCCUCAUUGUCUGUGACAAUAUCAGUGCCACAUACUUAGCUGUCAAUCCUAUUUUGCAUGCCCGCACCAAAACAUGUGGAAAUCGACUAUCACUUUGUCUCGGAACGUGUUCUUCAACGCUCUCUCUCUCUCCAGUUUACACCUUCGGAUGAUCAACUUGCUGAUUGCAUGACCAAGCCUCUCUCCACCCAACGUUUCAUCACUCUACGCUCCAAGCUCACUGUUCUCACUAGACCAAUGAGCUUGAGGGGGGAUGUUAAGCCUAAAGAUGUAAUUAGUUAGGAUAUUCUUUUCCCUCUAGUCUUGUAGCUCCACGUGUACAGUUGGUUAGGACCUCAUUGUAUAUAAUGCCUGCCCUGUUAUUGUAGAAGACAACAGAGAUAAAUAAUAUUAACAUUUUUCCUCUCAUCUCUCUCUCUGUUUCCCUCUGUUUUCAUCUCCUCUCUCAUCUGAACCAAAUGAUCCAUGUUAACCUUGGCUUGGUUUGAUUUGGCUCUAUCUUAGAGAGCUCAAGGAUCACGUCAACUCUGGUUUCUACUAUUCAGGUCCAUUCCCAUAUGAACUGGUUCAAAUUUGAGAAAAUGGUAACAGACCUUUAGUGAUGUUGGUUUGGAGCCAGUUGCCAAACCCGCCCUGAGCUUUACCACUAAUGUCAAGGGAGAAAGCCUUUUGAACAAAAACAAUAGCUUCAAGAGACUGAAUCGUGGAUGAAAUCUGAUCCACAUUUCUUCUCAUUUUGGAAACAAAUGAGAACUUAACUAAGAAGAUUCUACGGCCUCAUAGUGCUUUUCCUGAUCUAAGGUUGGUUCGUUUCCCAAAUUGUGAGAUGCACGGGCCAGACUUCAGAACUCUCACGCUCAGGAGUGUAUCCACGUGGUGGACAUAAGAUGGUGGCUUAAGAUCUGGUGUCGGUGGCUUUACUUUACUAGGAGAGUAGUGUGUCUUCAUCUCAUUCACUGCCGGAGGGUGGCGUAAGCAGUGACGCUAAGGUGGGGCAUAGUCAAUAUCAUUUGCAUUUGACCAUUAUAGUUUUCUCCCGGCUUGAAAGUAACCUUAUCGUGAUAAAGGAUUACUAGCACUAGUUCAGAUGACAGUCAUGUUAAAUUCGGACCAUGUUUGUGUCACAUUAUCAGCAACCAUGUGUUUAUGGUUCAUGCUUUCUGCAACUGAAAUUGAAAUUGAUAUAUAACCAGGUGAACUUCAAUCUAAAUUCUGGAAGUACUCAUGUGAGCGAUGGUGCCCAUCUGCAGAGUCCAUCAAUUGAAAAAUGGAGUGAGUGUAUCUAUAAGAGGGAAGGCUUGGCAAAUGUCCAGUUUUCUGGGAAUUCAACAAGGAUCUAAAAUAGAUUGUUUUCUUUGCUGAUUUCAAUGGUUGAAAUUUGAGAAGAUUGUGUCCCACAUAACACAACUAUUACUGGUCCUUCUGUUGCAAUUUAUCCUCUAAGGCUCUAGCAUGUCUUCCAAUUCCCACUUCCCUGUUACUCCAGGAAAGCUAUUUCUGUCAUUGUGAAGAAGAAAAGAGAAUGUAGAUAUCGAUGCUUUUAAGUGACUGGAGCAUUCAUAUCAGGUGGUCUGCAGCCAUAUAUGCCACUUUGUGAAGAUUGGAACAGUCAAUCACUAGGCUAUAUAUUAGUGUGGCCCAGCCACUUUAAUCAAGGACAAUUCUUCAUACUUAAAAGUCAAAUUCUGCCUUUAGUCUCAUUAUAAAUUGCUGUUUAAAUAUUAAGCAAACAUUUGUUUAAUGCGAUUAAGACAGUACUAACUCAAUACUUGUUCUAUUUUUGGAUGGAAAUGCUUGAUGGUUUCAUCAUUGGAUGGGAUAAAGGUGCAUUCAUGAUUAUGAAUACUUGUAGUUAUAUUUUCAUUCUCUUUUUUCUCAAUGAGACUUGUUGGCACAAUUUUUCUGUUCAGAAACCUACCUCUCCAUGGAAAAUAAGUUGUGAUUGAUAGUACUGGAUAUAUUCAAGAAAGCUAAAUAUAGAUAGCACAAAAUAUUAUCGACAUAAAUAGCAUUAACAGCGUACGUAUGUCUCAGUGCUCAUCAGCCAUAAGCAUGGGGCAAACACUUACGAUGAGCAACUUACGUCAAAAUUCCAGAAUAGGACAUAGAAGUGACAGAUCUAUAUAUAUAGAACACUGCAUAAGAGUCACAAGAAAGGAAAUUACGGGUGCAUAGCAGCUCUUAUUUCACAUACUACUCAUACUGAUCAAAGUCACUCAGUUGGGAUGGGUGGGAGUAGGAGGUUUGUGGGGUGGCUUGUGCGGAGGAGUUGGCAGCUUCUUUCCAGGACCUGGUGGCUUCUCUCCCUUAGGUGGUUUGCCAACUGGGGUUGGUGGCUUGUAUGAGUCUUCAGCAUUCUCUGCAGGAGGGUGACCAGGGUUGUGACCAUAAUGUGGUGGCUUCUCUCCCUUAGGUGGUUUGCCAACUGGGGUUGGUGGCUUGUGUUCUGGGAGUGGCUUCUCCCCCUUGGGAGGUUUUUCCAAUGGGGUUGGUUUGUGUUCAGGAGGUGGCUUCUCCACUGGAGGCUUGUGUUCAGGAGGUGGCUUCUCCACCGGAGGCUUGUGUUCAGGAGGUGGCUUCUCCACCGGAGGCUUAUGCUCUGGUGGUGGCUUCUCCACCGGAGGCUUAUGCUCUGGUGGUGGCUUCUCGAAUGGGGGAUGCUUAGGGUAAUCAGCAAGUGAGGGGGCGGUGAGAACCACCAGGCCAAGCAAGACCACUAGCAAGUAUGUAGGAGACAUCUUUGGGUUUAGACUCAGAUGGUGCAAAACUAGGAGAAUUGUCUUUUAUAGCGGAUCGCACCCAAUAAUGAAAUGACACGUGUCUUUAUGACCCAUGUGUAAUGGGGUCGAUUUGGGUCCUACAGUGUUGAAAACUUCGACAUCCACUUUUGGCCUUUUGCUUUCUCUACAGCCGCCUUGCUUUUUCCCUCUUUCCUUUUGUUUUCCUCCUGCCCCAUUCUAUCAACUAAACACAAUUAUGUAGUUGUUUAAUUCUUAAAUGAGAUAUUAUCCGUCAAUCGUAUCAUAUUUUAUCAACAGAGAACGGAGUGCAAUGUGGCAAUCCAAAGAAAGAAGAUCCAUAAUGCAGCUGUAAUUUUAUCGUUUACUUUUAUCUCUUGGACCACUGCAUUUUUGUUAAGAGGUGCAAUAAUACACGUCUUUAUCUGCCAUUCAAUGUUUACAGUAAAGAGAGGGCACAAAACUCUUCACUGCUCUGCAUGUGUCCCAAAAAUGCAAUUGGACAAAUUAUGAUUUGCAUGCUAAAAAGAGGCAAAUGAGGUUAAUUCGCACCAUAAUUAUUUUGUUUUCUGGACCCCGGGGCCCUUUGGUUGGUUUGGGGGUCAGAAAAUGAACAUCAUAGGGGGUUUUUCCCUUAUGUGCAUUUGUAUCUGAUGGCUUUAACUCGCCUUGUUACUACAAAGAAAUUGUCACAUAUAGGAACUUAUUCCAGGCUGAGUAUCUCCGCAUAGACCCUAUAAAAGAAGACAAGUCAUAAUGAACAUCUAACCUUUGUUCAAUUUGAUUCAAUGCCCCAUUGUGUCCACCUCACAAAUCUGAAUUAUUAUAUCCAUUGAAUACAUAAAUUAAUGAAGAAAAUAUGAAACCCAAGAUACAUCUCUGCACAACCUCAACCCUGGUUGCUAUGUUUCCCUUCUAUUCACAUGAGGAUAUUGAUUACGGAAUAGGGAAACCUAGCAAGGGUUUACUCGGCUCUGGUUUGAUGCUAAUUGCCAAACUUGCAACAAGCCCUGAGUUUGAAGCUCACAGAAGAUGUUAUACAGGCAGGGAAAAACCUUCAGAGUUCGCUGCCAAAGAUAAUUAUUAAGGAGAUAUCACCAAGAGAAUUCCAAGGAGUCUGAAUCAAAGACAAAUUGGUCGUUCGUGGAGGUUCUUACUUUCUUUUGGGUAUAACUCACUGAGGGCACUGUCUUUUUUAUUUUCAUUUCACAUUUAGAGUUCUGUUCUGGAAACAUAUAAAAGGAGCAUCAGUUUGUUCUUGGGUAACCCAUAGUCGUGAGUGGGUCCAUUUGCAUGCUACUUAGUUGAAAAGUUGGACCAUUUGCUCCGACGCCUACCUCCUGGAUUCCAUGCUCGGAUAAAACAAGAAUAAAAAAAUAUUUAUAAUUUACAAAUGGGGGAAAGAAAAAAAUGUCAACAACAAACUAGGAAAAAAGAGUAGUAAAAUUCAUGUCACAUGCUAGUGAGAGAAGGGGUUGUUACACUCACUCGAAGUUCUUUUCAAAAUAUCGCAUGGUAUUUUAUUUUAUGUGUGAGCGCAGUUGUGAAUGGAACGUGCAAAAGUCCAAAUUGGUGACCUUUAAUAAAUAUUUAAAACAAAAAACGAAAAAAAGGAGGGAAAAGGGAUCAGAAAAGAUAAAACAAUGUGUACAAAAGCUCAAUUAGUUUGCAAAUUACUGUUUGGAUUUUGAUAGUAUUUUAUUUGAUGUAAAAGAGAAUUUAAGAUAUUUCCGAAACAAAAGCAUUAGUUUGCUCCAUGUCAAUUUCGGCAUUUCUCAUAUGUUUCACACAUACACAGAAGAGCAUCGUUUUUUAAAGCAUGCAUUUAUGUUGGAUUAAUUUGGAUUUUGUGGGAACUGGGGCAAGGAUCACAUGGAAGAGAGGUUGACUUUUUUCAGUACUUCAAUGGUUGAGACAGGUGAAGGCCUGAUUGAUACUGAAGCCUGAAAUUGCGACUCCGUCAUUUGUCAAAACAUAUGACAGCUUCCAUGCUCUCGUUUGGUUGCAUUGUUCUGUGGUCAUGCAUACAUGCCACUUAGUGAUCAGUCUGUAACUGUCAAUCAUUGGGCUUUGACUGAACAACAUCAGCCAUGUAUAAAUACUUGCAAAUCAAACGGUCUUCUUCCUCCCAUAAGGAAUUUCGGUUUAAUUAUGAAGCAUGCAUUUGGCUGACCAUCAUAAACCACUUCUUUAAAUUGAUGAAUGAUAGUUUUUCAUUCAUUCUUUCAUUCGUUCAUAUACAGAGUAUAUAUAGAGGGUAAUCAUCAUUCUAAGAAUGGGAAAGAAUGAUACAAGGAAAUAAUGAUAUAAAGAAAUAACAACUAAUAUUCUAAUAUCUCAACUUUCCUAAUAUCUAAACAUUCCUAAUAUCUCAACACUAAAUGAUAUAAAGAAAGAAUGAUAUAAGGAAAGCAUUCCUAAUAUCUCAACACUCCUCCUCAAGUUGGUGCAUAGAUGUCAAACAUGUCCAACUUGUCUAAAAAUUUUGAGAACAGUUGACUUGAGACAUCUUUGGUGAGGAUAUCGGUCAAUUGAUCUUCUGAUCGAAUCUUAGGCAAUUCCACAAUCUUAUCAUCCAACUUUUCCUUAAUGAAAAAUCUAUCCAUCUCGACAUGCUUUGUACGAUCAUGUUGUACUAGAUUAUGAGCAAUGUCACAUGCUGCUUUAUUGUCACAAAACAAUCGGAUUGGUUGCCUAGAUAGGUAACCUAAAUCCUAUAAGAGGAGUCUUAGCCAUAAUGCCUCACAAAGUCCUAAAGUCAUACCUCUAAAUUCCGCUUCUGCACUUGAACGAGCGACGACAUUUUGCUUCUUACUUUUCCAUGUCACAAGAUUACCACCUACAAAGGUAAAGUAACCAGAUGUAGAUCGCCUAUCAUCCACUGCACCGACCCAAACAGCAUUAUACUUCUAUACUCUGAUGAUCAACAUUUUUAGCGAACAAAAUUCCCUUCCUAGGAGCAUUCUUCAAAUACCUCAAAAUACGCAUGACUACAUUCAUAUGUUGCUCUCCAGGAUUAUGCAUGUAUUGACUCACUACACUCAAUGUAUAAGCAAGAUCUAGUCUUGUAUGAGCUAAGUACAUUAAUCUCCCCACAAGUCUCUGGUAUCUUCCCUUAUCGAUUGAUACUUGAUUAGGCUCAACACACAAUUUCAGACCUUCUUCUAUUGGUGUAUUAAUAGGUUGACAUCCCGACAUUCCAGUUUCCUGUAGAAGAUCUAAGGCAUACUUUCUUUGAGACAGAAAAAUUCCUUCACUUGAUCGAGAAACUUCAAUCCCAAGAAAGUAUUUCAGACGACCAAGAUCUUUCAUUUCAAAUUCUCUAGAUAGAUACUUUUGCAAAGCUUUUCUUUCUUCAGGAUCAUUUCCUGUAACUACAUGUCAUCCACAUAUAUCAUAAGUGUCGUAAUCUUACCAUGUUGCUUUUUCAAGAACAAAGUGUGAUUUGAAUUACUUUGAUGAUAGCCAAAAGCUCUCAUUGAUUUUGUGAACCUUCCAAACCAUGCUCUCGGGGAUUGCUUCAACCCAUACAAUGACUUCUUCAAUUCGCACACCUUCUGACAUUGCUUUUCUGACACCAUGCAUCCUGGUGGAAGAUCCAUAUAUACUUCUUCAGAUAAAUCGCCAUGCAGAAAGACAUUUUUUACAUCGAACUAUUGUAAUGGCCAAUCUAGGUUUGCAGCUAAAGACAAUAAUACUCGAACUGUGUUGAUCUUAGCUACAGGUGCAAAUGUCUCUGUGUAGUCAAUUCCAUAAGUUUGAAUGUACCCACUAGUCUUGCUUUAAAUCGUUCAAUACUACCAUCUGCCUUGUACUUCACAGUAUAGAUCCAACGACACCCAACUAGCUUCUUUCCUGGUGGACAUUCUACGAGUUCCCAUGUUUCAUUUUUCUGCAAUGAUUUCAUCUCUUCAUUCAUGGUUGCUUUCCACUUUGGAUCAGCUAAAGCUUCCUGCACACUAUUAGGAAUAGCUACAGUAGAUAAUUGAUUUACAAAUGACUUAUUUGAUUCAGACAAACCAUGGUGUGGACCCGCAUUUUUCACGUGCGCCUCUACUCGAUCGGCGAGACUCGCUUUCUAUUUGUGAAAAAUUAAUUUUAGAAAAGUUGGAGUCGCCACCUAUUUUAUUUUUAUUUUGAAGGGAAAAUAAAACAAGAAAGAAAAACCCUAAAAAGUGACUCCAUAGUUUUGGAAAAAGCAUGUCUUUGGGAAACCUGAGUCUAGGUCCGGGGAUCAUGUUACUUAUUGGGAAGGUACCUCUAGGAGGUAGCACCCCUCUAAGCCUUAUGAAGGUCUCUACUAACUAAAUUAAGGGAAGUGUGGCAAUAAAUCGAUUGAUCAUAGAUACCUAAGUAGACUAGGUGAUUUUAAAGUGUGGCAUGUCAAACACAAUCAAAUUGCAAUAAAGGAGAGUUAGGGCGCGUACCUGAACCGCUUCUCAAGCGCUAUCAUAAAACAUCAAUGGUUAAUUUAAAUAAUAUAUCAUCCAGCAUGUAUUUUAUUAGAAAUAAUCAAACAAUGAAACAUGUAUAUCAGAACACUCAAGCAUUAUUAGACAUAAGCAUUAUUUCACUAUUCACAGAAUUCAGAAAGUAGGUGAUAGAGGACAUACCUGGAUAGCAUAGAUAAUUUGUAAUGUGCUUCCUCAAGUUGUAAGGGGUUAGAUAACAAAUAAUAAAAUAUAGAAAUCCUAGCAUGCUCGUUAUCUAAUUAGCAUAGCAAAAGUGAUCACAGUAUACAGAAUCAUCAAUUAUCACAUACAUCUUGUAUAUAAUUCCUAAAAAAAAUAGAUAGACAUGAUUUCAACAAGUGUCAAAUGUGGCAACAAAAAUAAAUUUUGAAAAGAUUUUCUUAUGUAGGGGUUUCACCAAUUCCCCAAAUUAAUAUACACGAAUUUAGCUUAGAAUUAUCCCAUUUAUUUGGGACUACAAGCUUUGAUUCGUGUUUUUGUUCAAAACCAAAAAUUUUUGUUGAAAAUCAAGAAGGAUGCGAACCGAACAAGAUAUGGUUGCAUAUUAUUUUUAAAUAAAUAAAUAAAUAAAUAAAGGAGAUUUUGAUCCUGAGGACUUUAAUGAGUUUUUUUUUUUAAAAUAGAUUUUUAAAAUGAUUUUUUUGAGAAAAGUAUUUUAUUUUAAAAUAAAAGGGAUUAAUUUGGGAAAAAAAUAAAAUAUAAGAAAUAAAAUACCAAACAAAACAAAAAUGAAACCUCAAAGUAAAAUUUUUUUAGUAAUUAACAAAAAUGAUAAUGGUGAUGGUAGAGGGCAAUCUUCAUGAUUUUCCAAUGGCCUCAGAAAGAAAAUCAAAUUAAAUGAAGGAUCACUAACAGGCAAGACAUUCUAAAUUAGACAAACUAACAAAGUAUCAAUUCAUGAACUAACCGCUAGGAUUUUGAAAGCAUAUAAGCUAAGAUAAGGGUGAUCAGGAACUAAUAUUAAUGAUUUUGAAAUAAAAACUAAAAAAAAGGAUCAAUUCGGGUAAGGAACUAAAAUUAUAAAAGUACCUAAACUAAUUAUGACGAGUUUGACUAAAUUAAACUAAAAACAUGAACUUUCAAACAUAGAAUUAAUUUUACUAAUGAACCAAAGCAAACUAAAAAUAUGUACUUUCAAGCAUAGAAUUAAUUUUAUUGAUGAACUAAACUAUAACAAAUAUCUAAACUAAAUAUAAUGAAUCAAAUUAAAUUAAAGCAACUUAAAAACGCAAACUUUCAAACAUAGAAUCAAUUUUAUCAAUGAAUUAAAACUAUAAAUGUAUUUGAACUAAAUAGAUGAAUCAAACUAAAUCAGAGCAAAAUUAAAAAAAAAAAAGAACUUUCUAACAUGAAAUCAAUUUUAUCAACAAAUAAAUGAAUGAAUAACAAGUAAUUAAAAGAAUAGCUACUACAUGAAUAACUGAAUGAAUAAAAUUCAAAUGUUUUCAAUCUGAAGCAAUCAAUCAAAAUUAAAUAGGGAUCAAAUCAAAAUAAUCGAAAUCGGAAAAACAAUAUGCAAUCUUUCUAAAGGUUUAACCAGACAAUUGAAUUAAAAUUAUGAAUAGAAUAAAUUAAUAAACCAAAUCGAAACCUAAAUUGUACCUAAAAAGAUUAAUUAAUUAAACUAAGAAAUCAAAAUCAAUAACAAAACUAAACUAAGGAGUAAAUUAAGACAAGACUAAUUAAAUUAAACUCACAAACACGUUUUAACUAUCAUAUGGAUUAAAACAAAAUUAGCAUGGACUUAUGAAUUACGAACAAAAAUAAUCAAAACUAUUUUAAAAAACUCACCUCUAUUAUAAGAAAAAAUCUGCCUUUGAUGCGUUGAGGUGGCUCCCCUCUCUGUGUGGAUCUCUCUGCUCCCCAGAAAAAAAAUGUCUCUUCCUCCGUUCUCUUUUGUUUCAGCAAAAUAAUAUAUCCCCUGCUGUGGAUCUCUCUACUCCCAGAAAAUAAUAUAUUCUCUCCGUGUCCUAAAGUGGACCUAGGGUGCCUAAGUGGACCUAGGGUGCCUAAAUGGGCCUAGGGUGCCUAAAUGGGCCAAGUGUAUCUAAAUAGGCUUAGGGUGCCUAAGUGGGCCUAAGUCUAAGUGAGCCUAAGUCUAAAUCAAGACUACCAAGGAUCAUAAUAAGGGGUUAGGCAAUCCCUUAACCAAAGUCUCCAAGGUGGCUAAAAAAAAGUAAGUAGUAUGAGUAGCUAUGGGUCACCAAGGAACUACUGUGGAGCAUUGAAAACGAAUUUAAAGACAUGUGCCAAAGGGACAAAAUUGAGGGUCUACAGAUGGUUAGACACAUAGUUGCUCAUGGGAUAUUUGACUUUGGUAAACAAUUCAGAUUCAUAUGUGGGUUUAGGAAUACCUUUAUUAUGACGGUGUGGUAAUCGUUUCAUGAAUGGAUCAGGUUGCAAAUUAAGAACACCCUCAGCAAACAACGAUUGGUUUGGUAUUUCAGUGAAGACAUCUUCGAACCCAAAUUGUUGACCACUCAUAUCCAACUCACCCGCUUCCUGGUUCACUAGUUCAGAUUGUCCAAAUUCAUCAUUCUCAUAGAUAUGAUAAUCAUAAUCGAGAGUCUGAAUUUCCUUAUGGUACUCCCCCUGAAGUUCAGACUUAGAUGAAAAAUACAUCGAAUAUUCAUGAAACAGCNNNNNNNNNNNNNNNNNNNNNNNNNNNNNNNNNNNNNNNNNNNNNNNNNNNNNNNNNNNNNNNNNNNNNNNNNNNNNNNNNNNNNNNNNNNNNNNNNNNNNNNNNNNNNNNNNNNNNNNNNNNNNNNNNNNNNNNNNNNNNNNNNNNNNNNNNNNNNNNNNNNNNNNNNNNNNNNNNNNNNNNNNNNNNNNNNNNNNNNNNNNNNNNNNNNNNNNNNNNNNNNNNNNNNNNNNNNNNNNNNNNNNNNNNNNNNNNNNNNNNNNNNNNNNNNNNNNNNNNNNNNNNNNNNNNNNNNNNNNNNNNNNNNNNNNNNNNNNNNNNNNNNNNNNNNNNNNNNNNNNNNNNNNNNNNNNNNNNNNNNNNNNNNNNNNNNNNNNNNNNNNNNNNNNNNNNNNNNNNNNNNNNNNNNNNNNNNNNNNNNNNNNNNNNNNNNNNNNNNNNNNNNNNNNNNNNNNNNNNNNNNNNNNNNNNNNNNNNNNNNNNNNNNNNNNNNNNNNNNNNNNNNNNNNNNNNNNNNNNNNNNNNNNNNNNNNNNNNNNNNNNNNNNNNNNNNNNNNNNNNNNNNNNNNNNNNNNNNNNNNNNNNNNNNNNNNNNNNNNNNNNNNNNNNNNNNNNNNNNNNNNNNNNNNNNNNNNNNNNNNNNNNNNNNNNNNNNNNNNNNNNNNNNNNNNNNNNNNNNNNNNNNNNNNNNNNNNNNNNNNNNNNNNNNNNNNNNNNNNNNNNNNNNNNNNNNNNNNNNNNNNNNNNNNNNNNNNNNNNNNNNNNNNNNNNNNNNNNNNNNNNNNNNNNNNNNNNNNNNNNNNNNNNNNNNNNNNNNNNNNNNNNNNNNNNNNNNNNNNNNNNNNNNNNNNNNNNNNNNNNNNNNNNNNNNNNNNNNNNNNNNNNNNNNNNNNNNNNNNNNNNNNNNNNNNNNNNNNNNNNNNNNNNNNNNNNNNNNNNNNNNNNNNNNNNNNNNNNNNNNNNNNNNNNNNNNNNNNNNNNNNNNNNNNNNNNNNNNNNNNNNNNNNNNNNNNNNNNNNNNNNNNNNNNNNNNNNNNNNNNNNNNNNNNNNNNNNNNNNNNNNNNNNNNNNNNNNNNNNNNNNNNNNNNNNNNNNNNNNNNNNNNNNNNNNNNNNNNNNNNNNNNNNNNNNNNNNNNNNNNNNNNNNNNNNNNNNNNNNNNNNNNNNNNNNNNNNNNNNNNNNNNNNNNNNNNNNNNNNNNNNNNNNNNNNNNNNNNNNNNNNNNNNNNNNNNNNNNNNNNNNNNNNNNNNNNNNNNNNNNNNNNNNNNNNNNNNNNNNNNNNNNNNNNNNNNNNNNNNNNNNNNNNNNNNNNNNNNNNNNNNNNNNNNNNNNNNNNNNNNNNNNNNNNNNNNNNNNNNNNNNNNNNNNNNNNNNNNNNNNNNNNNNNNNNNNNNNNNNNNNNNNNNNNNNNNNNNNNNNNNNNNNNNNNNNNNNNNNNNNNNNNNNNNNNNNNNNNNNNNNNNNNNNNNNNNNNNNNNNNNNNNNNNNNNNNNNNNNNNNNNNNNNNNNNNNNNNNAACCAAAGGAAGCAUGUUCCAGACGUCGAUGCCACAACCAAAUUUCAGACUUUUUCUUCUCCUCCUUAGAUCCAUCUGCCAUCAAGGCUUGUUGCAACUUAUUUGAAUCCUUUGAUUGCAAGUCCAAGUAUAGAGUUUCCCCCGCUUAAUACGACAACCAAUCGUCUGUCUUGUUUGAAUGUCCUUAAUCACACAAAAUUCAGGCCAAAAAAUGACAAUACAAGAUAAGGCUGCAGUGAUUUGAGAAACUAACAAAAGAUUGUAAUCUAAAGAUGGAACAACUAAAACAGAAUCCAAAUUCAAAGUAUCAGUAAGAGUUAAGGAUCCUUCCCCAAUGACUGGGGUUGUGUUACCAUUGGCUGUGGAAACAAUUUUUUGUGAGGAAGGUCUAAGGGGUGAAACCUGUCUAGAAUCAAAAGUCAUAUGAUCUGUAGCACCAGAAUCAAUUAUCCAUGCACUAUUAAUAACAGGUGUAAAAGUAUUUAAAAACUUACCACAAUGAUCUGUAGCGGCUACUAAUGCAGAGACUUUCUCAACAACAUUAGUCUUUGUUUUUAUUUCGGUAACAGUUGCAAUCAAGGUUUUCUUGGAAUUCUUCUUCCGUUGAUCACGAUUAUUAUCAUUAAUAACAAAGUGUUGAUAGCCUAAACAUGAUCUAAAGGUCCAUGGUGCAAACCCUCGGUUCCUCAUUGUUUUCCUGGUCAUACCAAGAGUUGUUGCUUUGAAAUUGUGGGAUAUCCAGACUGGUGGGAUCAGUUUUAUUGCAGUGAGUGCAUUUGAAUGUUGACUUAUCAAUAUUAGGGCUUGUCUUCGGAUGGUUGAUUGCUGUUGGACUACCAUAGCGACAAAAUAUCCAGGAUUUCAAUUCCAGGGCUCUGAUACCAUCUUCAAAUUGAUGAAUGAUAGUUUUUCAUUCAUUCUUUCAUGUACAGAGUAUAUAUAGAGGGUAAUCACCAUUCUAAGAAUGGGAAAGAAUGAUACGAGGAAAUAAUGAUAUAAGGAAAUAAUAACUAAUAUCCUAAUAUCUCAACUUUCCUAAUAUCUCAAUAUUCCUAAUAUCUCAACUUUCCUAAUAUCUAAACAUUCAUAAUAUCUCAACACUAAAUGAUACAAGGAAAGAAUGAUAUAAGGAAAACAUUCCUAAUAUCUCAACACCACUUCAUGAUAUAUAUAGUUUCUUACCCUUAAUCAAUGGUUUCUAAGUGAAUUUAUAUAGAAAGAAAUCCAAACUGUAGACAGCAGUAUUGGUAACACUCAAUAUUCUGUAUAUAAUAGAAUAAAUAGCGUCACAGUGAUCGUCGCCUACAAGCAAGGUACAAAUACCACAAAGAGUGACCCACAUAGACAUUCCCCAACAAGAUGUAGUAGUGACUGACACAUAGCCACAAUUAACACGUAGAAAAGGAUAAGACCGGUGCACAGUAGCUCUUAUUUUACAUACUACUUAUGCCAACCAAAGUCACUCAGUUGGGAUGGGAGGGAGAUGGAGGUUUGUGCGGUGGCUUGUGGGGCGGAGUUGAUGGCUUCUUUCCAGGAGCUUCUGGCUUUUUCAUCGGAGCUGAAGGAGGCUCAAUCUUAUGAGGCGGCUUGUACGAGUCUUCUUUGCUCUCGAAAGGAGGGUGGCCAGGGUUGUGACCAUAAUGUGGUGGUUUCUCUCCCUUGGGAGGUUUACCAAUUGGGGUUGGUGGCUUGUGUUCUGGGAGUGGUUUCUCUCCCUUGGGAGGUUUAGUGGGUGACUUGUGUUCUGGAGGUGGCUUCUCCACCGAAGGCUUGUGCUCCGGUGGUGGCUUUUUGGUUGGAGGGGGCUUGGGGUAAUCAGCAAGAGAUGGGGUGGUGAGAACCACCAGUCCAAGGAACAACACUAGCAAGUAUGUGGGAGACAUUUUUGAGUUUGGGCUGAUCAGAUGAUGCAAAACUAAAGCAUUACGUGACCUUUUAUAGCAAGUAGCUCCCAAUACCUACUUGACACGUGUUACUGUGACCCAUAAAUAUUAUGGGGUCUAUUUGUGCCCUACCGGGUUGAAAACUUGGACAAUUGGGCAAGGACCCGCCUGACUAUGGAGGACUACUGAGGUGUGAUCACAGCUUUAGGAUUUUUCUUCCUCUGCAGCCGUCUUGCCGUUGGCAUGAUUUUCUUAAUCUCAAAUAAAGGCAUAGUUAUAGAGUUGUUUAAUCUCUAAAUGGGAUUUUAUAUAUCUUCAGAUAGCCAUUAAUACAUUUGAUGAAGAAAGAAAGACAAGUGCAUACAACAUGUAUACGACUAGCUUUCAUGGAGUUCAUUUAUGAUCAGUUUUCCUGUACAUGUAAACCAAGAUCAUAUAUGUUUUUGUUCCACAACAAUUUUGGAAUCUUGUUUAUCCGUUUUUAUCAUUAUAAUGUCACAUAGGCUGCCAACUUGGGCGCUAAAUUAAAGAUCCAGUUGGGCAAGUUCGUUUCAGAAUUUCAAUGGUGGAUUCAGGAAUUGUUUUAUAAGAUAUGCAAAAUAGUAGAGGGAUGAAUAGUGUUUCAUUAAGAAAAGAGCCCUGUAAAAAUAUUGUUUAAAGGUGCCAUAGAAACUAUAAUCAAUAAAUAACUUUUUUUCCCCAUGGGUGGUGUUUCUUGUGGGGAUCAGUGACUGGUUUGAGUCAACGCCGUGUCUCUUUAGUCCAGAAAUCAACUAUUUUAUGCAUUGAAUACAUCAACAAAGAAAAUAUGAAAGCCAAAUGACACCUCCCCCGCAAAAACUAAACCCUGGUUGCUAACUUUCUAUGUUUCAGUUCCAUUCACACAAGAAUAUUAGUUCAAGUUUGAGAAAAAUGGCGACUUACCUAGUGAUAACUCGGUCUUGGUUUGCGAUUUGACUUUAACGUCAUGGGUUGAAGCCUCCUACAAUCAUCGUGUAUGCUAGUUCAAAGCUCGUGGAAGAAGUUAUACAGGGAGGGAGAAACCUCCACAGCAAGCUCCAAAAGAGAAUUAUCACAUUGAAAGCUCCAGUUGAACACUGGGUGAAAGCCAUAACAAGAUUGGUUUUCUAUCGCUCUUUUAAGUAAUGGAAGAUUAUUAUCUCUGCUUGUCACUACAACCGUGCAUGCUGCUAGAUCUUUCUAGACACUUCAAACAGUGAAACCAAGUAUGAUUCUUUUUCUCUUGAGUGGGUCCACUUGCAUGCCAAUGAACGAGUUGAAAAGUUGGACAAUUGGCCACAGCGCGCACUUACCUUCUGGAACCGAAGGUCAGUGAAGUGGGGUUCCUUUUGGCCCCUUGUGUUUCUGUUCCAACCUACUCCAGGAACCGAAGUUCAGUGAAGUGGGGCUACUUUUGGCCUCUUGUGUUUCUGUUCCAACCAAACAAAAAUGGGAGGGAAAAAUAGCAUUAUGCUUGUGCUAAAGAUCAACGCAUGAUAGCUGAAUAAGGGAGAAAAAGGCAUUGCUAUCUCAAUUUCAUAAACUUGAUAAGUAGUGACAUUAAUAGUCUUCCUCAUAGAUGGAUACAUGGUUUUAUUUUAUUUAUUUAUUUUUAUUUUUUUGUUUUAUGUCAAUGCUAAUGAAUGAAGUGCAUUAGCUUGUUUUGUGACUAGAACUACAAAUGUCCAAAUUGGAGCUUCUCCAAUAUAUUUCUCAGUGAGUUAUUGAUUAGAACUCUUGGAUUGAGUUCCAAGAUUUGAAUCAGACCCCUCUAGCAGCUUCAGGGGUACGUAGCAACCUAUAGCAUAUUAAUGAAGACUUAGGAUUUAGACUUAGGAAUACAAAUUAAUAUGUACCUCAUGCUCUGACUAGCUUCCCUGCGUAUGCACAAAAUGGAGAUGACUCCCAAAAAAAUAGCAGAAUCGCCUUAGUAUGUUUUUGUGGUUAAGAUGAUUCUCCACUUUAUAUAUCCACAUUGGUUCAUUAUGCAAAUUAAUCAACUAAGCUAUUUUUAUUUUUUCUUAAAUGUGAAAUAGGAGCUCCAAAUUAACCUAACCAUUGGCCUGAUUGAAUUGAUUUCACUUGCAUAAUGUUAUAGUAGAAGUCCGUAAUUUGAAUUUUAUUUUUGCAAAAGGUAACGUAAAUGAAGCAUUGUAAUUAAAUUUAUUUGUAAUUACAAACUAAUUUUAUUUUAUUAAGAAUUAAUUUAAUUACUCAUUUAAAAUAAAAAUCAGUUAUACUUUUACCAAGAUGAUAAUAUUCAUAUUUUUCUAGUUAACAUAUAUAAAAUAGUACACUUUUUCAUAUAAAAAAAUAAUUUAUGAUUUAUUAUAAUGUUACUAUUCACAUUUUACUAAAUUGAUGGUACAUGAUAGUGAGAGAAGGGGGUGUCACACUCAGCUAAAGUUCUUUUCAAAAUAUUGCAUGGUGUUUAAUUUUAUGUGUCGGCGCGCGUGUGAAUGGAACCUGCAAAAGUCCAAAUUGGCGUUUCUCCAUUUUCCACAUAGGAUGGUGACGUUAAUAGACAAAGAUACAAUAUCUGUAGACAUUGCUUAAAAAUCGAUGUGAAGUAUUAGAAAUUACAGGGCACUGUACUGGGGGAGCGGCUGCCCCGCCAAAGGAGGAAGAAUGUAGCAAUUUCUUCUGUUAGCCAGGCCUUAGGAUUUAUGCAUGGGAUGCCUAAUAACAAACAGAGAAAAUAUACUUUUGGGGAAGGUAUCCAACAACAGACACCAUCAUUCAGAUGGUGGGAAGGUAUCCAACAGAUGCCAUCAUUCAGAUGGUAACAUAUAUAUACAUUUAUUAGUGAGUUUUUUUAAUACCUAUAAAAAAAAAUAUACACUUUGAUAUUGUGGCUGAAUCCAUUACAUACUCAACUAACCUUGCUCAUUAGGGAUUUGACUUAACAAGGGCAACGUUGCAGUACAAGCUCAAAACUUUAUGCAGGUGACAUUACAUUUGGUAAAGAAGAGGAAAAUAACGAAAGCCAUCCAUAAAAGCAAAAUUCCACAUGGGAUGAAAUUCACAAGCUUCAUUUACGAUAGAGUCGCAUCCAGGCAAUUAAUUCCACAUUAGACCGCCUGUUGACAUGUGUACCAAUCUUUUUUCAAAAAAUAUUUAUAAAUAAUUGAUACUCACAAAAAUAAUUUAAUAUUUAUAAAGGAUAAAAAAAUAUUUUCAAAUCUAUAACAAUUUAUAAAAUAUUAAUAAAAAAUUAUCUCUUAAACUUAGUAUAGUUUUAUCAGAUUAAACUUUUAUUUUGAACAAAUAAUUUUAAUCUAAGUUUUAAAUUCUAAAAUUAUUUCCUUAAAAUAAAAUUUUAAAAUUCAACACUUCAAUUGAAAUUGUCUUUUUAAAAAAUAUCUUCUUAUUUUAAUCCUUAUAAACUAUAGUUGAUUGAAAAUACUAUUGAAGUUCUCUCUUAAAAAAAAGUCUUAUUUUAAUCUUCAUAAAUUGCCCUUGAUUUGAAAAUAAAUUUUCAGUUAUCAUAUUUUAAAUAAUAUCUAUAUUUAAAAUACUCUAUUUAAAAAAAAAUGAACUAAUUUUAAUUAUAUUAUAUUUUAUUUUUUUAUAUAUUUUUAAUGAUAAACCAAACAUAGAAAAUCAUUUUUCUAAAUAUUUUAAAAUUUCUAAGCAACCAAACAUAAUCUUCAAAAUAAAAGGAAAAUAAGGAGGGACAUUUGAGAAAUGGCGAUUAAAAAAAAGUGUACAAAAGCUCAAUUAAUUUUCUUCUAGUCUUUUAUAUAAAAAAGUAAAGGAAUUGAAAAGUAUUGAUAUGUAAAUUAAUAUUUGGAUUUUAAUAGUAUUUUAUUUGUCUUUCUCUAUCUCAUGUAAAAGAGAAUUUAAGAUAUUUCCUAAAGCAAAGCAUUAGUUAUCUGCAAUCAGUGGUGAUCAUGCCCCAUGUCAAUUUCGGACCCAUAUCUUAAAACUGUAUAAUUUGCAUUCAAACAUUACUGAUUUCUCAGAUGUUUCAUACUCCACAGAAGAGCAUUGUUUGUGAAAGCAUGCAUUUAUGUUGGAUUUUGGAUGAUGUGGGAACUGGGGCAAGGAUCAUAUGGAAGAGUGGUCGAUUUUGUUCUGUACUUUAACAUUUGAAAUAGGAGAAGCUCGGGCAUUUGUGGGGCUUAAUUGAUUUUGAAGCCUGAAAUUGCGUUUCUGUCAUUUUGUAAAAAAUAUGGCAGAUUCCAUGCUCUCAUAUGUUUGGUCUGUGGCCAUGUAUAGAUGCCCCUUAGUGACCAGUUUGUAACUGUCAAUCAUAGUGUUUUGACUCUGGCUCAACAACAUCAGCCAUUGACGGAUUUUCAUACUUGCAAAUCAAAUAGUCUUCUUCCUCCCUUAGGAAUUUCGGUUUAAAUGUUAUUAAGCAUACAUUUGGCUGACAAUUAUUAACCACUUCAUGAUAUGGUUUCUUACCCUUAAUCAAUGGUUUCUAAGUGAAUAUAUGCAGAAGGAAAUCUGAACUGUAGACAGCAGUAUUGAUAACUCUCAAUAUUCUUUAUAUAAGAGAAUAAACAACGUCAUAGUGAUCGUCGCCUACAAGAAAGGUACAUUUCCCAACAAGAUGUAGUUGUGACUGGUACAUGGACGCAAUUAACUCGUACAAAAGAAUAAGACCAGUGCACGGCAGCUCUUAUUUUACAUGCUAAUUAUGCUAACCAAAGUCACUCAGUUGGGAUGGGAGGGAGAUGGAGGUUUGUGCGGUGGCUUGUGGGGCGGAGUUGGUGGCUUCUUUUCAGGAGCUUGUGGCUUUUUCGGAGCUGAAGGAGGCUCAAUCUUAUGAGGCGGCUUGUACGAGUCUUCUUUACUCUCGACAGGAGGGUGGCCAGGGUUGUGACCAUAAUGUGGUGGCUUCUCUCCCUUAGGUGGCUUGCCAACUGGGGUUGGUGGCUUGUGUUCAGGAAGUGGUUUCUCUCCCUUGGGAGGUUUACCAAUUGGGGUUGGUGGCUUGUGUUCUGGGAGUGGUUUCUCUCCCUUGGGAGGUUUAGUGGGUGACUUGUGUUCUGGAGGUGGCUUCUCCACCGGAGGCUUGUGCUCCGGUGGUGGCUUCUCCACCGGAGGCUUGUGCUCCGGUGGUGGCUUCUUGAUUGGAGGGGGCUUGGGGUAAUCAGCAAGAGAUGGGAUGGUGAGAACCACCACUCCAAGGAACAACACUAGCAAGUAUGUGGGAGACAUUUCUGAGUUUGAGCUGAUCAGAUGAUGCAAAACUAGAAGAAUUACGGGACCUUUUAUAGCAAGUAUCUCCCAAUACCCACAUGACACGUGUUACUAUGACCAUAAAUAUUAUAGGGUCCAUUUGUGCCCUACCGGGUUGAAAACUUGGACGCUUGGCCGAGGACACACCUGACUAUGGAGGACUAUUGACGUGUGAUCACAGCUUUUGGAUUUUUCUUCCUGUGCAGCUGUCUAGCGGUUGGCAUUAUUUUCUUAAUCUUAAAUAAAGGCAUAGUUAUAGAGUUGUUUAAUCUCUAAAUGGGAUUUUAUAUAUCUUCAGAUAGCCAUUAAUAUAUUUGAUGAAGAAAGACAAGUGCAUACAACAUGUAUACGGCUUGCUUCAAUCGAGUACAUUUAUGAUCAGUUUUCCUGUGCAAGUAAACCAGUUUUUUGUUCCACAACUAUUUUGGAAUCUUGUUUAUCAGUUUCUAUCAUUAUAAUGUCACAUAGGCUGCAAACUUGGGCACCCAAAGAUCUAGGUGGGCAAAUUUGUUUCAGACUUUCAAUGGUGGAUUCAGUAAUUGUUAAAAGGUGUUUCUUCAUUAAGGAAAGAGUCCGGUAAAAAUAUUGUUAAAAGGUGUCAUAGAAACUAUAAUAAAUAAAUAACUUCUUUUCCCCAUGGGUGGUGUUUCUUCUGGGGAUCAGUGACUGGUUAGGGUCACCCAAAAUGAGUCCAGAUUAAAAUUGGUUCGAGUCAAAGCAGUCUCUUUUGUCCAGAAAUCAACUAUUUUGCGCAUUGAAUGAAUCGAUAAAGAAAAAAUGAAAGCCAAAUCACACCUCCCCUGCAAAACCUAAACCCCGGUUGCUAACUUUCUAUGUUUCAGUCCUAUUCAUAUAGGAAUAUUGGUUCAAGUUUGAGAAAAAUGGCAACUUACCUAGGGUUUACUUGGUUUUGGUUUGCGACUAUUUACGCAACCAACCAUGAGUUUGACUUUAACGUCAUGGGUUGAAGCCUCCUACAAUCAUGUAUGAUAGUUCAAAGCUCGUGGAAGAAAUUAUACAGGAAGGAAGAAACCUCCAAAGCUAGCUCCAAAAGAGAAUUAUCACAUCGAUAGCUCCAGAGAUUCCCAAGGGAACUGAAUCAAAGACAAGUUCCUCACUUUUUCUUCUUUUGAGGCCAAAUAUGAACCAAGGAUCACACGACCUCAUUCAACUUCAUAAGUUUGAUUUCAUGCAGUUGAACACUGGGUGAAGGCCAUGACAAGAAUUGAUUAAAAAAUUCUACCACUCUUUUAAGUAAUGGAAGAUUAUUAUCUCUGAUUGGCACCACAACAGCACAUGCUGCUAGAUCUUUCUAGACACUCCAUGCAAUGAAAGCACAAUGGAUCUUGUAAUGAUAGAAACUAAGCCAUGCUACAGUACUAGAUGAGGGGGUAAAACUAGUAGACAUCUUUCUAGACACUCCAUGCAAUGAAAGCACAAUGGAUCUUGUAAUGAUAGAAACUAAGCCAUGCUACAGUACUAGAUGAGGUGGUAAAACUAGUAGACAUGGCUGGCAGUUGAUUACUACUCAAAAAGUACUCUUUUAUAGCUUGAAACUAACUGUUUUAAACACUUUUGAGUAGUAGUUAAUACCUUUUAACUUAAUUGGCACAUUAAGGAACCUAGCAAGGGUUACUAAUCAACAUUUGGCAAGUUUUGAUGUUUUUGGUAGCUAUUUGAUCAUUGAAACAAGCCAAGAAUGAGGGGGAAUUUUGUGAAGUCCAUGGCAAUGCAAGUUAAAGCUCAAAUACAUGAAGAAUCCAAGCUUUGGAGCACUUCAUAGCCCUUUGCCAAGCCAAUCAAAGAUGCAAGGAAGAAAACCAAAGGAAGAAAUCCAACAAUCAGCAUUUUGGCAUGGCUAUGUGAAAUUUCGCACACCAUGCGAAACCACAAGAGGCAGCCAAAGAAUUUCGCAUGGUAUGCGAAAUCUUCUUGUGCACUGACUCUGUUAGAUUUUUAUCUUCAGAUAUUUUGUGUAAUUUCCUAGUUUCUCCUUGUAACCAACUUAGAUAUUUUCUUUUAUAUCUUUUUUUAUAUUUUUUAGGUAACAUCAUAUAUAAGAGGAGAGACAUAAGGAGGAUAUGGAUGUUUUUCAUAGAACACUUGUAAAUUUUUGGUAGUAAGAAAUAUACAAAGCUUUUUGCUCUGCCUUACCUUCUCAAGGGAUGAGUGGCUAGGUUUUCUUGGAGUGAGGGAAGCUAGGUGAAGGACCUGAAUGCAAAGGUGGGAGUUUUCCUUACUUUAAAUGAAAGUAGUUGUUAAACAUUAAUGGUUUUUAUUUUAAGGUUUAGCUUUAAAUCCCUGAAAAACACCUUGAAUGGCCAAUACUUGGUAAGCUUUUUAGAUUCUAUGGAUGCUUAUUGCUAGAUCCAUGGAUGUCUAUUAGUUAUCAUUUACGAGCCAUUGGAAGGUGAUUCAAGGUGAGGGUCUUUAGUGUUUGAAGCCAUUAAUGGGAAGCAAUUACCAUUUUUUCAUGAAUCCUUUGGAUCAAAUCUUAAUUGCUAAAUAUAAAACCGGUUUCGAGAGAUAACCACCAUCCUUUAUGUUAUUAUCCCCAACGCGAGGAGAAGAUCCGAAAUCUUCCUUUUUAUCUAAGGAACCCGAUCCUAGUGACCUAAAGCUCCAAGAUACCUUUUCUUUGUAGUUAACUUCAUUUAUUGUUUUUGCUUAACUUAAAAUCAAUCUUUGCAACCACAAUUCCAUUUUCUUUAAAAGCUAAUUUUUAUAAGGAAAAACACCAUUUUAUUUCCUUCACUAAGUCAACUGUACGAUGAAAACCCAUCCCUGUGGACGAUCCUAGAGCCACUAUACUAUGUUAGCUAUGCUACCCUAGUGUGAGGUGAUUUAGGUUUUAUAAAUUUUUUUGAUAACACCCAUCUGAGCCAGAAUCAAAUGGCACGACUGAACCAGGGACGAAUCAAAUGACGCCGCUACCAAGGAUGGUGCCAAAGUACAUUGACAUGACUUUUGGUGAACACUUGUGAUCUUCACCACAAGUUUGGUGAUUUUUCUUUUACUAAUUUUUUUUAUUUUAGCUUAUCUUUUAUUUAGUUUUUAGUUAACCUUAAAUUUUUCCUAGAAUUGUAUUUCUUUUGUUUUCUUUGUUUUUGUUUCAGUGAUCUUUAGUUGUGCAUGCCCUAUUGGAUAAGAGAUAUUGAGGGAAUACUUGUGAAGAUUGAAACUCCUCGAGAAACUGAGUUAGAAGUGUGCUUGAACAUCAUGGAUGUUCCACCUGAAGACCAGAAUAGCCAACAUGGUUAAGAGGAUAAUUUCAACACAUACCGAUCCAUGAGGAACCGCAUACAUCCACCUUGUAUGAGUGCACCGUCAGGCAUAAUGCCUCCCACUGAGCAGCUAGUAAUCUGACCUCACAUUGUGCCACUCCUACCUACUUUCCAUGGGAUGGAGAGUGAGAAUCCCUACUCGCAUAUUAAGGAAUUCGAGGAGGUUUGUAAUACAUUCCAAGAAGGAGGAGCUUCAAUUGACUUGAUGAGGCUCAAGCUAUUUCCUUUCACUUUGAAGGAUAAGGCCAAGAUUUGGCUUAAUUCUUUAAGGCCAAGAAGUAUCCAAACUUGGAUUGAUUUGUAAGCCGAGUUUCUUAAGAAGUUCUUCCCUACCCAUAGGACCAAUGGUUUGAAAAGGCAAAAUUUGAACUUCUCAGUUAAAGAGAAUGAGAAAUUCUAUGAGUGUUGGGAGAGCUACAUGGAAGCUAUUAACGUUUGUCCUCACCAUGGCUUUGACACAUGGCUCUUAGUGAGCUAUUUUUACAAUGGUAUGUCUUCUUCAAUGAAGCAACUCCUAGAAACUAUGUGUGGAGGAGACUUCAUGAGUAAGAAUCCGGAGGAAGCCAUGGACUUUUUGAGUUAUGUGGCUGAAGUUUCAAGAGGAUGGGAUGAACCAAAUGCUAGAGAGGUGGGAAGAAUGAAGUCUCAACCUAAUGCUAAGGGUGAGAUGUAUGUUUUGAAUGAAGACAUUGACAUGAAAGCAAAGGUUGCAGCUAUGGCAAGGAGAUUGGAAGAGCUAGAAAUGAAGAACAUACAAAAAGUGCAAGCCAUUUCUGAGACAUCAAUGAAAGCUAUGCCUUGUUCCAUUUGUCAAUCUUAUAAGCACCUAGUGGAGGAGUGUCCUACAAUUCCAGCAGUGAGAGAGAUGUUUGGUGAUCAAGCAAAUGUUAUUGAUCAAUUCAAGCCUAAUAACAAUGCUUCAUAUGGCAACACCUACAAUUCAAAUUGGAGGAACCAUUCAAAUUUCUCUUGGAAACGAAAGCCACCUCAAUACACACAACCUACUCAAGCACCUUAGCAAUCCUCGAAUCUUGAACAAGCUAUUGUGAACCUUAGCAAGGUUGUGGGAGACUUUGUGGGAGAUCAGAAGUCCAUCAAUGCUCAACUGAAUCGGAGAAUUGACAGUGUGGAGAGUACAUUGAACAAAAGGAUGGAUGAGAUGUAAAAUGAUCUGUCUCAAAAGAUAGACAAUGUCCAAUACGUAAUCUCAAGGCUUACCAACCUCAACACAGUGUAAGAGAAAGGAAAGUUUCCUUCUCAACCUCAUCAAAAUCCUAAGGGUAUCCAUGAAGUAGAGGCUCAAGAGGGAGAAUCUUCAAAGGUGAGGGAAGUCAAAGUAGUUAUCACCUUGAAGAGUGGUAAAGAGGUUGAUCAACCCACAUCCAAGCCAAAGCAUAAUGAAGAGAGUGUAGCAGAAAAAGAAAAGAGAGGAAAAUAAAGGAAUUAGAAUAGAGAAAAAUACAAAGAAAGAUGACCAUGAGUCUAGUGUGGAUGAAGAGCCCGAGAGGAUGGUGAUCAAGGAAGAUAUGAUGAAGAAACACAUGCCUCCACCUUUCCCCUAAGCUUUGCAUGACAAAAAAAGAACCAAUAAUACAUCAGAAAAUUUUGAAGUAUUGAGGCAAGUGAAGGUCAAUAUCCCUUUGCUAGACAUGAUCAAACAAGUGUCGACAUAUGAAAAAUUCUUGAAGGACUUGUGCACUGUAAAGAGAGGGUUGAAUGUGAACAAGAAAGCUUUAUUGACCGAGCAAGUGAGUUCCAUCAUACAGUGCAAGUCCUAGUGAAGUACAAAGAUCCGGGUUGCCGUACCAUCUCAGUGAGUAUUGGAAGGACUUGUGUGGAGAAAGCUUUGUUGGACUUGGGAGCAAGUGUGAAUUUGCUAUCCUACUCUGUCUAUAAGCAGUUGGGAUUUGGAGAGUUGAAGCCAAUAUCCAUCACUCUAUCUCUAGCGGAUAGAUCAAUGAAGAUUCCAAGAGGGAUGAUCGAAGAUGUCCUGGUUCAAGUUAACAAAUUCUACUAUCCAGUAGAUUUUGUUGUUCUUGAUAUGGAUCCGGUUGUCAAAUGAACUAAUUAUGUUCCUAUCAUACUUGGAAGACCCUUCCUAGCUACAUCAAAUGCAAUCAUCAAUUGUAGGAAUGGAGUCAUGCAACUCACAUUUGUCAACAUGACAUUAGAGCUCAACAUCUUCCAUUUGUACAAGAAGCAUAUCCAUCAGGAGGAAAAAGAAGGUCUAGAGGAAGUGUGAAUGAUUGACACUUUAGUGGAAGAGCAUUGUGAUCGAGAAUGCAAAAAGAUUUAGUUGAGAAUUUUGGGGAUCUUGAUGAAAGGUUACUUGAACCCUCAGAUUUGCUUGCUACCCUACUCCAUUGGAAGAGAAGAGAAGAAAUUCUACCCUUAUUCAAUGAGGAGGAGACGCAAAGAGCUGCAAAGGAGAAACCCCCAAAACUUAUUCUUAAGCCACUACCCACAGAGUUGAAGUAUGUAUACUUGGAAGAAGACAAGAAGUGCCCUAUUGUUAUAUCUUCAACUCUUACCAUUCAUCAGGAGGAUUGUCUACUUGAAGUCCUUAGAAGAUGUAAGAAGACAAUAAGGUGGCUAAUUUCUUAUUUGAAAGGGAUCAGCCCUUUAGUCUGCACCCAUCAUAUUUACAUGGAGGAUGAAGCUAAGCUAAUUCAUCAACCUCAGAGAAGGUUGAACCCUCACAUGCAAGAGGUGGUUCGAGCUGAAGUUCUGAAGCUACUUCAGACCAGUAUUAUUUACCCCAUAUCAAAUAGCCCAUGGGUGAGUCCUACUCAAGUUGCGCCAAAGAAGUCUGGGAUCAUGGUGGUGCAAAAUGAUAAGGGAGAAGAUGUCUCUACACGCCUCACUACAGGUUGGAGGGUGUGUAUCAAUUACAGGAGGUUGAAUGCAGUGAUAAGAAAGGACCAUUUCUCAUUGCCCUUUAUUGAUCAGGUGCUUGAGAGGGUCUCUGGGCUUUUUUUUUUAUUGUUUCUUGGAUGGCUACUCCGGGUACUUUCAGAUAGAAAUUGAUGUUGAAAACCAAGAUAAGACCAUUUUCACAUGCCCAUUUGGAACCUAUGCAUAAAGGAGAAUGCCUUUCGGCUUAUGCAAUGCACCCGCAACUUUCCAAAGAUGCAUGUUAAGCAUUUUCAGUGAUAUGGUGGAGCGUAUUAUGGAAGUCUUUAUGGAUGAUAUCACCAUUUAUGGAAGUGCAUUUGAUGAAUGCUUGGUCAACUUAGAAGCUGUUCUGAACCGAUACAUUGAGAAAGACUUAGUGCUUAACUGGGAGAAGUGCCAUUUCAUGGUACACCAAGGGAUUGUCCUUGGGCACAUUAUCUCCAAGCAAGGCAUUGAAGUUGACAAAGCAAAGGUUGAACUCAUUGUUAAGUUGCCAUCCUCAACAAAUGUCAAAGGAGUAAGGCAAUUCUUUGGCCAUGUCGGGUUCUAUAGGAGGUUUAUCAAGGAUUUCUCUAAGCUUGCAAGGCCUCUUUGUGAAAUAUUGGUGAAUGAUGUUAAAUUCAUAUGGGAUGAUGGAUUUGAAAGGAGUUUUGAAGAAUUGAAGCUAUUUUUGACAACCGUACCAAUAGUGAGGGCUCCCAACUGGCAACUGCCCUUUGAAGUAAUGUGUGAUGUCAAUGAUUUUGCUAUAGGAUUUUUUCUUGGGCAAAGAGAAAAUGGAAAACCUUAUGUGAUCUACUAUGCGAGGAAGGCAUUGAAUGAGGCACAAAGAAACUACACAACCACCGAGAAAGAAUUGUUAGCUGUAGUUUUUGCCUUGGAUAAGUUUCGCGCUUACUUGGUGGGGUCCUUCAUCAUGGUUUUUACUGAUCACUUUGCUUUGAAGUAUCUGUUGACUAAGCAAGAUGCUAAAGCAAGGCUGAUUAGAUGGAUUCUCUUACUUCAAGAGUUCAAUCUCCAUAUCAAAGAUAAGAAAGGAGUGGAGAAUGUGGUAGCAGACCACAUUUCAAGGCUAGCUAUCGCACAUAAUUCCCAUGCUUUGCCCAUUAAUGACGAUUUUCUAGAGGGGUCUCUCAUGUUGGUGGAAGUUGUCCCUUGGUACGCUCACAUUGCUAACUACCUGGUCACGGGAAAAGUUCCAAGUGAGUGGAAAGCACAAGAUAAGAAGCACUUCUUUGCAAAAAUUCAUGCCUACUAUUGGGAAGAGCCAUUUCUAUUCAAGUAUUGUAUGGAUCAGAUAAUAAGGAAGUGCGUUCCUGAAGAAGAGCAACAGGGGAUCCUUAGUCAUUACCAUGAAAAUGCAUGUGGAGGCCACUUUGCUUAUCAAAAGACAGCCAUGAGGGUGUUGCAAUCGGGUUUCUGUUGGCCAUCACUUUUCAAAGAUGCCCACACCAUGUGCAAGAGUUGUGAUCGAUGCCAGAGGCUUGGGAAGUUGACACGCAGGAACAUGAUGCCUUUGAACCCCACUUUAAUAGUUGAUAUUUUUUAUGUUUGGGGCACUAACUUCAUGGGACCUUUCCCUAUGUCUUUUGGCUACUCUUACAUCUUGGUAGGAGUAGAUUAUGUUUCUAAGUGGGUUGAGGCAGUCCCAUGCAAACACAAUGACCAUAGAGUGGUUCUCAAGUUUCUUAAAGAGAAUAUCUUCUCAAGAUUUGGGGUGCCCAAAGCCAUAAUUAGUGAUGGGGGUACUCAUUUUUGCAACAAGCCUUUUGAAACUCUCCUAGCCAAGUAUGGGGUGAAGCAUAAGGUAGCUACACCUUACCACCCUCAAACUCAUGGACAAGUUGAGUUAGCAAACAGGGAGAUUAAAAACAUAUUGAUGAAGGUGGUGAACACAAACAGAAAAGAUUGGUCAGUCAAGCUUCUUAAUUCACUAUGGGCAUAUAGAACAACUUACAAGACCAUUCUCGGGAUGUCUCCUUAUCGCCUAGUUUAUGGCAAAGCAUGCCAUCUCCCUGUGGAAUUGGAAUACAAAGCUUGGUGGGCAAUCAAGAAGCUCAACAUGGAUUUGAGCAGAGCUGGGUUGAAGAGGUUCUUAGACCUUAAUGAGAUGGAGAAAUUGAGAAAUGAUGCCUACAUCAAUUCAAAAAUUGCAAAAGAAAAAUUGAAGAGGUGGCAUGAUCAGUUGAUUUCCCGCAAGGAUUUUCAAAAUGGACAAAGAGUCUUACUUUAUGACUCUAAACUCCACAUCUUUCCGGGCAAGCUGAAAUCAAGGUGGAUAGGUCAUUUUACCAUUCACCAAGUGCAUUCAAAUGGAGUAGUGGAACUACUCAACUCCAACAAUAUCGAGAACUUCAAAGUGAAUGGCCACCGUCUCAAGCCCUUUGUGGAGUCUUUUUCUCACAACAAGGAGAAAUUCAUCCUCCUUGAUCCACAUCAAGCUUAACAAGACCAAUUUUCUUGAUGGACUUAGUCUUUCUAAAGACUAUCGAGUCCAUAACUUUUUGUUUUAUUUUUUAUUUGAGAUUUUUUCGGUAUUGUUACUUGUUUUGUUUUUUAUUUUUCGUUUUAAUUUUAUUUGGUUUGAUUUAACUUAGGUUUUUGAUGAUCAAUUACAGGGGGGAUUUCAAAUAGAGGAAAAACCAAGAUAAUUCGCACACCCUACGAAAAUUUCGCAAGGCAUGCGAAAUUUAUGGCUUAUUUUGCAUGGGGUGAAAAUUUUCGUACAUCUUACGAACCAAUUUCGAACACUUUGCGAAAAUAAACCAACCCUGCGAAAUCAUUUCGAUUACUCUACGAAAUUUUCGUAGAGCAUGCGAAAAAUUUAGCACACCAAACACCAUUUCGCAUACUAUGCAAAAACCUAAGGGGUCUGCGAAACCAUUUCGCACCUCCAAAUCCAUUUCGCACAUUGUGCGAAAACCAAGAGGCGCUGUGCGAAAAUGAAAAGUCGCCCUGUCAUCCCUUUUUAAACCCCUCGAGCCCUAAAAUCUCCAUUUCGCAAGCACCCCUGUCCUUGCGAAUCCCUCAUUUUCCUCUACUACCUUGCAACCUCGUCCCUUUCCAUUUGAUAUUGUGCCCCGCGCACAUCUCAUUUCAGAGACUCGCACUCCGCGCCCCCUCAAAGCAUGGACUCGAGACCCACCUUCCAUUUCCGACGUGGCACGGACCCAAGGAGCCCUUUCUGCCCCUUCACUAAGACACACACCAAGGCAGAAAGCCUCCUUUGCUCAAGUGCCUAGUGAUUCUCCAUCUUAGGCCUCAGAGGCCUCGGAGGCCCCGUGGAUUCCACCUUCCGAGGGUAGAGCAGCCAUUGGUCCUUCCUCUUCUACUCCUUAGCGUAGAUACGAGACGAGGAGACCACCUACUACACAAGGGGCGACUACUUCGAGCCUUGAGAAUUCAGUACGAUGCCUUCCUGCCAAGAGGGUCAAGACUUCAGGUCCAAGUGAGUCAUCCAGAGCUUCAUAGCCUAAGCCUCCUGUAGAUUCCAAGGUUCCUACUGACAUAUCACCGGAGUCUAUUAUCAGAAGCCCGAUGCUCAUAGCACCGCCCAUUGAGGGCAACUCAGAUUAUAGAGCGAGAUCUUUCCACUUGGAGCUAUAUUUUGAUCAGGAGGCCAUACGACAGCAGCCUGAGCUCCGAGACUCUUAUGGCUUACUGCAGAGGUACCAUCUUGAGGAACUUAUGACUCCUCGUGAGUUUUUUUAUCCCAGAGUAGCACUAAACUUUUACCAGUCCAUGACUACUCGUGGCGUCCCGAGUCCUACCACGAUUCACUUCACCAUUGAUAGACGUCAUGGUAUCCUCAAGGCCAGACAUAUUACAGAGGCUCUACAAAUUCCUUUCGAGCUAGAGGAUCCAUCUGUUUUUCGCUAAUGGUCCCCAGUAUCUCAGAGGGACAUGGUCCGUAUUUUAUCUAGGGGAACAUCUACAGAUUCGAUCUUUCUACGGAAGGAGCUUCGACCUGGGAUGCUCCUCUUAGAUGUGGUGCUAUGCUCCAACCUCUUUCCCUUACAACAUUCGGUACAUAGGUGAUGAGCUAUUUUGGACGCUUUAUUCCGUAUAUCAGAGGGCUUCUACUUUGGCCCGCACCACUUGAUCAUGGUCUCCCUCAUCCACUUUGAGGAGAAGGUUCAUAGGAAGAAGCUUCAGAGGGUGGACACCAUUCCAUUACUAUUCCUGAGGUUACUUUGCCAGGUCUUGGAGUACAUGGGCUUUCCUACUGAGCCUCGGCUCGAGCUUUGCCGCCUUUGUCGAGAGUGAUCCACUCUCGACAAAUGGAAUUAGUUGGCGGGCUAUUCUGCACCUCCAGGAGCCCCUCCCAUGGUAGCACCUCCAAUGUCCCCACAGGCAAAGUAGGGCGAGCUCCCGGCAAAGACUGUACCACCAAUGCCCACACUUGAGGCUAUUUCUGCUGCUCUGCCUAUGACUCCUACUGUUCCACCAGUUGGUCCUUUUACAUCCGAGCCUUCCAUCACCAUCUCGGCUUCGGAGUUUCGCGCCCUUGUGCAUACCUUUCAGACACUCACCACCACACAUACUCCUCUCUUCUAGCAAAUGGUUGAGAUGUGUGCCCAUCAGGACCGGAAGACUACUAUACUCUGCCAAAUUCAGCAGCACCUAAGACUUUUGCCUCAACCUCAACCUAACCAUCCCAUAUCAUCAGAGCCUCUAGCUCCAACUGAGGAUACUAUUCCACCUGAGAACACUACCACAGUAGAGGUCCGGUUUCCACCACCUUAAGAGGCCACCACAGCUACAUCAGAGGAUGUGUCAUCUCCACUUGAGGCUCCCACUACUUGAUCAUAGGACAUAUCUUUAUCUUAUUGUAUUUACAUAUUAUAUUACUAGAGAUUUGUCCUUGUUUUGAUACUUUAUAUUCUGGGAUUGGAUGUAUUGCCUGAUGAUAUCUCAAUUGUACUUUCUCAUAUUAAUAUAUAGACAUCAAUUUUUUUUAGUAUACUUAGCAUUUUUCUAUUUCCUCUACUCAUUACUCUUUUGUUUUUUUUUACUCAUGUGGUUUCUCUUAUACAACUCAGACUCCAUUUCACUCAGGAGGUACCACUUCCUCCCUUUAUUUUCAAUUGCUCUUGAAAUAUUGAGUGCAAUGUUGAUCUUGGUUGGGGGGAGAGUUGAGGAAGGAAGUUUUGUUAAUAAUGCUAGGUUAAUUUGUUAAUUUAGUUACUUUCUGCUUAAUUUUAAAAGUUUUCACUCUACUUUCCAUGGUUAUUAAGGAAAAAUUCUCAAAAUGAAAUGGGAGAAAUCGAAUUCUUGCAUUUUUACUUGAAUCUUAGAAUUUGUAUCAUGCUUAUUAAAGUUGAUGAAUUAUUGAAACUCCUAUUGAAUUCAACCUUAUUUUUUCCACUUUAAUCUUACCACACACGGUGCACAUUAGGUUCCAGUUAUAAGAUAAAAAACUAUCUCACCCCCUAAACUUAGAAAAAUUUACACUUGGUACCUUUGACAUCGUUUUAAUAGUGUUGGGACACCUUAUAAAAGGCCAAUGAGCCUUUAAAAAAAAAAAAAAAAAAAAAAAGAGAAAGAACAAAGUAUUGCACUUGCCUUGAAACCUGAGCAAGAUCCGAGGGGUAUACAGUGAAAGUCUUUAAAACCUGGUGCCCUAAGCCUUGAUUGGUUGGGAGUCACCGACCUCAAUGCUCGUUAUAAGGGUGAAUAGGUGGAGUUUAACAUAUUGUAGGUGCUUGGGUAUUGAAUUUCAAUCUCAAAAGUCCGGGAAAAAAUCUAAGGAGUUAGUGGUCAAAAGAUCCUUAAAGCUUGAUGCCCUAAACCUUGAUUGGUUGAGAGUCAUUGAUGGAUCCCCGCUACAUGGACAUUUUAGAAAACAAUACCUUUAGCAUUGCACGCCUACAAUGAAAAAAAAAUGUGAAAUAAAAGAGGUGCGUUCUUAGCCUAUUGGAGGUUGGUCAGUUUGCUAAAGUUUGAGAAAUCUAGGUUGGGGGGAGAGAAUAGUCCGACAUACUAUAAUAAAAAACUAAUAACCUUAACACUUAGAUUUUUGUGGAAGAGUAAGGAUUGGACCUUUAGGGGUGGAAAUUCUUUUGAUGCUUAAAUUUGCAUAAUGCCUACUCUUUAUAAAUUAUGAUUAGGCAAGAGAUUUGAUGACUCUUGUUCAAAGUUGGGUUUUUCCUCUUUGAUGUUCCAUGAGAGAGUAUAAUCCUCAUCAUGCCACUUGAAAUCUUUUUGGAGUGAUUAACAUGAUUUUGUAAAUUAUUUUACUGUCUAUUUUUCUUUAUCUCUCUUUUAUUGCUAAUGGACUAGCAAUAUGUCAGUUGGGGGGAGUGAUUACUACUCAAAAAGUACUCUUUUAUAGCUUGAAACUAACUGUUUUAAACACUUUUGAGUAGGUGUUAAUACAUUUUAACUCAAUUGGCACAUUAAGGAACCUAACAAGGGUUACUAAUAAGUUUUUGGCAAGUUUUGGUGUUUUUGGUAGCUAUUUGAUCAUUGAAACAAGCCAAGAAUGAGGGAGAAUUUUGUGAAGUCCAUAGCAAUGCAAGUUAAAGCUCAAAUACAUGAAGAAUCCAAGCUUUGAAGCACUUCAUAGCCCUUUGCGAAGCCAAUCAGAGAUGCAAGGAAGAAAACCAGAGGAAAAAAUCCAACAACCAGCAUUUUCGCAUGGCUGUGCGAAAUUUUGCACACCAUGCGAAACCACAAGAAGUAGCCAAAGAAUUUUGCACACCAUGCGAAAUUUCGCAUGGUAUACGAAAUCUUCCUAUGCACCAACUCCGUUAUAUUUUUAUCUUCAGAUAUUUUGUGUAAUUUCCUAGUUUCUCCUUGUAACCAACCUAGAUAUUUUCUUUUAUAUCUUUUUUUUAUAUUUUUUAGGUAACAUCAUAUAUAGGGGGAGAGACAUAAGGAGGAUAUGGAUGUUUUUCAUAAAACACUUUUAAUUUUCUGGUAGUAAGAAAUAUACAAAGUUUUUUGCUCUGCCUUACCUUCUCAUUUUGUUUUCACCUAUCUUUCUAGCCAAACAACCUCUGAGAAUGAUUUCUCAGGGGAUGAGUAGUUAGGUUUUACGUUUCUUGGAGUGAGAGAAGCUAGGUGAAAGACCCAAAUGCUAAGGUGGGAGUUGUCCUUGCUUUAAAUGAAAGUAGUUGUUAAAUAUUAAUGGUUUUUAUUUUAAGGUUUAGCUUUAAAUCCCUUAAAAACACCUUGAAUGGCCAAUACUUGGUAAGCUUUUCGGAUUCUAUGGAUGCUUAUUGCUAGAUCCAUGGAUGUCAUUAGUUAUCAUUUAUGAGCCAUUGGAAGGUGGUUCAAGAUGAGAGUCUUUAGUGUUUGAAGCCAUUAAUGGGAAACAAUUACCAUUUUUUCAUGAAUCCUUUGGAUAAAAUCUUAAUUGCUAAAUAUAAAACUGGUUCGGGAGAUAACCAUCCUUUAUGUUAUUAUGCCCAAUGCAAGGAGAAGAUUUCGAAUCUUCUCAUUUGUCUAAGGAACCCGAUCCUAGUGACCUAAAGCUCCUAGAGACCUUUUCUUUGUAGUUAACUUCAUUUAUUGUUUUUGCUUAACUUAAAAUCAAUCUUUGCAACCACAAUUCCAUUUUCUUUAAAAGCUAAUUUUUAUAAGGAAAAGCACCAUUUUAUUUCCUUCACUAAGUCAACUGUAUGAUGAAAACCCAUCCCUGUGGACGAUCUUAGAGCCACUAUACUAUGUUAUCUAUGCUAUCCUAGUGUGAGGUGAUUUAGGUUUUAUAAAUUUUGUUGAUAACACCCGUCUGAGCCAGAAUCAAAUGGAACCACUGAACCAGGGACAAAUCAACAGCCUAUAUGGGAGGGACACAAGUUUAAUUGAUUUGCAUUUCAGCGUUAUAGAUAAGUAUGUUUUGGAAGAUUUGUUCUGGAAAUACUGCACCAAGUACGAUUCUUUUUCUCUUGAGUGAGUCCAUUUGCAUGCCAAUUAACGAGUUGAAAAGUAGGAGCACCUACCUCGUGCUCAUGGAACCGAAUGUCAGUGAAGUGGGGCUCCUUUUAGCCUCUUGUGUUUCUGUUCCAACCAAGGCGGCGUAGGGAAAAACAACAAUAUGUCUGUGCUAAAUAUCAACGCAUGAUAGAUGUUUUUUUUUUUUUUUUUGGUAUGUCAAGGCUAACGAAUGAAAUGCAUUAGCUUGUUUUGUGACUAUAACUGCAAAUGUCCAAAUUGGAGUAUCUCCAUUUCUCACUUCGGAUGGUUAACUUUAUAAACAAGAUAUAGGAAACAUGUGAACAUCUUGAGGAACAAUUCAAAUUAUUCAUUAGAAGUCCUGGGUUAAGUUCCAAGAUUUAAAUCAGACCCUUCUAGCAGCUUCAAGGGUACUUAGCAACCUAUAACAUAUUAAUGAAGAUUUAGGAUUUAGACUCCGGAAUACAAAUAAAUAUGUAUCUCAUGCUUUGACUAGCUUCCCUACAUAUGCAUAAAAUGGAGAUGACCCAAAAAAAAUAGCAGAAUCUAGCUUCCCUACAUAUGCACAAAAUGGAGAUGACCCAAAAAAUAGCAUAAUCGCCUUAGUUUCUGUGGUUAAGGUGAUUCUCCGCUUAAUAUCCACAUUGACUCAUUAUGCAAAAUCAACUGAGCUAAUUUUAUUUAUUUAUUUAAUGUCAAAUAGGAACUCCUAAUUAACUGAUUACUGUCGAAAAGUGCUAUUUUGUAGACCUAAUUAUAAGGGUUUUAAGCACCUUUGAGUAGUAAUCAUAUUCAUUUAACCUAAUUAAUUCAUUAAGCUCCUUAGUAAUUAGUUCUAACCAUUUUUAGUGGCAAGUUUACAUGUUUUUCAUCAGCUUAUGAACCAAUUCAAGCAUGCCAAUUGAUGGAGGAGCUACUUGGGCGAGUUAAGCAAGGAUUUUGGACGUUUACAGGCUUGAAUUUCAAGUGGAAACACGAGCACAAGCAAUGGGAACACCAUUUCGCAAGGGGAGGCAAUUCACCUUGCCAAAUGACCAAUUUCGCAAGGGGAUUUUCCUCAUGGUGCAAAAUUUGGUCAUUUCGCACCAUGAAGAAACCACCUUGCAAAAUUUCGCAAGGUGGAUUUAGGCACCUUGCGAAAUGCCAAAUUUCACAAGGUGGCUUUUCACCUUGCGAAAUUUGGACCUUUCAUCUUCCCCCCUUGCGAAAUGCCUUUGAAAUCCCCUGUUUUGAGACGCUGUUGAUGAUAUUCCACUGCCGGUUCUCCAAGAUAUUUUGCUUGACUUUUAGCUUUAUAAAUACCUAUUUUACCCUUGUAAUCAACCAAUGAAAAGGUUGCUUUUGUAAUAGCUCUUGUAAUUUAGCUUUUUAUUGUCUUUAAAUAGAGGUGAAGAGCCUCAGACACGAUCAUCUUGUAACCUGUAACUUUAUAAGUUAUAAGAGCACUUUUGUUCAUACGCUUCUUUUCUCUUUUCUUUCUCAUUUUCUUAGUAGCCAAACAUCCUUGGAGGAUGAAAUCCCCAAGGAUGAGAGGCUAAAACCUUUUAGUUUCUUGAAGUAAUGGAUGCCAUGUGAAGCUCCCGUGUCAGGAUGGAGAUUUCCAAGCCAUAAAUGUAAGUAGCUGAGCGUCAUAAAUGUUUUCAUUCAAAGUAAAGCUUUUAAUCCCUCUGACUUGCUUUGAAUGGCCAAUACUUGAUAACCUUUUGGUCUCAAUGGAUUCUUAUUGUUAGAUCCACUGACGUUCAUUAGUUAUCUCCUACGAGCCAUUGUAUUGCAAGUCGAGGAGAUGACCUAUACCAAUAAAAGAGCAUUUAUGAGGUUCAACUACCCUUUUUGUAAGUUUUCAAGGACUAAAACUCAGUUGUUAAACUCAUACCGGUUCGAGAAGUAAGCAUCACCUUAGUUGCUUCCCCAACUCGAGGUGAAAAGUCCCAAAAUCUCCAUUUUUACACAGUGAGUUAAGCAUGGCUAUCCAAAGCUUUAAGAAACUUCUUUUUCCAUCUUUUAACCUAUUUUCAUGUUAGUUUAGUUUACAACACCUUCAUCUUUUUAUGUUUUCAUCUUAACCUAAUUUUUAUUAAGAAAAGUUCACUCCAUCCUCCGAACUUCACCAGUUAAAGUAAAAACCCUUCCCAGUGUUCGAUCCUAGAGCCACUAUGCUAUAGUAGCUUUGCUACUUUAGUGUAAGGACCUUAGGUAUAAAUUUUGUUGAUACCCUUACAUGCCAAGCUACCAAGAGUCGGGUUAUCAUUAACCUAACCAUUGGCCUGUGUAAAUUGAUUUCACAUGCACAAUGUUGUAGUAGAAGUCCAUAUUUUGAAUUUUAUUUUUGUAAAGGUAAGGAAAAUGAAGCAUUGUGUAAUUAUAAAAAUAACUUCAUUGGAAUUCACAAGGUUCACCCAAAAUGGAGCUACAUCUGUAUUCUAUCCUACAGUAGACUAUAUAGAUUGUACAAUAGUAAAUUGCAAAUACAAUUAAUAAGUCUUGUGCUUCCUUACUAAUAAUCCUUUGACAUGAACAUUGCAGCACUAAGGUCCUCUUGGGAAGACACCUUGCACCCAUGAGAGCACUAAGAGGAAGCAAGGCAGAGUCAUGGGUGCAAUGUCAUGACUUGUUGUUGCACCAAGAGAGGCUUGGUGAUGCCAUGGUGUUGCAGUAGCAAGAAUGUUGCCUUGGCAGGGACACGAUCUAGGGAUAGAUGCCAAGAAAGGCUUAGCACUCACAUGAGUUGCACAAAGAUGAAUGUAAUAGAGCAUCAGAGAGACGUCUUGGCAAGUAAAUGAAUGGAUCCAAGAGACAACAACAUGAGGAGUUUCAAAUGGAUAAGGAAUGACUCAAAGACAUUUGAAAGCUACAAGUUGGAUUCUAAUUACGAUUGCAAUUUGAGUUUGAGUAGGAGUUUAGAUUUUGAUUGUAAUUGUAGUAUGAGUUGGACUAGGAUUGCUUAUCCUUAGUCAAUAUAGGAGCGGUUCGUGUCACCCUAUGAAAAGAGUUUGAGUAGGGACUAGGAUUGCUUACUCCUAGUCAAAUAUGGAGUAGGUGGUGCCACACCUAUAAAAAAAAGGGACAACAUGAGAGAGAGAGAGAGAGAGAAAGAGAGAGUGAAUUCACUAAAGAUAUUGUGGGAGUUUUGCUUUGUUACGUCUUGUAUUAUUACUUAGAAUAGGAAUAAAAUACAAGUUGGGGCUAGAGCCCCAUAAUUAAUCUCGUGUGCCUUUGUGGUUAUUCUUUAUUUGUCAUCUCGUGUGGAUUGGAUUAGGUUGACUUAGAGGGCUUCUAAGCACCACCUUUGUGGGUUAUUAUUUAUUUUCCAUCUCUUGUGGAUUAGAUUAGGUUGACUUAGAGGGCUUCUGAGCACCACCUUUGUGGGUUAUUAUUUAUUUUCCAUCUAUUGUGGAUUAGAUUAGGUUGACUUAGAGGGCUUUUAAGCACCACAUUUGUGGGUUAUUCUUUAUUUUCCAUAUCGUGUGGGUUGGAUUAGGUUGACAAGGAGAAAAAUUAUGUGGGAAAUUUGUGUUGGGACACUUACCAUAACCAAGUAAAAUCUACCAAGUCCUUUGUAAUAUCUUCAACAAAUAUUUUAGACUAGUUCUUUCAGUUAGUGUAAAGGAGGAAGAAGUGGUAUUGAUUCUAGAAAUAGGGUGUGUGUAUUUGAACUACAAUCCUUAUGAUCCUUAGGUCUCUAAACCUUCGUGAUGGGCUCCCUGACAUUUCAUAGGUUGUGCUACACAUGCGUUUGAAAUUUAGAGUGCGUUUGACAGUGAUUCCGGGAAGUGUUUUUGGCCUUUCUUACACUUGAAAAUUUUUAUUUUUCAAGUAUUAGAAAUGCUACAAACACUUUUGAAAAUUACUGUCAAACACACUCUUAGGAGCGCACAUAUAUAGUAGAAAACUAGAAAUUGUGGUUUUUUUAGGAUUUACUGUAAUGUCAUUAGGAGGGUAGUAAGUUGAAAUUGAGUAUGAACAAAUAUUUCUUUCUUUGGGAUGUUCUUCUAGUAGGUGCUGAUGAAACUGUUCUUUCUACUGCCAAUGUCACAUAUCAGCCAGAAAUUGAAAAUUUCAGUCAAGGUGUCCUCUGUUUUAGUGGUGAGGAAAGCUAGAAAUUUUAAGGUGAAGUUUUGUUAAAAACCUUAAGUAGCUGGGAUAUCAGGCCUGUUUUGCUUGAAAAAAAAAGUUGCAAGAUAACUCAUAUGCCAAACAGGUUCUGAUAUUGUGAAUCUAUCGGCAGACAUCAGUAAUCUCAUCUUCUGAGAUGGAUGUUGGGGGUGCAUGUGGUGGUGGAGGGGCAAGGUUUCAUUUGGUUUAUUUUGUUGAUGGAUAUUGUCUAGCCACCUGCGCCAAGUUUGAGGGGUGGUGGGUUGUGAUGACCCUACAAUUACUAUUAAUUUCUUCAUCUUUUACCGAUUAAAGUGUCCGAACAGUCGAAGUUACCCUUAUGCAUGUCAACUUGAUCACUUACCUCUUCAAUGGAGUUUAUGCUGGUUCAUUUAGGAACUGAUUUUUAUUGUUAUGUAUUAUAUGCUGAUGUUUAGGUCUCUCCAUCAUCACUAUAUACAAAAAUUCUAGGUUGAUACUAUAGGUUGAGAUUUAUUUUUUAAAUAAAAAAUAAUAAAAAUAAAAAUUAUGGUGAUGUUUAGUUGUUUUAUGGAAAAUUUUAACAAGUAAAAGUUAUUUUUGGGCAAGUUUUCAAACAAAAAGAAAAGUAAAAGUUGUUUUGACAAAAACAUAUAGAAAAAAAAAUCAUAGAAAAUAAAUAAUUUCCCCAUAUUCUAACUUUUUUGAAUUUUUCUCAAUGGGCAAAGGAAUAUCAAAUCAAGUUUGAGUAGGAUUUCUUAAUUUUUAAAAUAACUUACAAUUAAAAAAUUUUGGUGUUUUCAUUUUUGGACAAUUUUUUAUUAAGCAAAUGGACUCUGAGUCAUGCAAGAGAUAUGGUUCAUUAACCGGUCGAACAAUUUUUUUAAAUUAAUUUAAAAGUCAAAUACAUAAUCAAUUUCACAAAAUUUAUAAACAAAAAUAGGUUUAGAGAAGAUCUACACAUAAUUUUACUUUUCUAAUUUUAUUUUAUUUUAUUUUUUGUUGGAAAAUAGUCUUCAAAUCAUGUAAGAUUUAAUAGGUUAAAUUUGUUAACAAUAAAUUUUAAAUUAUAAAAUAUAAUCUGGAACUCAAAAAUCAAUUCAAGUAAUGCUAAAAAAAAAUCAAAUUUGGUAUAGAAUGACUUUGUAAAUUUUUUUACAAAACAAAUGAAUUUUAAAUCAAGUGAGAUUUAAUGCAUUAGAUUUUUAUCAAAUAUAGUAAUUUUAAAAAUAAAUUUGGAACUCAACAAUAGACACAAUAAAUACCAAAAAAUAAUGAACCAAAAUUGGUUUGGAAUAACUCCACAACCUUUUUUUUUUUUUUUUGGUGCACACGAAUUUUCUUACUAGGUAUAUUGCUUUCAAAUUGAGAAAGAUUUACCAUUUAGAUUUUUUUUUAAUGAGUUUAAUGGUAUUUUAAAAUAAUUCAAAAUUUAAAAAAUUGACUAAUUAAUAUUAUAAAUUGAUAAACCAAGACUAUUUCAAAAUGCAUUGGGGGCUAAGGGGGUUGAAAAUAGGGACAAUGGGAUGGGUUUGGGACAUGACACUCAUAUCUCAUUUCCAUUCCAAUUACACAGUUAUCUCCCAUCCUUAUCCCAAACUUGUGUUGGAGCAAGUUGAUUUGUUCCCAUCUUUGUUGACGAAAUGACUAAUAACCUCAUCCCCUCCUUAUCUUAGAUGUACAUUUUGUCAAAUUUGAUCAGGUAUGAUUGAUCCAAGCCCUAACCCUAAUUGGUAAUGAGUGAAUACUACACCUAAUUGCAUUCUUCUUUCAUUGCAAAAUAAUGAGAUUAUAAUAAUCUAGCAAAUAAGAAAAAAUAGUAUGGAAGUUCAAAUUAACACCAUAACUAUCAAUAAUUUUAAGCUUAUAGAUGACUUAAAUGAUUAAAAACUAAUGCAAAAUCCUAAAAAAAAUAAAAAUCAUAUAAAGAAUUCACAAGAGAACAGAAUGAACAAAAACCAAAUAUGAACAUGGGUCAACAUUAGUUAUGGAUUUGGAUUCCUUUCAAGGCCAAUCUUUGAACCAAGACUUCAUCAAAUCAACUACUUCAAAGGCUUUUGUGUUCUUCUUGGGUUGUGCUCUCAAACAAAGACUUCGAGGUGAUGUUCUAGAUGAUUGAAUUACACAUAUUUAGGGUGGAGAGAUUGGAGAAGCUUGAAGAUGCCAACGAUGGGUACAAUUGAGUGGUCAAUAAGAACAAUGUAGCCUAUGACUAGUUUGAUGUCAUGGUACAAGAGUUUUAGGCAUUGAGGUUAAAGCAAGAGCAACAUGGAAUUGAUUUCGGAGUCUUUCAGUUAGUGUAAAGGAGGAAGAAGUGGUGUUGAUUCUAGAAAUAGGGUUUUAAGUGGUGCGUGAUUACUACUCAAAAAGUGCUAUUUGAUAGCCUUUAAUUAAUCCUUUUUAACACUUUUGAGUAGUAGUUUAGGCCUUUUAACUCAAUUGGCAUGUUAAGGAUCCUUUAAAGCAAUUUUGAUCACUUUGUGCAAGUUUUGGUGUUUUUGUUAGUAUUUUGAUCACCAAAGCAAGUCAAGAAUGAGGAGAACUAUGAGGAAUCAUGGGCAAAGCUUAGAAUUCAAUUGCCAAGAGUGAAUCCGGAUUGCAAGGAGAAAAAGCAAAGAGAAUCUGUCAUGAAGCCUAUUCUUGAUGACAGUCGUAGCAGCCACUUUUGGAGCACUUUCUGAAGUCCAAAUGAUGCAAGCUAUAUACCAUUUCAAAGAUCAGGAAGUCAACAAUCCAAUGCUUCAAACGGUGCGCGAUUCGGAGUUGAAACGAAGAAGUUGCAGCCAUUACAAGCCAGUCACUCUAAAGUGUUGCGGAAUCAGCCUUUUGUUGCGAGAAUUUCGCAGCACUUUUGUACAGUAAGGUGUUUCUCCUUCUGACGAUGCACGAACCAUGCCGCGAGAGGGAAGCUAGGAACUUCAAGAUGGAAGCCAACUUUGCAGCCUGGUGAAGAUAGCUUGGUCUUGCGAAAUAAUUUCGCAGCCCUCUUGGGUGUCUGCGAAAUUUCGCAGGCACCACUUUUUUCCUGCGAAAUGGCUCCGGAAGCCUCCCGAAGCUUGCUACCGACAUUGGGAGAUAUUUUCCAUUAGAUUUUUGUUGUCUAAAUUCCAAAAUACUCCUUGUAAACCACCAAUUACAUGAUUCCUUAGUUUUUAAGUUAGUAAAAAGACCAAAUAUCUAUGUAAUAAUUAGUUUUAUAUUAGUUUGCUAUAAAUACCUCUCGGGAGCAUGUUCUCAGAGAGGAGUUCCUUCUGUAACCAUUUUGGUAAGCAAGUAAAGUCUUUUCUUUCUACUGCCUUACCUUCUCACUUUGUAUUUUCAUUUUAUUUCUAAGUUAUGAAUUCUCUGAGGAGCUUUCCCCAGAGAAUGAGUAACUAAACCUCCAAUUCCUUGGAGCUAAGGUUGCCGGGGAAGGUUCCAAGUGCAAGAAUGCAAAGCUCUGUGGUUUUAGCUAGUAAUGAAGAGGAAGUGAAAUCCUUUAGUGAUUUCAAUGUUUUUAGUUAACUUAAAACACCUUGGAGUCACCUGGGCCAACACUUGGUAAGGCAAGUGAUUUCCAACCGUGGAAAUGCACUAGUUUACCCCUUGCGAGCCUCUGGUAGGUGACUUCAAGGUAGGAUUUUCUGGAAUUACCAACACUUGGUAAGCUUUUGGACUCCUAGGAGACAUCCAUUAGUUAUCUCUUGCGAGUUUGUGAAGGGGAAUCCAAGGUUAAAGAUCACCUUGAAUGGUAAGUGCUCGUGAGAGGCAUGAACCAUUGCAAGUUGUAUCAGUGAGAGAAUUAAAGUGAAAUCUAAUUGAAGGAGUCUCUGUACAUCACCGGUUAGAGAAUUGACUAUAAGUUGAAUCUCUAAUGCGAGGAAAUGAACCAUCUGACCGGAGCUAUGUCUUUUGCAUGAGGAACCACCCCAGUGAACCUAAAUCUCCAAGGAAUGCUUUUCUUCCUAAAUUAUUCCAAACUUCUGUUAAGUUAGUUAGUUUAAGUCUAAACCUUUACCAAUCAAACUUUGUGUUUUAUUUCUUAAGCUAACCGUGAAAUGAAACAAAACCAAUUCACUUGGAAUUGGUAUCCUUGAUUGCUUGCAAAUCAUUCCCAGUGAACGAUCCUUAGAGCCACUAUACUAUAGUAGCUUUGUAUUUGCUACCCUAGUGUAUGGUGUUAUAGGUAUAAAUUUUGUUGAUCACUUCCUCAAUCAAGGAACACCAGCUGAACACAAAUCAGCUGAGACACCAAUUGGGCAUGAGUCAAAUGGCGCCGUUGCCGGGGAAUGAGUGUCAAGAUCAUUGUGAUACCAUUUUUGAGCACUUGUGAUUUUCAUCACAAGUUGGUAAAGUUUCUUUCACUUUACUAAUUUUCAUUCUCUCUUUGUUUAUUUACAAUCUAAGUUUAUCUUUUUAAAAUUUAGUCUAGUUUAAUUUUGCUAUUGUAGCCUUGUUUCUCUUGUUGUCCUCUGUUCUUGUUGUCCUCUGUUUUCAUUUUAGUUGCAGCUGAAUACUAGUUGUGUAUGCCAAAGUGGAUACGAGACAUUGGAGGUAGGCUUAUUAAGUGUGAUACACCUCAGAGAGGAGAAUUGGAAGUAAUCUUGAAUAUCAUGGAGGCUGCACCUGAAGAUCAGCAUAGUCACCAAGGUCGUCAAGACAAUCUCAAUGAAUUCAGAUCAAUGAGGGACCGUAUGCAUCCACCUCGUAUGAGUGCACCAUCAUGUAUAGUGCCCCCUACAGAGCAACUAGUGAUCAGACCAUAUCUUGUUCCACUUCUACCAACUUUCCAUGGGAUGGAAAGUGAGAAUCCGUAUGCACACAUCAAGGAAUUUGAAGAUGUUUGUAAUACAUUCCAAGAGGGAGGAGCUUCAAUUGAUUUGAUGAGGCUUAAGUUAUUUCCUUUUAAUUUAAAGGAUAAGGCCAAAAUUUGGCUUAAUUCUUUAAGGCCAAGGAGUAUCCGCUCUUGGACUGAUUUACAAGCUGAAUUCCUCAAGAAAUUUUUUCCUACUCAUAGAACAAAUGGCUUGAAAAGGCAAAUUUCAAACUUCUCAGCUAAAGAGAAUGAGAAAUUCUAUGAGUGUUGGGAAAGAUACAUGGAAGCUAUAAAUGCUUGUCCUCACCAUGGCUUUGAUACUUGGCUACUGGUGAGUUAUUUUUAUGAUGGUAUGUCCUCCUCAAUGAAGCAACUCCUCGAGAAAAUGUGUGGAGAAGAUUUCAUGAGCAAAAAUCCAGAGGAAGCUAUGGAUUUCUUGAGCUAUGUAGCUGAUGUUUCAAGGGGAUGGGAUGAACCAACUAAAGGAGAAGUGGGAAAGAUGAAGUCUCAGUUGAAUGCUUACAAUGCAAAGGCUGGGAUGUAUACUUUAAAAGAGGAUGAUGACAUGAAAGCAAAGUUGGCAGCUAUGACAAGAAGAUUGGAGGAGCUGGAGCUGAAAAGAAUGCAUGAAGUGCAAGCUGUUGCUGAAGCACCAGUGCAAGUGAAGUUGUGUCCCAAUUGUCAAUCGUUUGAACAUUUGGUAGAGGAAUGCCCUGCAAUUUCAGCUGAAAGGGAAAUGUAUAGAGAUCAAGCAAAUGUUGUUGGACAAUUCAGGCCCAAUAACAAUGCUCCUUAUGGAAAUACCUACAAUUCAAGUUGGAGGAAUCAUCCAAAUUUUUCAUGGAAGGCCAGAGCAACUCAAUACCAACAGCCGGAUCCACCAUCUCAACAAUCUUCAAGUAUUGAACAAAUAAUAGCUAAUCUCAGCAAGGUAGUGGGAGAUUUUGUGGGAAAGCAAGAAGCCACCAAUGCUCGAGUGGAUCAAAGAAUGGACAGAGUGGAUCAAAGAAUGGACAGAAUGGAGAGUAUGUUGAACAAAAGAAUGGAUGGAAUGCAAAAUGAUAUGAAUCAAAAAUUUGAUAACAUCCAAUAUUCAAUUUCAAGGCUUACAAAUUUGAAUACACUGCAAGAAAAGGGAAGAUUUCCUUCUCAACCUAACCAAAAUCCCAAAGGUGUCCAUGAAGUGGAAAGCCAUGAGGGAGAAUCAUCACAGGUGAAAGAUGUGAAAGCUUUGAUCACUCUAAGGAGUGGUAAGAAAAUUGAGCAGCCAACACCCAAGCCACAUGUUGAGAAAGAAGAAGAGAUGAAGAAAGGGAAGGAAAUGGAAGAUAAAGGCAGUGAGAUCAGUGAAGAAAAGAAGGACUCUGAUGCAACAAUGAAAGUAAUUCCAGAGAAGGAGCUUCUGAAGGAAGAAAUGCUGAAGAAAUCAACUUUUCCACCUUUUCCUCAAGCAUUACAGGGGAAAAAGGGGGUUAGAAAUGCAGCUGAAAUCCUAGAAGUAUUGAGGCAAGUGAAAGUUAAUAUUCCACUGCUGGAUAUGAUCAAACAAGUUCCAACGUAUGCAAAAUUCCUAAAGGACUUGUGUACUAUCAAAAGAGGGUUGACUGUAAACAAGAAAGCCUUCUUGACUGAGCAAGUAAGUGCAAUCUUACAGUGUAAGUCUCCUUUGAAGUACAAAGACCCUGGAAGUCCUACCAUUUCAGUCAUGAUUGGAGGAAAGGUAGUGGAGAAAGCCUUGCUAGACUUGGGAGCAAGUGUGAAUUUGCUUCCAUAUUCUGUCUACAAGCAACUGGGACUUGGAGAGUUGAAGCCAACAGCAAUCACUUUGUCUCUGGCAGAUAGAUCAGUGAAAAUUCCAAGAGGGGUAAUUGAGGAUGUAUUGGUUCAAGUAGAUAAUUUCUACUAUCCUGUAGAUUUUGUUGUUCUUGAUACAGAUCCUACUGUAAAGGAAGCUAAUUUAGUUCCUAUCAUCCUUGGAAGGCCAUUUCUUGCAACUUCAAAUGCAAUCAUCAACUGUAGAAAUGGGCUUAUGCAACUCACUUUUGGUAACAUGACACUGGAUCUAAAUAUUUUCUAUAUGUCUAAAAAGCAAAUCACUCCAGAAGAAGAAGAGGGUCCAGAAGAGCUAUGUAUUAUUGAUACUUUGGUGGAGGAGCACUGCAAUCAACAUAUGCAAGAUAAGUUGAAUGAAAGUUUUGUGGAUAUUGAGGAAGGUUUUUCUGAAUCUCCUAAUGGGCUUGCUACUCUACAAAGUUGGAGAAAGAUAGAAGGAAUUCUACCUUUGUUCAAUGAAGAAGAGGAGGCAGCUGUUGAAAAAGAAAUUCCAAAACUCAAUCUGAAGCCUUUACCUAUGGAGCUGAAAUAUACAUAUCUUGAAGAAAAUAAUCAAUGUCCUGUCGUAAUAUCUUCAUCUCAAACCAAGUCUCAAGUGAAGGAUGCAAGCUUCAAAUGGGAUCCGGGCAAACUGAAUCAGGAAGGGCAAAAAGUUUUGAUGUAUGACACAAGACUCCAUAUCUUUCCUGGGAAGCUCAAGUCAAGGUGGAUUGGUCCAUUUGUUAUUCACCGAGUAUAUUCCAAUGGAGUGGUGGACUUAUUGAAUUCCAAUGGCAAGGACAGCUUUAGAGUCAAUGGAUAUCGUCUUAAGCCGUUCAUGGAGUCAUUCAAAUCAGAAAAGGAGGCAAUCAACCUCCUUGAACCUCAAAAAGCCUAAGUGAAAUGGGUUUGCUGGACGUGGUUUUACCACAGUCCAAAAAUUUUUGUAAAUUUUGUAAAUUUUCAAGUUGUUUCCAUGCUUUUAAUCUUAGUUUUUGAUUUUAAAUCAUGUUUUUAGGUGUGUUUUAAUCGUUUUAUAUGAUCCCAGGCGGAAGAAAUUUCAAGGGGAUUGAAAAGAAAAAAAUCGGGUCGAAAUUGGAGCCGAAACAGAGCAAAAACAGGGGAAAAACAGAGCUCUGCGAAAUUUCGCAGGGUGAAGGAAACUUCUGCGAAAUUGGCAUUUUGCUGCCAAACCAUUCCGCAGCACUGUAGAAGCCUCUGCGAGUGUAUUUCGCAAUUGCGAAAGUGGAUUUGGCACACGAGUGCCACUUCGCAGCACAGUGACAUCAAUUUCGCAGCUGCGAAACUCACUGCGAAGUUGCUGCGAAAAUGGCAAGUUGCUGCGAAAUUGGCGUUUUGUUGCGAAACGUAAUCUGACCCCUGGGCUUCCGUUUUUCCUAUUUAUACCUGUCAAAAGUGCUGCGAAAAAGGUUUCAAAAAUUAGAGCACCAUUCUCGCAGCCCUUUCAUCUUCUUCGCCAAGCCACGCCGUCCGUUUCUCCGGUCGUCUUCUCCGUUUAGCAGCGCCGGCCAAAGAUCGAUAGCCCAAAAAUGGCACGAACGCGAGGGGCAAAGUCUUCAUCCCCUUCGAACCGCAAAAGGAGUCUGCGAAAGGAGCCAAGUUCAGGCUCUGUUCCAGAACCUGCUCCAAAGCCUUCGCCGUCGAGACCACAACCUUCUCCAGUGAAGCCGGCGCCACCAAAGCCGCCGGCAAGGCGAUAUUUAACCAGGUCAGGUGGUCAGCCAUUGAAGAAGAAAGCCAGAGUUGAGAGCUCUGAACCAAUCGAUUUGACUGAGCAAUCCCCUGAGAAAUCACCAAAUCCUUCACCGGUACAAAUUCCAGUGCCAUCACCGGUUCCCUCGCCAAUUCCCUCACCAGAAGCAACUCCAAUUCCAUCGCCGGUACCAUCUCCGGCACCCCAAGAAAAAGCUCAGGAGCCUCAAGCGCCAAUUCCAGAGCCCCAAAUUGCAGCUGAAGCACCUCUGGAAGAAGUGAUCCGAAGGCCAAUGCUGCCUCAGCCCCCAAUCGAAGGAAACCUGGAUUGCCGAACUCGGGCAUUCCAUUCUGAGCUUUGCUUCGAUUUAACAGCAUUCAGAGUGAGGCCAGAGCUUGCCCAAUCCUUCCAACUGCUGAGGAGAUAUCAUAUGGAGCAUCUGCUAGCUCCAAGGGAUUUUUUCUAUCCCCGGGUAGUCACGGAUUUCUACCAAACCAUGACAACCAAAGAAGUAAGAAAUCCAACUCUGAUUCAUUUCAUAAUUGAUGGAAGGCAUGGUAUUUUGGGAGCAAGACAUAUUGCUGAAGCCCUGCAAAUUCCUUUUGAGCCAACUCAAUUCGACAAUUUUAAAGCUUGGACAAAUCCUACUGAGUUAGAGAUGGUUAGCACACUAACCAGAGGAGCUGCAAAUCGAUCGCAUUUGUUGAGGGGGGAGCUACCUCCAGUUAUGUUUUUGAUUGAUGCCUUUUUGAGGCAUAAUAUCUAUCCCCUGCAGCAUUGGACCCAAAGAAGGGGAAUUCUCCUAGAAGCCUUGUACAAAAUGUCUGAAGGAUUCUUCUUUGGGCCUCAUCAUCUGAUCAUGGCAGCCCUUCUAUACUUUGAGGAGAAGGUUCACAAGAAGAAGCUUCAAAGAGCAGAUUGCAUUCCACUCCUCUUCCCAAGGCUGCUAUGCCAAGUUUUGGAGCAUCUCGGAUACCCCUCUGAGCCUCAGCAGGAAAGAAAGAGAAUAUGCCGUGAGCCUUUUACCCUUGAUAAAUGGAAUAAUAUGACGGCCUACAAAAUUGAUCAGCCUGGGCAGCCUCAGCCAGCAGCAAGGAGAGUCUCCCCAAGACAUAUACCUGAAGGUAUAACACUUGCUACUCCUGCCAUCCCUCGAGCUCCACCAGCUGCACCUGCUCCAUCACAGCCAUCCACAUCAGCUGAGCCGAGGAUGGCCAUCCCUAUAUCCGAAUAUCGAGAGCUGUGCCGUGCAUUGGAGACUCUUACAGCUUCUCAGAGCAAUCUUGCUCAGGAGUUGGCAGCCAUUAAAGCAUGCCAGGAGCAGAUGUUAGCCUCUCAGACUCAACAAGCUGCCAUCCUAAGGCAGCUUCAAGUCCAUUUCGAUCUGCCACAAGCUGUAGAGCCCUCUAUUCCUACUCCACCAGAGCCACACUCUCAGCCUUCAGAGUCUCAUCCUCCAGAACCCGAAGCACCAGCUGAUCCACCUACUGAGGAGGCAGAUCCUUCUGCCUAGCACCAUCACCCCCCUCAUCAGACAUUAUAUAUAUAUUUGCUGUUUAUGUUUUUAUGCAUGUUUGUUUUGUUUUAGUUGAAAAGAAAUCCCAGUAUUUUGGUACUAUAUAUGGGAUUCCUUGUGUUACUUGUCUUUAGUAUUGUAAUCACAUGAACUCAAAGUAAUACAAGUUGACUAUUUCUUGUUAAAAGUUAGCAUUAAAGUUUCCUUAUUUCCUUUUCUCACAUAUUCUAUUCUUUUUGAAACAUGUGGUUUUCCCCAAUCAAUAUUCGAAUUUGAUAUCAGCAUGGAGGUACCACUUCCUCCCUUUUAUUACAGUCACUCAAAUCACAUUGAGGACAAUGCUCAGUUCGGUUGGGGGGUAUGAGGAAGGAAGUAUUCUAAACCUUUUUGGUAUUGCAAUUAUAUUGGUUAAUUAGUUGUAGAUUUUACUUUUUACUAGUGUUACUCUAUUCUCCAUGAAUUUUGAGGAAAAAUUUUCAAAUUAAACCAAGAGAAAUUGAACUGUUGUUUUUCACUUGACUUAGAGUAUGGAUUAUGCUUACUAAAGUGGUUCAAUUGUUGAAACUUCUACUGAAAUUGAAUUGAGUUCUUCCACUUUAAGCUAUCCACACACUGUGCACAUUAGUUUCCGAUUAUAAGAUGAAAAGCUAUUUCCCUCUUGACUUAGUAUAUUUUUGGGACUUGGUAUAUUUGACCUCAUUUGAUAAAAAUUGAAACACCCUGCAAAAGGCCAAUGAGCCUUUGAAAUAAAGAAAGUUGUUUGCUUGCCUUGAAACCCGAGCAAGGUCUGAGGGGUAUAUGGUGAAAAUCUUUAAAGCCUGGUGCCCUAAGCCUUAAUUGGUUGGGAGUCACCGACCUCAAUGCUCGUUACAAGGGUGAAUAGGUAGAGUUAGCAUAUGGUAGAUGCUUGGGUAUUAGAAAUUCAUUCUUAAAAGUCCGGGGAAAAAUCCGAGGAGUUAGUGGUUGAAAGAUCCUUAAAACUUGGUGCCCUAAACCUUAAUUGGUUGGGAGUCAUCGAUGGACCCCCAUUACAUGGACAAGUCAGAAAGAGUACCCCAUAAAGCUACCUUAAAAAAAAAAAAAAAAAAAAAAAAAAAAAAAAAGAUGAAAGUGUGUUCUUUUCUUAUUGAUUUUGGUCAGUUUGCUAAAGUGUUGAAAAGAGAUAGGUUGGGGGGUGAGAUUAGUAGCAUAUUAUUCUCGGAACCUAAGGAACCAAUACACAUAGAUUUUUGUGGAAGAUUGAAGUUUAGUUCUUAGAAAAUGAAAUGAUUUUAAAACUUCAGUUUGCAUAAUGCACUCCCUUGAUUGACAGUGUUUAGCAUAGGUGUUAUGACUCUUGUUGAGAUUUGGGUUUGUAUUUCUUUAAUGAUUCAUGUGAGAAAUAGAUCAUCAUGCCACUUGAGAAUUAUUUUCCUUUUAGCAUGAUGUUGUAAAUUUUAGAUUAGUUUGCUAUUUAUUUUUUAUUUUCUCUCCUAUAUUGCUAAGGGACUAGCAAUAUGUCGGUUGGGGGGAGUGAUUACUACUCAAAAAGUGCUAUUUGAUAGCCUUUAAUUAAUCCUUUUUAACACUUUUGAGUAGUAGUUUAGGCCUUUUAACUCAAUUGGCAUGUUAAGGAUCCUUUAAAGCAAUUUUGAUCACUUUGUGCAAGUUUUGGUGUUUUUGUUAGUAUUUUGAUCACCAAAGCAAGUCAAGAAUGAGGAGAACUAUGAGGAAUCAUGGGCAAAGCUUAGAAUUCAAUUGCCAAGAGUGAAUCCGGAUUGCAAGGAGAAAAAGCAAAGAGAAUCUGUCAUGAAGCCUAUUCUUGAUGACAGUCGUAGCAGCCACUUUUGGAGCACUUUCUGAAGUCCAAAUGAUGCAAGCUAUAUACCAUUUCAAAGCUCAGGAAGUCAACAAUCCAAUGCUUCAAACGGUGCGCGAUUCGGAGUUGAAACGAAGAAGUUGCAGCCAUUACAAGCCAGUCACUCUAAAGUGUUGCGGAAUCAGCCUUUUGUUGCGAGAAUUUCGCAGCACUUUUGUACAGUAAGGUGUUUCUCCUUCUGACGAUGCACGAACCAUGCCGCGAGAGGGAAGCUAGGAACUUCAAGAUGGAAGCCAACUUUGCAGCCUGGUGAAGAUAGCUUGGUCUUGCGAAAUAAUUUCGCAGCCCUCUUGGGUGUCUGCGAAAUUUCGCAGGCACCACUUUUUUCCUGCGAAAUGGCUCCGGAAGCCUCCCGAAGCUUGCUACCGACAUUGGGAGAUAUUUUCCAUUAGAUUUUUGUUGUCUAAAUUCCAAAAUACUCCUUGUAAACCACCAAUUACAUGAUUCCUUAGUUUUUAAGUUAGUAAAAAGACCAAAUAUCUAUGUAAUAAUUAGUUUUAUAUUAGUUUGCUAUAAAUACCUCUCGGGAGCAUGUUCUCAGAGAGGAGUUCCUUCUGUAACCAUUUUGGUAAGCAAGUAAAGUCUUUUCUUUCUACUGCCUUACCUUCUCACUUUGUAUUUUCAUUUUAUUUCUAAGUUAUGAAUUCUCUGAGGAGCUUUCCCCAGAGAAUGAGUAACUAAACCUCCAAUUCCUUGGAGCUAAGGUUGCCGGGGAAGGUUCCAAGUGCAAGAAUGCAAAGCUCUGUGGUUUUAGCUAGUAAUGAAGAGGAAGUGAAAUCCUUUAGUGAUUUCAAUGUUUUUAGUUAACUUAAAACACCUUGGAGUCACCUGGGCCAACACUUGGUAAGGCAAGUGAUUUCCAACCGUGGAAAUGCACUAGUUUACCCCUUGCGAGCCUCUGGUAGGUGACUUCAAGGUAGGAUUUUCUGGAAUUACCAACACUUGGUAAGCUUUUGGACUCCUAGGAGACAUCCAUUAGUUAUCUCUUGCGAGUUUGUGAAGGGGAAUCCAAGGUUAAAGAUCACCUUGAAUGGUAAGUGCUCGUGAGAGGCAUGAACCAUUGCAAGUUGUAUCAGUGAGAGAAUUAAAGUGAAAUCUAAUUGAAGGAGUCUCUGUACAUCACCGGUUAGAGAAUUGACUAUAAGUUGAAUCUCUAAUGCGAGGAAAUGAACCAUCUGACCGGAGCUAUGUCUUUUGCAUGAGGAACCACCCCAGUGAACCUAAAUCUCCAAGGAAUGCUUUUCUUCCUAAAUUAUUCCAAACUUCUGUUAAGUUAGUUAGUUUAAGUCUAAACCUUUACCAAUCAAACUUUGUGUUUUAUUCCUUAAGCUAACCGUGAAAUGAAACAAAACCAAUUCACUUGGAAUUGGUAUCCUUGAUUGCUUGCAAAUCAUUCCCAGUGAACGAUCCUUAGAGCCACUAUACUAUAGUAGCUUUGUAUUUGCUACCCUAGUGUAUGGUGUUAUAGGUAUAAAUUUUGUUGAUCACUUCCUCAAUCAAGGAACACCAGCUGAACACAAAUCAGCUGAGACACCAAUUGGGCAUGAGUCAGUGCGUUAGAGGAUCAAGAAGAAGAAAAAGAAGGAACUGUUGGAAUUAGUAUGAGUGUGAAGAGAAAAGUAUAUAAAUAAGGGGAAGUAAAAGCAAAGUUCAAAAAGCUAUAUUUUUUUAUUGUUGGUGUAUGGUUGCAUGAUUAUCCCUAUAAAUAAUAGGAGUUUUUUGGUAUUCUACUAGUAGUUGAAGCAUAAUUUCAUAAAUUAAUAUUUAGAGCGGGGUGGGGUGAGUUGUGACAAAAUUCAUACCCGUCCCAAACCUUGGUUCAGAUUUUUAAAAUAUUCUCAAACUUAUCAUAUACCCAACUUUUAUAUUUCAUACUUGUCCUAAUAGAGGCACGUUAGGCCGGGUUACUUGAGUAACCUACAUAAUUGUCAUCCCUAGUUGAAAUACACUUUUUGGCAGUGGCCACCAACUGAGCUAGAAGCUUGAUUGAUUGACCUACAAGAUUAGUUCUCAUCAUUUUAAAAAAAGUUCUGGCUUUGGUUGUGAGUGCAAUUGAAUCUAAACUGGCAUUUGCUUAAUGCAUCUACUUCAAUCCUAAACUUCUUACUUCUUAAGCCUCAAUUGUUGUUAGGAUUUUGGAAAACCCAUUUCCUUAAAUUGUAAAUUUAAGAUAAAAUAAAAUAAAAGUGAGACAUUUCUUGAUUGAAUAUUGUUAAAGGUCCCUUGGCAUUAAGACUUGGUUGAAGCCUUGGAAGAUUAGUGGAACUCUCAACAUGUGUUUGAAUCUUGAGGAGAGUGGAUGUAAGCCAAAAUUUUGUCAAACCAUUAUACAAAUUGAGUUUGAAUCCUCAUUUCUUGAUUUCUUAUUUAUUUGCUUUUUCUUAUUAUUACUUGAAUUGUCAUUUGCAUUCAUUAAUGUUAAAAUUGGUUAUAAUUAACCAACACUAAUUCUCUUUCCCCUUCCCUUUCUUGGGUGUAAACCUAGGUUGGAUUAACUAGAUAAAUCUAUUAAGAUGGUAAAAGAAUAAUUAUUCUUAACAUACAUAAGAUCAUCUUCAAUCAAAUGACUCAUUGGCUAAUAUGUUGAAUUUGCUUAUUACUUGCAACUCAAAAUUGUGUUCUAGUUGUGUCAAGUCCCCAGUGUAUGGACAUUAAAUUUGUAGUACGUGAUGAGUAAUUAGAUGGUCCAACUCCAAGAAAGUGAUUGAAAAGUAGUUCAAGAAAGGUGCAAAAGGGAAUUGUUUUGGUAUUUUCGUUUUUAUUCUUGAAGGUGGCAGAGCUAAAAUUUGAGAAAUCAAGCAAAACAUACUGAAAUUACAUUGAAAGAAAGAAGAUGGGAGUUAAUGUCUUGCAGUACAUGAUAAGGACUUCAUGCAUGUAGUGUGACCCAUGUCUUGGACUGAUGCCAACUCACGGUUACACUUAUACCCUUGGUUCUCUCUUUACUACCUUGGCUAACCUAGAUCAGGCUAUGAGAUAGGCUCCUCACCACACCAUUACUUGCCCAUUAAUUAGAGACAUUUUCAAGCAAUGAGGUAACAUGGUGACACCAAGAGGGUCUAUUCCUCGCCCGGAACAAGUCUAGACUUGGUCUCAAAAAAAUGGAGAAAAAUGAGGUGUCGUUAUGUAGAAAUACAACAACCAUGCCUUCCUCAUUACUUAGAUUCAGAAUGUGAAGGUGAAAUUGAGAAACAGAAACUCUUGAAACCAAAAUGAAAAUUGAUACUUUUACGAAGAAUUACAACAACAUUAGAGGAAGACUACAUUCUUCCUCUUUAUUCCUACAUUUCUACACUACUUCUACUCCACUCCAUAUUUCUACAUACAUCUUUAAUCAGUCUUCCCUCCUUUAUAUAGAGCCAUCUUCACACAAAUUUCGCAAGGUAGAAAAGAGGAAUGAAACUUGGAGCAAGGUUCGACUACUGGUUGUAGCUUGUCAAGGCUGGAAGUGAACUUUUCUUGGCUUUCUGGGCAUGGGUAGUAACUUGUGGGUUCCUGUUUGGCAUAAAAAUGGCUAGAACAUGUGGCACUAUCUUGUUGGAUGAUGUGUCAAGCAUGUGGCAGCCAUCUAGUGGCGAUUAUGUCAAUUUUGGGAUGGAGAGUUGGCAUCCAAUUGCAAAGAAAUAUGACGUCUACCAACAUGCAAUGUAAACCUAUGUAGAUCAUAUGAAGAUAGAGAGGAAAAAUAUAGAAAUGGAUAUAUACCUAGAACUAGCUUUUUAUUAAAUGAAACGGAGAGACAACAAUGAAGGAAAAUAAAAUUUUUUGGCUUAUAUCAAAGAGUUCACAUUGUGUUACCCUAGGUUUUCUUAAAACUUACUUUUAUGAUAACAAAAAAGAAAAAACCAUUAUUGUUUAAUCCUUUGUUUUAAACGCAUGUAAGGUGUAAUUAAGUUAGUUCAAUGCAUUAAUUUAAGAAACUUGACCUAUCAAAAGUACAAAAUUAGAUGAAAUCCAUUUCAAUGGUUAAAAUGAUCAAAAUCAAACUUUUUCUAAGUAUUUUUUAAAAGCAUCAAUAGUGAAAGACAAUUUUAUAUUUAGUCGGAGUUUGGACAAAACUGAAAAACACACAAAAUCCAAGCGACCAUCUCUAGCUUGGAUGGUCGCUUGAUCCCACCUAGAGAUGUGCAUGAGUAAAAGGAUUUGAAAAUGGAAAUUGACUAUGUAGUCGAUCAAUUAACUUUGCAACAUCAUAUGCAAUCCUAAUUGCUAGUCAUCUAAUCAAUUAGGUAGUCAAUCAACAGGCCAAAAAUAUGUUUAUAAUGACUAUUUUGUACAAAAACCACCUGUAUAGUUAAAUAUAAUGCAUUUCAUUUAUAAAUCUUCUAAUUCUUGAAUAACGAUCCUAUCAUCCUUUGAAAGUUUUUAUUACACUUUUUUUACUUUUGUUCUAAAACUUACACAUCACCCUUAAUUGUACCAUGAGAACCUAGCUAUUUUUUAUUUUUUUUUUUGUAAUUCAUCAAAGUUAGCUUUUGUAUUCAUUGUUGUAUUAUUUUUAGUAUAACUUAGAAAGCUAGUGUUUUCAAGUGAGUAAAAUUAACUUGUAAAUAUUGUAAAGAUUCAUCGACAUGUAUCUUAAACUAAGUGUACAAGUUAAAACAUUUGCUAGUAGAUUUUCUCAAAAUUUAGAAUAGAGCUUGAGACUAUUGAAAUAGGUGGGGUUGCACCAAACCACAUCACAUCGUUGUUUGCACCUUUUUUCACUCUCUUUUACUUAGUUGCUCUAUAUUUGUUGUCUAGUAAUAUCCUAUAGGCUUGAUGGGUUAGGGAGCAUCCCUUUGUGAAAAAAUUUUAUUCAAUCCUUAGUUGUAUCACGCAUAUAUAAAAUGCCUCAUUGUUUUAAUGGUAUUCAGUCGUGGCAUCACAGAUAUGGGCAUCUAAAUUUUAAAAGUUUGAAACUUUUAUCUAAAGAAAAUAUGGUGCUUUGCCUUUUUGUAAAGCAUGUUGAUGAAAUCCAUGAGAAUUGUGUACUUGGGAAGCAACACCGAGAUGACUUUUUUUUUUUUUUUAUAAUAUUGUUUGUCCAAAUUCCCUACAAAUUAGGCCACCAGAUGUUCAUAAUUCUCCCUUCUUGAAUUUGAAAACUCGGACAAUUGGACAAUGCGACACCUAAGUCCGGUUUCUAAAUGCUAAAGUGAAAGGGUAGGUAUGGACCAUUGAAAUGUGAUCACAACUUUUCUCUGUAGCCAUGUUGUCUCUUUUUUCUUUUGCAUGAUUUUCUUACCUUAACAGAAUCAUAGACUUGUUUAGUCUCUAAAUGGGAUUAAUUUCAUCCAGCUUUAAGCUACUAUAUUAUAUCUAGGUGGAGGACUUUUAAGAGUGCAACCGACAUAGAGCACAUGGAAGUGGGUAUAUGGGACAUGAAAUUUCUUCUUAUAAAGAUUGCAUGAUUUUUAUAUUAGAGUUGUUGAGGCGCUAUGUAUUUAGCUUGUUUUGCAGUUAAAUUAAUUGGAUAAGUAGACAUUGGCGUUUCUAAAUCUACUGUGAAGUGCUUCAUGUACGUGUGAAGUAUUAGAAAUUUCUUUCUUGGCAACUUGUUUUUCUUUGCGGUCUACUGAUAGGUUUGACUAAAAUUAUAUUCCCUGUCAUGCUAAUUAAUUUUCACGUGCAUGCUCAAAAGAAAAGUAUGACCUUAGUGCACCAAAAUCACUUUGAUUAAUUUGUGAUAGGUUUUUGUGCAUCAUGACAUUAGCCUUAUUCAUUUAGAUAAUGUUUAGUUUUUAGAAAGUAUUAAGAAAAGGAAAAUAAAUAUUAAGAAAAAUAUUCUUAUAUUUGAUUGUAUUAUGAAAAAUAUCAUAAAAAAAUCAAAUAUAAUUUAAAUUAAUUAAUAAUUUAUACAUUUUCAAAUUAUUUAAUCUUUAUAUUGAAGAUAUAAUAUAAAUGAAAUGAGUUUUAAGUAUUAUAUAAAAGUGAUUUAUUGAUCUUACAUAUAUAUAUUUCUUUUUUUUUUCCUUCUAUUUUUUCUCUUUAUUUUAUUUUCCUUAUGUUUUCCUCAACAUUUUCCGGAACCAAACAUAGCCUUAGGAAAUCCACAAUUACCUUCAACUGAGUAGAUUCUGUUGUUUUAGCAAUGUUAGGCUGCUAACUUGUGUUGGUACGAACCUAUUAAGCCUAAAGAUGUAAUUAGUUAGGAUAUUCUUUUCCCUCUAGUCUUGUAGCUCCACGUGUACAGUUGGUUAGGACCUCAUUGUAUAUAAUGCUUGCCCUGUUAUUGUAGAAGACAACAAAGAUAAAUAAUAUUAACAUUUUUCCUCUCAUCUCUCUCUGUUUCCCUCUGUUUUCAUCUCCUCUCUCAUCUUGGUAUCAGAGCCUCCAUGGCUUCUUUCAAAGAAACCUCCGAAUCACCUUCUGCUAGCAUUGUUAAUGUGCAAAACCCAUUAUCUCAAUCAAACAACCUUCCUUCACCAGUAGCCACACCCUCUUUUUCUUUCUCGUCUAUGAAUCAACCUCUCACAGUGAAGCUGGAUAAUGGGAACUACCUCAUAUGGAAGAAUUAGCUUCUAAAUGUCAUCAUUGCUAACGGACUCGAUGAUUUCAUUGACGGAUCUCGACCCUGCCCUCCUCGAUUUCUCGAUCUGCAACAACAAACCCUCAAUCCAGAGUACUCAGCUUGGCAGAGAUACAAUCGACUUCUGAUGAGUUGGCUGUACGCAUCCUUGUCCAAAGAUAUAAUGGCUCAGAUUGUUGGGUAUUCAACAGCUAUGGAGAUUUGGAAUGCCCUUAAUCAGAUUUACUCUGCCUCUUCUAUGGCGCGGUUUACUGAGCUUCGCACCAAGCUUCAAACGCUCAAGAAAGAUGGACUCUCAGUUGGUGAAUAUAUUCAAAGGCUCAAAUCCAUUUGCAAUAGUCUUGCAGCAAUAGGAGAACCAGUUUCUGAGAAAGACCAUCUUAUCUAUUUGUUCAAUGGAUUAGAUUGUGAGUAUUAUUCUUUUGUUACCUCCAUUCAAAAUCGAUCUGACCAACCAACUAUUGACAAAAUCCAUAGCCUAUUGCUUAGCUAUGACUUCCGGCUUGAACAACAAAACUCUGUUUCUCUCCAUUCUGCCCAAGUCCAUAUGGCUCAUCUGAACAAGAAACCUUAUAAAUCAACUCCUCAACCUACAUUCAAUCAUAUUCACAUUCAACCUAGAUACUCUUCUCCACCUUUUAAGCCAACCACUAGUCAAUAUCAACCCAACAUUUUGGGCAAACCACAACCACAACCAUGACAGCCUCAACCUCAAUGGAAACCACAUUUUUCAAUCUAAAAUCAAAAGCCUCAGCGCCAAAUUUGUGGUAAAUUUGGACACACUGCUCUUAUUUGCUUCCAUCACACAAAUUUGAACUAUUCACCCCAACCUUCUCCUAAAUCUUUCAAUACUGUUCUCACCACAAAUUCCCAGCUCCCUAAUCCUCCAAAAUUUUCUUACCCUACAAUGGCUCAUCCUGCUGCUACGCAUAACACGGUUCCCGAUACAAAUUGGUACAUGGACUCAGGUGCUACACAUCACUUUACUCUGGACAUCAACGUGCUUGACACUGUGACACCAUUUAGUGGUUCAGAACAGGUGACAGUUGGGAAUGGUAAGCAACUCUGUAUCUCACAUCUUGGUACUGCAAAACUACCAUCUUCGUAUUCUCCUCCUGUUCUACAUCAGGUAUAUCACACUCCAAAAAUUUCAAAUAAUCUUAUUAGUGUUAAAAAAUUGUGUUCUGAUAAUAAAGUUUUUGUUGAAUUUUAUGCCACUCAUUUUCUUGUCAAGGAUCAGGUUUCGAAGAGAGUUCUCCUUUAGGGUCAACUUGAUAAUGGCUUAUACAAAGUUCAGUCGUCAUGCUCUCCUUCUGCUGUUUCCUUUCCUCCUCAAGUUUUCAUAGCCAACAUCAAGUAUCCAAAUCUGUGGCACAAGAGACUAGGCCACCCAGCUUUAUCUGUUGUUAAUCAAAUCUUGGAUUCUUGUAACAUUGCUCGAACACAGAAAAUUUGUUUUAAUUUUUUAAAUUCUUGUCAAUUAGCAAAGAGCCACAGGCUUCCUUUUUCUCUGUCUCCAUCCAUUGCAGAAAAACCUUUUGAGUUAAUUCAUACAGACCUAUGGGGUCUUUCGCUCGUUCGCUCUAUUUCUGGUGCUCUUUAUUUUUUACUUUUCAUUGAUGAUCAUACUCGUUUUACUUGGUUUUAUUUGCUCAAAACAAAAGAUGAAGCAUAUCCUACUUUUCUCAAGUUUCAAGCUCUCAUUGAAAAUCAAUUUAAUACCAAGAUUAAGGCUGUCCAAUCUGAUUGGGGAGGUGAGUUUCGAUCUCUCUCCAUACCGUUUUCAAAUAUGGGCAUUGUCUAUUGUUUAUCGUGUCCAUACACCUCACAACAGAAUGGGCGAGUUGAGCGAAAAAAUCGCCAUGCGAUUGUCCUUUCUUGCUUGCUCUAUGCCCUUAUCUUAUUGGCCUUAUGCCUUUCAAACUGCCACUUACCUUAUUAAUCGUCUCUCUACCCCUGUGCUGCAUCAUCAAUCCUCUUACUUCGCACUCUAUCACAAACUCCCAACUUAUACUCAUCUUAAGGUCUUUGGUUCCUCUUGUUUUCCGUAUUUGCACCCUUAUAAUACCCAUAAACUCCAAUACAGGUCACUAGAGUGUGCUUUUCUUGGUUACAGUUCACACCACAAAGGUUAUCUAUGUCUUGACAUUCAUUCUAGCAGGGUGUAUAUUUCUCGCCAUGUGAUUUUUAAUGAAGAUUCUUUUCCAUUCAAGAAUUUGAAAUCUUCUCUCUCUCAGUCUAUUUCUUCUUCCUCUUCUUUAUAAGUUCCUCUGUUCAUUCUCUUGCCUCCCCUUUCCCCAUCUCCUCUUAUUUCUUCAUCUAUACCUCAUUCUUUUCCCUCUUCUUCUUCUACCUCUAGUACUUGUUCCCCUCUCGUUGCUCCUACCUCUCUUCCUUCCUCUUCACACUCUGUGUCUCCAUCUAUUCCACCUCCUUCUCCACCUUCUCCGAGUGUGGACCUGCUUGCACCUUGUGUGAAUACAAAUUUACAUACUUCUUCUCGCACUCACAAUAUUCAUCCUAUGGUGACUAGAUCUAAGGUUUGUAUCUAUAAACCUAAGUUGUUGUUGAGUGUCUCCAUAGGUUCUCUCACUAAGCCUACUUCCUUUCUUCAAGCUAUUAAAGAUCCUUCAUGGAAGCAAUCCAUGGAAUUCGAGUUUGCUACCCUUCAACACAACAAGACCUGGCAUUUGGUUCCUUCACCUUCCUCAGGCGAAGUAAUCGGUUGUAAAUGGGUCUAUAAGCUAAAGCUUCAGCCUGAUGGCUAAAUUGAGAGAUACAGCCUGCUUAGUAGCUAAGGGUAUCAUCAAAUUGAAGUAUGGACUACUUCGAAACAUUCAGCCUGAUNNNNNNNNNNNNNNNNNNNNNNNNNNNNNNNNNNNNNNNNNNNNNNNNNNNNNNNNNNNNNNNNNNNNNNNNNNNNNNNNNNNNNNNNNNNNNNNNNNNNAGCUUCAGCCUGAUGGCUAAAUUGAGAGAUACAAGGCCUGCUUAGUAGCUAAGGGUUAUCAUCAAAUUGAAGGUAUUGACUACUUCGAAACAUUCAGCCUGAUUGUCAAGCUUUCUACUAUCUGUAUUGUGCUCAGUCUUACUUUUUCCCAGAAUUGGUGUAUUAGACAGCUGGAUGUUCAUAAUGCCUUCUUACAUGGUGACUUAGCUAAAGACGUUUUCAUGGAACAACUGCCUGGAUUUGUUGAUCCUCUCUAUCCUACUCAUGUCUGCAAGUUGGAUAAGUCUCUCUACUGUCUUAAAUAGUCACCUCGGGCUUGGUAUACUAAGCUGAGUACUUCUCGCUACACUUGGGAUUUGUUACUUCUAAGAAUGACUCUUCCUUAUUUAUUUGUCAUUCGUCUCAUGGGUUACUUCUUGUUCUUGUCUAUGUGGAUGAUAUAAUCGUCAUUGGGAGCCACUCUCCUCAGGUUACUCACCUUAUCCAACAGUUGCAUCAUUAGCUUUCUUUAAAGGAUCUUGGUCCUUUACAUUAUUUUCUGGGCUUGGAGGUUCAUCACACCCCUACUGGUAUUCACCUCAGCCAAGCAAAGUAUAUCACUGAUCUCCUUACCCGGGCGGCUAUGUUGGAUGCCAAGCCAUGUCCCACUCCUAUGUCCUCCAACACAUAUCUCUCUUUUCAUGAUGGAGUGGCUCUUGAAAAUGGUUCAGAUUAUCGAAGUUUUGUUGGUGCCCUUUAGUAUUGUACCAUGACACGCCCAGAUAUAGCUUUUGCAAUAAAUAAAGUGUGUCAAUUCAUGCACCAUCCCUCUAAUGUUCACUGGCAGGCUAUAAAACGUAUUCUCCGGUACUUAAAGGGCACAUCUCAUUUUGGUCUCUUCCUACAGCCUUCCUAUGACUUCAACAUCACUUGCUAUACAAAUGCCGACUGGGCUUCCUGUCCUGAUGACAAGUGUAGCACCAGUGGCUACUGCCUCUUUCUUGCCUCUAAUCUGGUUUCUUGGUCAUCUUCCAAACAAAAAGUGGUCUCCCGCUCCAGCGCCGAAUCAGAGUACCGAGGGGUAGCAAAUGGGGCUGCUGAAAUUGCUUGGACUGAAUCUCUUCUUUGUGAACUUUCCAUUACUCCCCCUCCCCUCAUUCUCUGUGACAAUAUCAGUGCCACGUACUUAGCUGCCAAUCCUAUUUUGCAUGCCCGCACCAAACAUGUGGAAAUCGACUAUCACUUUGUCACGGAACGUGUUCUUCAAUGCUCUCUUUUUGUCCAGUUUACACCUUCUGAUGAUCAACUUGCUGAUUGCAUGACCAAGCCUCUCUCCACCCAACGUUUCAUCACUCUACGCUCCAAGCUCACUGUUCUCACUAGACCAAUGAGCUUGAGGGGGGAUGUUAAGCCUAAAGAUGUAAUUAGUUAGGAUAUUCUUUUCCCUCUAGUCUUGUAGCUCCACGUGUACAGUUGGUUAGGACCUCAUUGUAUAUAAUGCCUGCCCUGUUAUUGUAGAAGACAACAGAGAUAAAUAAUAUUAACAUUUUUCCUCUCAUCUCUCUCUCUGUUUCCCUCUGUUUUCAUCUCCUCUCUCAUCUGAACCAAAUGAUCCAUGUUAACCUUGGCUUGGUUUGAUUUGGCUCUAUCUUAGAGAGCUCAAGGAUCACGUCAACUCUGGUUUCUACUAUUCAGGUCCAUUCCCAUAUGAACUGGUUCAAAUUUGAGAAAAUGGUAACAGACCUUUAGUGAUGUUGGUUUGGAGCCAGUUGCCAAACCCGCCCUGAGCUUUACCACUAAUGUCAAGGGAGAAAGCCAUUUGAACAAAAACAAUAGCUUCAAGGGACUGAAUCGUGGAUGAAAUCUGAUCCACAUUUCUUCUCAUUUUGGAAACAAAUGAGAACUUAACUAAGAAGAUUCUACGGCCUCAUAGUGCUUUUCCUGAUCUAAGGUUGGUUCGUUUCCCAAACUGUGAGAUGCACGUGCCAGACUUCAGAACUCUCACGCUCAGGAGUGUAUCCACGUGGUGGACAUAAGAUGGUGGCUUAAGAUCUGGUGUCGGUGGCUUUACUUUACUAGGAGAGUAGUGUGUCUUCAUCUCAUUCACUGCCGGAGGGUGGCGUAAGCAGUGACGCUAAGGUGGGGCACAGUCAAUAUCAUUUGCAUUUGACCAUUAUAGUUUUCUCCCGGCUUUAAAGUAACCUUAUCGUGAUAAAGGAUUACUAGCACUAGUUCAGAUGAUAGUCAUGUUAAAUUCGGACCAUGUUUGUGUCACAUUAUCAGCAACCAUGUGUUUAUGGUUCAUGCUUUCUGCAACUAAAAUUGAUAUAUAACCAGGUGAACUUCAAUCUAAAUUCUGAAAGUACUCAUGUGAUAGAUGGUGCCCGUCUGCAGAGUCCAUCAAUUGAAAAAUGGAGUGAGUGUAUCUAUAAGAGGGAAGGCUUGGAAAAUGUUCAGUUUUCUGGGAAUUCAACAAGGAUCUAAAAUAGAUUGUUUUCUUUGCUGAUUUCAAUGGUUGAAAUUUGAGAAGAUUGUGUCCACAUAACACAACUAUUACUGGUCCUUCUGUUGCAAUUUAUCCUCUAAAGCUCUAGCAUGUCUUCCAAUUCCCACUUCCCUGUUACUCCAGGAAAGCUAUUUCUGUCAUUGUGAAGAAGAAAAGAGAAUGUACAUAUCGAUGCUUUUAAGUGACUGGAGCAUUUAUAUCAGGUGGUCUGCAGCCAUAUAUGCCACUUUGUGAAGAUUGGAACAGUCAAUCACUAGGCUAUAUAUUAGUGUGGCCCAGCCACUUUAAUCAAGGACAAGUCUUCAUACUUAAAGUCAAAUUCUGCCUUUAGUCUCAUUAUAAAUUUCUGUUUAAAUAUUAAGCAAACAUUUGUUUAAUGCGAUUAAGACAGUACUAACUCAAUACCUGUUCUAUUUUUGGAUGCAAAUGCUUGAUGGUUUCAUCAUUGGAUGGGAUAAAGGUGCAUUCAUGAUUAGGAAUACUAGUAGUUAUAUUUUAAUUCUCUUUUUUCUCAAUGAGACUUGUUGGCACAAUUUUGCUGUUGAGAAACCUACCUCUCCAUGGAAAAUAAGUUGUGAUUGAUAGUACUGGAUAUAUUCAAGAAAUCUAAAUAUAGAUAGCACAAAAUAUUAUCGACAUAAAUAGCAUUAACAGCGUACGUAUGUCUCAGUGCUCAUCAGCUAUAAGCAUGGGGCAAACACUUACUAUGAGCAACUUACGUCAAAAUUCCAGAAUAGGACAUAGAAGUGACAGAUAUAGAACAUUGCAUAUGAGUCACAAGAAAGGAAAUUACGGGUGCAUAGCAGCUCUUAUUUUACAUACUACUACUCAUACUGAUCAAAGUCACUCAGUUGGGAUGGGUGGGAGUAGGAGGUUUGUGGGGUGGCUUGUGCGGAGGAGUUGGCAGCUUCUUUCCAGGACCUGGUUGCUUCUCUGCUGGAGUUGAAGGAGGCUUAAUCUUCCGAGGUGGCUUGUAUGAGUCUUCAGCAUUCUCAGCUGGAGGGUGACCAGGGUUGUGACCAUAAUGUGGUGGCUUCUCUCCCUUAGGUGGUUUGCCAACUGGGGUUGGUGGCUUGUAUGAGUCUUCAGCAUUCUCAGCAGGAGGGUGACCAGGGUUGUGACCAUAAUGUGGUGGCUUCUCUCCCUUAGGUGGUUUGCCAACUGGGGUUGGUGGCUUGUGUUCUGGGAGUGGCUUCUCCCCCUUGGGAGGUUUUUCCAAUGGGGUUGGUUUGUGUUCAGGAGGUGGCUUCUCCACUGGAGGCUUGUGUUCAGGAGGUGGCUUCUCCACCGGAGGCUUGUGUUCAGGUGGUGGCUUCUCCACCGGAGGCUUAUGCUCUGGUGGUGGCUUCUCGAAUGGGGGAUGCUUAGGAUAAUCAGCAAGUGAGGGGGCGGUGAGAACCACCAGGCCAAGCAACACCACUAGCAAAUAUGUAGGAGACAUCUUUGGGUUUGGGCUCAGAUGGUGCAAAACUAGGAGAAUUGGCUAGCCUUUUAUAGCGGAUCGUACCCAAUAAUGAAAUGACACGUGUCAUUAUGACCCAUGUGUAAUGGGGUCGAUUUGGGUCCUACAGUGUUGAAAACUUCGACAUCCACUUUUGGCCUUUUGCUUUCUCUACAGCCGCCUUGCUUUUUCCCUCUUUCCUUUUGUUUUCCUCCUGCCCCAUUCUAUCAACUAAACACAAUUAUGUAGUUGUUUAAUUCUUAAAUGAGAUAUUAUCCGUCAAUCGUAUUAUAUUUUAUCAAGAGAGAACGGAGUGCAAUGUGGCUGUAAUUUUAUCGUUUAGUUUUAUCUCUUGGACCACUGCAUUUUUGUUAAGAGGUGCAAUAAUACACGUCUUUAUCUGCCAUUCAAUAUUUACAGUAAAGAGAGGGCACAAAACUCUUCACUUCGCACCAUAAUUAUUUUGUUUUCUGGACACCCCGGGGCCCUUUGGUUGGUUUGGGGGUCAGAAAGUGAACAUCAUAGGGGGUUUUUCCCUUAUGUGCAUUUGUAUCUGAUGGCUUUAACUCGCCUUGUUACUACAAAGAAACUGUCACAGAUAGGAACUUAUUCCAGGCUGAGUAUCUCCUCAUAGACCCUAUAAAAGAAGACAAGUCAUAAUGAACAUCUAACCUUUGUUCAAUUUGAUUCAAUGCCCCCAUUGUGUCCAUCUCACAAAUCUGAAUUAUUAUAUCCAUUGAAUACAUAAAUUAAUGAAGAAAAUAUGAAACCCAAGAUACAUCUCUGCACAACCUCAACCCUGGUUGCUAUGUUUCCCUUCUAUUCACAUGAUUUGAUGCUAAUUGCCAAACUUGCAACAAGCCCUGAGUUUGACACCUAGUAUCGAUGGGCGAAUUUAAAGUCUCCUCCAAACAUAUAUUCCACAGCUUGAAGCUCACAGAAGAUGUUACAGGCAGGGAAAAACCUUCAGAGUUCGCUACCAAAGAUAAUUAUUAAGGAGAUAUCACAAAGAGAAUUCCAAGGGGUCUGAAUCAAAGACAAAUUGGUCGUUCGUGGGGGUUCUUACUUUCUUUUGGGUAUAACUCACUGAGGGCACUGUCUUUGUUAUUUGCAUUUCACAUUUAGAGUUCUGUUCUGGAAACAUAUAAAAGGAGCAUCAUUUUGUUCUUGGGUAACCCAUAGUCGUGAGUGGGUCCAUUUGCAUGCUACUUAGUUGAAAAGUUGGACCAUUUGCUCCGACGCCUACCUCCCGGAUUCCAUGCUCGGAUAAAACAAGAAUAAAAAAAAUAUUUAUAAUUUACAAAUGGGGGAAAGAAAAAAAUGUCAACAACAAACCAGGAAAAAAGAGUAGUAAAAUUCAUGUCACAUGCUAGUGAGAGAAGGGGUUGUUACACUCACUCGAAGUUCUUUCCAAAAUAUCGCAUGGUAUUUUAUUUUAUGUGUCAGCGCAGUUGUGAAUGGAACGUGCAAAAGUCCAAAUUGGCGUUUUUCCUUUUCCCGUGUAGGAUGGCGACCUUUAAUAAAUAUUUAAAACAAAAAACGAAAAAAAGGAGGGAAAAGGGAUCAGAAAAGAUAAAACAAUGUGUACAAGAGCUCAAUUAGUUUGCAAAUUACUGUUUGGAUUUUGAUAGUAUUUUAUUUGUCCAUCUAUAUUUGAUGGAAAAGAGAAUUUAAGAUAUUUCUGAAACAAAAGCAUUAGUGUAAAACUAAAUUAAGGUAUAAUUAAGUUAGUUCAAUGCAUUAAUUUAAGAAACUUGAUCUAUCCAAAGUACAAAAUUAGAUGAAAUCCAUUUCAAUGGUUAAAAUGAUCAAAAUCAAACUUUUUCUAAGUAUUUUUUAAAAGCAUCAAUAUUAAAAGACAAUUUUAUAUUUAGUCGGAGUUUGGACAAAACCAAAAAGCACACAAAAUCCAAGCGACCAUCUCUAGCUUGGAUAGUCACUUGAUCCCACCUAGAGAUGUGCAUGAGUAAAAGGAUUUGAAAAUGGAAAUUGACUAAAUAUUUAGUUGAUCAAUUAAAUUUGCAAUGUCAUAUGCAAUCCUAAUAGCUAGUCAUCUAAUCAAUUAGGUAGUCAAUCAAGUGUUUGUAAUGACUAUUUUGUACAAAAAACCACAUGUAUAGUUAAAUAUAAUGCAUUUCAUUUAUAAAUCUUCUAAUUCUUGAAUAACGAUCCUAUCAUCCUUUGAAAAUUUUUAUUACACCUUUUUUACUUUUGUUCUAAAACUUACAUAUCACCCUUAAUUGUACCAUGAGAACCUAGCUAUUUUUUUUUUUUUUGUAAUUCAUCAAAGUUAGCUUUUGUAUUCAUUGUUGUAUUAUUUUUAGUAUAACUUAGAAAGCUAGUGUUUUCAAGUGAGUAAAAUUAACUUGUAAAUAUUGUAAAGAUUCAUUGAUAUGUAUCUUAAACUAAGUGUACAAAUUAAAACAUUUGCUAGUAGAUUUUCUCAAAAUUUAGAAUAGAGCUUGAGGCUAUUGAAAUAGGUGGGGUUACACCAAACCACAUCACAUCGUUGUUUGCACCUUUUUUCACUCUCUUUUACUUAGUUUCUCUAUAUUUGUUGUCUAGUAAUAUCCUAUAGGCUUGAUGGGUUAGGGAGCAUCCCUUUGUGAAAAAAUUUCAUUCAAUUCUUAGUUGUAUUACGCAUAUAUAAAAUGCCUCAUUGUUUUAAUGGUAUUCAGUCGUGGCAUCACAGAUAUGGGCAUCUAAAUUUUAAAAGUUUGAAACUUUUGUAAAGCAUGUUGAUAAAAUCCAUGAGAGUUGUGUACUUGGGAAGCAACAUCGAGGUGACUUUAUUUUUUUUUCCUUUUAUAAUGCCACACCUAAGUCCGGUUUCUAAAUGCUAAAGUGAAAGGGUAGGUAUGGACCAUUGAAAUGUGAUCACAACUUUUGGCCUUUUCCUUUCUCUGCAGCCAUGUUGUCUCUUUUUUCUUUUGCAUGAUUUUCUUACCAAAACAGAAUCAUAGACUUGUUUAGUCUCUAAGCUACUAUAUUAUAUCUCGGUGGACUUUUAAGAGUGCAACCGACAUAGAGCACAUGCAAGUGGGCAUAUGGGACAUGAAAUUUCUUCUUACAAAGAUUGCAUGAUUUUUAUAUUAGAGUUGUUCACGUGCAAUGUAUUUAGCUUGUUUUGCAGUUAAAUUAAUUGGAUAAGUAAACAUUGGCAUUUCUAAAUCGACUGUGAAGUGCUUCAUGUACGUGUAAAGUAUUAGAAAUUUCUUUCUUGGCAACUUGUUUUUUCCUUGCCAUCUACUGGUAGGUUUGACUAAAAUUAUAUUCCCUGUCAUGCUAAUUAAUUUUCAUGUGCAUGCUCAAAAGAAGAGUAUGACCUUAGUGCACCAAAAUCACUUUGAUUAAUUUGUGAUAGGUUUUUUUGCAUCAUUUAGAUAAUGUUUAGUUCUAAGAAAAAUUUAUAUAAAAAUGGUUUAUUUAUCUUACAUAUAUAUAUAUAUAUAUAUAUUUUUUUUUUUUUCAUUUUUUUUUCUUCUAUUUUAUUUAUUUAUUUUAUUUUCCUUAUGUUUUCCUCACAUUUUCCGGAACUAAACAUAGUCUUACGAAAUCAACAAUUGCCUUCAACUGAGUAGAUUCUGUUGUUUUAGCAAUGUUAGGCUGCUAACUUGUGGUGGUACGAACCAAAUGACCCAUGUUAAUCUUGGCUUGGUUUGAUUUGGCUCUAUCUCAGAGAGCUAAAGGAUCACGUCAACUCUGGUUUCUACUAUUCAGGUCCAUUCCCAGAUGAACUGGUUCAAAUUUGAGAAAAUGGUAACAGACCUUUAGUGAUGUUGGUUUGGAGCCAGUUGCCAAACCCGCCCUGAGCUUUACCACUAAUGUCAAGGGAGAAAGCCAUUUGAACAAAAACAAUAGCUUCAAGAGACUGAAUCGUGGAUGAAAUCUGAUCCACAUUUCUUCUCAUUUUGGGAAAAAAUGAGAACUUAACUACAAAGAUUCUACUGCCUCAUUCAUAGUGCUUUUCCUGAUCCAAGGUUGGUUCGUUUCCCAAAUUGUGAGGUGCACGUGCCACUCUCACGCUCAGGAGUGUAUCCACGUGGUGGACAUCAGAUGGUGGCUUAAUAUCUGGUGUCGGUGGCUUUACUUUACUAGGAGAGUAGUGUGUCUUCAUCUCAUUCACUGCCGGAGGGUGGCGUAAGCAGUGACGCUAAGGUGGGGCACAGUCAAUAUCAUUUGCAUUUGACCAUUAUAGUUUUCUCCCGGCUUGAAAGUAACCUUAUCGUGAUAAAGGAUUACUAGCACUAGUUCAGAUGACCGUCAUGUUAAUUCGGACCAUGUUUGUGUCACAUUAUCAGCAACCAUGUGUUUAUGGUUCAUGCUAUCUGCAACUAAACUUGAUAUAUAACCAGGUGAACUUCAAUCAAAAUUCUGGAAGUACUCUUGUGAUAGAUGGUGCCUGUCUGCAGAGUCCAUCAAUUGAAAAAUGGAGUGAGUGUAUCUAUAAGAGGGAAGGCUUGGCAAAUGUUCAGUUUUCUGGGAAUUCAACAAGGAUCUAAAAUAGAUUGUUUUCUUUGCCGACUUCAAUGGUUGAAAUUUGAGAAGAUUGUGUCCACAUAUCACAACUAUUACUGGUCCUUCUGUUGCAAUUUAUCCUGUAAGGCUCUAACAUGUCUUCCAAUUCCCACUUCCCUGUUACUCCAGGAAAGCUAUUUCUGUCAUUGUGAAGAAGAAAAGAGAAUGUACAUAUCGAUGCUUUUAAGUGACUGGAGCAUUCAUAUCAGGUGGUCUGCAGCCAUAUAUGCCACUUUGUGAAGGUUGGAACAGUCAAUCACUAGGCUAUAUAUUGGUGUGGCCCAGCCACUUCAAUCAAGGACAAGUCUUCAUACUUAAAGUCAAAUUCUGCCUUUAGUCUCAUUAUAAAUUGCUGUUUAAAUAUUAAGCAAACUUUUGUUUAAUGCGAUUAAGACAGUACUAACUCAAUACUUGUUCUAUUUUUGGAUGCAAAUGCUUGAUGGUUUCAUCAUUGGAUGGGAUAAAGGUGCAUUCAUGAUUAUGAAUACUUGUAGUUAUAUUUUCAUUCUCUUUUUUCUCAAUGAGACUUGUUGGCACAAUGUUGCUGUUCAGAAACCUACCUCUCCAUGGAAAAUAAGUUGCGAUUGAUAGUACUGGAUAUGUUCAAGAAAGCUAAAUAUAGAUAGCACAAAAUAUUAUCGAUAUAAAUAGCAUUAACAGCGUACGUAUGUCUCAAUGCUCAUCAGCUAUAAGCAUGGGACAAACACUUACUAUGAGCAACUUACGUCAAAAUUCCAGAAUAGGACAUAGAAGUGACAGAUCUAUAUAUAUAGAACACUGCAUAUGAGUCACAAGAAAGGAAAUUACGGGUGCAUAGCAGCUCUUAUUUUACAUACUACUACUCAUACUGAUCAAAGUCACUCAGUUGGGAUGGGUGGGAGUAGGAGGUUUGUGGGGUGGCUUGUGCGGAGGAGUUGGCAGCUUCUUUCCAGGACCUGGUUGCUUCUCUGCUGGAGUUGAAGGAGGCUUAAUCUUCCGAGGUGGCUUGUAUGAGUCUUCAGCAUUCUCAGCUGGAGGGUGACCAGGGUUGUGACCAUAAUGUGGUGGCUUCUCUCCCUUAGGUGGUUUGCCAACUGGGGUUGGUGGCUUGUAUGAGUCUUCAGCAUUCUCAGCAGGAGGGUGACCAGGGUUGUGACCAUAAUGUGGUGGCUUCUCUCCCUUAGGUGGUUUGCCAACUGGGGUUGGUGGCUUGUGUUCUGGGAGUGGCUUCUCCCCCUUGGGAGGUUUUUCCAAUGGGGUUGGUUUGUGUUCAGGAGGUGGCUUCUCCACUGGAGGCUUGUGUUCAGGAGGUGGCUUCUCCACCGGUGGCUUGUGUUCAGGAGGUGGCUUCUCCACCGGAGGCUUAUGCUCUGGUGGUGGCUUCUCCACCGGAGGCUUAUGCUCUGGUGGUGGCUUCUUGAAUGGGGGAUGCUGAGGGUAAUCAGCAAGUGAGGGGGCGGUGAGAACCACCAGGCCAAGCAACACCACUAGCAAAUAUGUAGGAGACAUCUUUGGGUUUGGGCUCAGAUGGUGCAAAACUAGGAGAAUUGGCUAGCCUUUUAUAGCGGAUCGUACUCAAUAAUGAAAUGACACGUGUCAUUAUGACCCAUGUGUAAUGGGGUCGAUUUGGGUCCUACAGUGUUGAAAACUUCGACAUCCAGUUUUGGCCUUUUGCUUUCUCUACAGCCGCCUUGCUUUUUCCCUCUUUCCUUUUGUUUUCCUCCUGCCCCAUUCUAUCAACUAAACACAAUUAUGUAGUUGUUUAAUUCUUAAAUGAGAUAUUAUCGGUCAAUCGUAUUAUAUUUUAUCAAGAGAGAACGGAGUGCAAUGCAGCUGUAAUUUUAUCGUUUACUUUUAUCUCUUGGACCACUGCAUUUUUGUUAAGAGGUGCAAUAAUACACGUCUUUAUCUGCCAUUCAAUGUUUACAGUAAAGAGAGGGCACAAAACUCUUCACUGCUCUGCAUGUGUCCCAAAAAUGCGAUUGGACAAAUUAUGAUUUGCAUGCUAAAAAGAGGCAAAUGAGGUUAAUUCGCACCAUAAUUAUUUGGUUUUCUGGACACCAUAAAAAGAUGUUAUACAGGCAGGGAAAAACCUUCAGAGUUAGCUACCAAAGAUAAUUAUCAAGCAGAUAUCACCAAGAGAAUUCCAUAGAGUCUGAAUCAAAGACAGAUUGCUCGCUCGUGGGGGUUCUUACUUUCUUUUGGGUAUAACUCACUGAGGUCACUGUCUUUUUUAUUUGCAUUUCACAGUUAGAGUUCUGCUCUGGAAGGUUUGUUCUGGAAACAUAUAAAAGGAGCAUCAUUUUGUUCUUGGGUAACCCAUAGUCGUGAGUGGGUCCAUUUGCAUGCUACUUAGUUGAAAAGUUGGACAAUUUGCUCCGACGCCUACCUCCUGGAUUCCAUGCUCGGUAAAACAAGAAUAAAAAAAAAUAUAUAAUUUACAAAUGGGGGAAAGAAAAAAUGUCGGAAAAAAUAGUAAAAUUCAUGUCACAUGCUAGUGAGAGAAGGGGUUGUUACACUCACUCGAAGUUCUUUUCAAAAUAUCGAAUGGUAUUUUACUUUAUGUGUCAGCGCAGUUGUGAAUGGAACGUGCAAAAGUCCAAAUUGGCGUUUUUAUUUUUCCCAUGUAGGAUGGUGACCUUUAAUAAAUAUUUAAAACAAAAGACGAAAAAAAAAAGGAGGGAAAAGGGAUCACAAAAGAUAAAAUAAUGUUUACAAAAGCUCAAUUAGUUUGCAAAUUACUGUUUGGAUUUUGAUAGUAUUUUAUUUGUCGUUCUAUAUUUGAUGUAAAAGAGAAUUUAAGAUAUUUCCGAAGCAAAAGCAUUAGUUUGCUCUGUGAUGUCCCACAUCGAAUAGGGGAGAAAGUUUCUGGCGCUAUAUAUGUAGAGGCUCCUCUUAACCAAGUAGAUGCGUUUUAAAACCAUGAGGGCCCCCUUAGGUCCAAAGCGGACAAUAUCUACAUGAUUGGGUGUAAGUCAUUACAAAUGGUAUCAGAGCCGAUCCCCGACCCCGGUGUGGGGGUUUGUUUGGCCCUGUAAGGGGUGUUUGUCUGUUUGACCCCACAAUCCCAUGGGACACAACGAGGACGUUGUGUCUGCAUGGGGGGGCGUUUGUGAUGUCCCACAUCGGAUAGGGGAGAAAGUUCCUAGUGCUAUAUAUGUAGAUGUUUCUCUUAACCAAGUAGAUGCAUUUUAAAAUUGUGAGGGCCUCUUUGGGCCCAAAGCGGACAAUAUCUACAUGGUUGAGUGUAAGUCAUUACAUGCUCCAUGUCAAUUUCAGCAUUUCUCAUAUGUUUCACACAUACACAGAAGAGCAUCGUUUUUUAAAGCAUGCAUUUAUGUUGGAUUAAUUUGGAUUUUGUGGGAACUGGGGCAAGGAUCACAUGGAAGAGAGGUUGACUUUUUUCAGUACUUCAAUGGUUGAAAUAUGUGAAGGCUUGAUUGAUACUAAAGCUUGAAAUUGCGACUCUGUCAUUUGUAAAAAAAUAUGACAGCUUCCAUGCUCUCGUUUGGUUGCAUUGUCCGGUCGAGAGGUGCAAAAAGCAUUCUCUCUCUUCUAAUAGUCUUUUCGUUUAAAUCAAGGGAUUUGCCUUCCCGGUCGAGGUCCAAUAGAGGGUAACGGUCACCUACUAAACAUUAAAUGCUCCAACAACUAGUGAACUGAUCGACCCCAGCUCGACUAGUUGAGGUUACUUUUUGGUUUUCUUGUCUCCCGAGGUUAGAAACCUAUAAAUAGAGAGCUUCACUUCAUUUAUGAGUAAGAGAACACCUAAAUUUAUUUGUUUACCUACUUGUUUUUGCCAUAAAAGCUCUCAUUUCUUUUCUUGGUGUAUUAAAUCUCCAUUUGCAUAUCCUUUAGUGCACCUUUGUGAUUCAUUCUAGCCUUGAGUUGUAUUUAAGCCUUUGUUGAGCUAGGUUGAGAGUUUCAUACUUGUUUAUUGAGUGUUAAAGCCUUCAAGUGAGUUAAAACUUGAAGAGAUUGUGUAAGAGCCCAUUGGAGUCGGAAUCCAAGUGUAAAGGUGAUUAAAAGCUUGGUUGAAGCUUCAAGUUAGUGGAACUCUCACUCGGUUAUGAGCUUGAGAAGAGUGGACAUAGACAAGGCAGUGUCGAACCACUAUAAAAUCUGAGUUUGAUUUCUCUAACCUUAUCUCUUUAUAUUUGCUUCUCUUGUGCUUAAAUUUUUUGUGUUUAAAAAGAAUUUUUAAAAACUCAAUUCACCCCCUUCUUGGGAGUUUUUCUCUUUUAAGAUCAGCUUUUAUUUUCUCAAUUGGUAUCAGAACUAUGCCUCUUGUUUAAGACUUAAUCGUCUAAGAGGAAAUGGCUAAUCCAUCAAGUUCAUCUCACAUUGAAAGUUUUGCAACCAAUAGACUUCUUUUUUUUUUUUUGCGGGAACUGAUUAUCCCUAUUGGAAAACUAAAAUGACUUGGUUUUUACAAUCAAUUGAUUUAGAUGUAUGAGAUGCCAUUGAAGAUGACCUAACUUUUCCUUCAAAACUAGUUGAUGGAGUCAUGGUUCCAAAACCUAAGCAAGAAUGGGAUGAGCGUGAUUGAAGAAAUUUUCAAUUAAAUGCUAAAGUCGUUUAUACUUUGCAAUGCUCUAUGGACAGAAAUGAAUAUAAUAGAAUAUGUCAAUGCAAAUCGGUUAAAGAAAUUUGGAGAUUGCUUGAAAUAACUCAUAAAGGAACAAAUCAAGUUAAAGAGUCAAAAAUCAAUUUACUUGUUCAUAGAUAUGAAUUGUUUUUUAUGAAAGAUAAUGAAACUAUUGUUAAGAUGAUCACUAGGUUCACCAACAUUGUUAAUGGUCUUAAAGCCUUGGGAAAGACCUACAAGGAAUCCGAAAACGUGAUGAAGAUCUUGAGGUCACUUCCAUCAAAGUGGCAUACCAAGGUCACCGCAAUUUAAGAAGCAAAAGACUUGAUCAAGCUACCUUUGGAGGAGUUCAUAGGGUCAUUGAUGACAUAUGAAAUCAAUUUGGCAAAGAAGUAACAAAAAGGUGAAGACAAAAAGAAGAAGAACAUAACUCUCAAAGCUACAACUAAGGAAGAAGAAGUUGAAGAAGAAAAACAAAUUGAAGAAGAUGAAGAUUUAGCCCUCAUCACAAGAAAGUUCAACAAAUUCAUGAGGGGUGAAAGGUUUAGAAGAAGAAGGUUCACUUCUAGAAGAGACUUUUCUAAAAAGGAAUCUUCAUCUAAUGGUGACAAAAAGAGAUGGGAAGAGAAAAGAGACUUGGUGUGUUUCAAGUGCAAGAAACCGGGACACAUUAAAUAUGAUUGUCCUCUCUACAAAAGUGAAGUCAAGAGGAAAAAGAAUAAGGCAAUGAUGGCCACUUAGAGUGAAAGUGAAGAUGAAUCAUCCGAAGAAGAAAAUGAGAAAGAAGUGGCAAACAUGUGUUUCAUGGCAAUAGAUGAACUUGAUGAGGUAAAAUCUAACCUUAGUGAUUAAGAUAUACAUGAUGCAUUUGAAGAAUUGUAUGAGGAUUUUUAAAAACUUAGUUUGAAAAAUAUUUCUCUUAAAAAGAAAGUUCAACAACUUGACAAAGAACUUAGAGAAGUAAAAGAAAAAUUUUCAAAUGUUAAAGUUUCUAAAACUCAUCUUGAAAAAGAAAAUGAGAUUCUAAGAAAGAAAAAUGAAUAGUUGAACUCCUCUCUUUCAAUCUUUUCUUCUAGACAAAAAUCUUUUGAAAUGAUUCUAACUAGCUAAAAAUGUGUUUUUGACAAACAAGGGUUAAGAUUUAAAUCUUCAAAAAAUCAAAAGUAUUUUAAAAACUAUUUUGUAAAGGAAUCCACAAGUGCAAGUCCUUCCACUACUUGCAACUUUUGUGGAAGAGAAUGGCACAUUAGUAGUACGCCCUUUAAGAAAUGGUUCUCAAAAGAAUUUAAAUGCAAAAACUAAAAAAGAUUUGGAUUGAGAAAUCCAAGGUCACUAACCCUCAAGGACCCAAAAAGAUAUAGGUACCUAAAUCAACUUGAGUUUUAUGUUGUAAGGUUCAAAGAAUGAUAAGUGGUUCUUAGAUAAUGGUUGCUCAAGACACAUGACCGGAGAUGAAUCCAAGUUUGCUUUUCUUAAAAAGAAAAAUGGAGGAUAUGUUACCUUUGGAGACAAUGCAAAAGAAAGGAUGAUUGGUCAAGGCAACAUUGGUAAUGGCACAUCCUCUCUCAUUGAAAGUGUUUUAUUAGUAGAUGGUUUCAAACAUAACCUUUUAAGCAUUAGUCAAUUUUGCGACAAAGGUUUUUAAGUGAUUUUUUAAGCAUCUCAUUGCAUCAUCAAGGAUAUUCAAAAUGAUAAAACCAUUUUCAUGGGCCAUAGAUGUGAUAAUGUUUAUGCUAUAAAUAUUUCAAAAUAUGAUGGCCAUGAUAGAUGUUUUUCAAGCAUGCAUGAUCAAAGUUGGUUGUGCCAUAGGAGAUUGAGACAUGCUAACAUAGACCUCAUUUCCCAACUCAACAAAGAUGAACUUGUUAGAGGCCUUCCCAAAAUAAUUUUUUAAAAAGAUAAAGUUUGUGAAGCUUGUCAAGUGGGAAAGUAAAUCAAAAACUCUUUUAAAAACAAAAACUUCAUUUCCACAUCUAGGCCACUUGAGUUGUUGCAUAUGGAUUUAUUUGGUCCCUCUAGGACACCAAGUCUUAGAGGAAAUUCUUAUGCAUAUGCUAUUGUGGACGACUUCUCUAGAUACACAUGAGUCUUGUUUUUUAGUCAAAAGAAUAAAGUUUUUUAUGAGUUUUCAAAGUUUUGCAAUAAGAUUCAAAAUGAAAAAGGUUUUUCAAUUACUUAUAUAAGAAGUGAUCAUGGGAGAGAAUUCGAAAAUAUUGAUUUUGAAGAGUAUUGCAAUGAGCAUGGAAUUGACCACAAUUUUUUGGCUCUUAGAACUCCUCAACAAAAUGGGGUAGUUGAAAGGAAAAAUAGAACUCUUCAAAAAAUGACAAGAACCAUACUAAAUGAAAACAACUUACCAAAAUAUUUUUAGGCCAAAACGGUUAACACUUCUUGUUAUGUUUUAAAUAGAGUAUUAUUGAGGCUCAUACUUAAGAAAACUCCCUAUGAGCUUUGGAAAAACAAAAAACCCAACAUUAGUUAUUCCAAAGUCUUUGGAUGCAAUAUUUUAUAAUAAACACCAAAGACAAUCUUGGAAAAUUUGAUGCAAAAUUGGAUGUUGGAAUUUUCCUUGGUUACUCAACUUCAAGUAAAGCUUUUCGAGUUUUAACAAAAGAACCAUGGUUGUAGAGGAGUCCAUCCAUGUUAUUUUUUAUGAAUCUCCAAGAAAGAGAGAGGAUUGAUGAUGAUUUAGGUUUGAAGACCUCUAUAGGAAGAUUGCAAAUCGAAGAUAGAAGACAACAAGAAGAAAAUGGAGAGAAUCCAAAGAAAGAAGGAUCACCAUUGGCACUACCCCCUCAUCAACAAGCGCAAGGUGAAUCAAGUCAAGAGCUUCCUAAAGAAUGGAAGUUUGUCAUCAAUCACCCACAAGAUCAAAUUAUAGGCAAUCCAUCUAGUGGGGUAAGAACUAGAUCCUCUCUUAGAAAUAUUUGCAAUAAUCUAGCUUUUAUCUCUCAAAUUGAGCCUAAAAAUAUAAAUGAUGUUUUAGAUGAUGAAAAUUGGAUAAUUGCAAUGCAAGAAGAGUUAAAUCCAUUUGAAAGAAGUGGAGUAUGGGAAUUAGUACCAAGACCUUCAAAUCAAAGUGUUAUUGGAACUAGAUGGAUCUUUAGAAAUAAAAUGGAUGAAAAUAGCAUAAUUGUUAGAAAUAAAGCAAGAUUGGUAGCCCAAGGUUUUAAUCAAGAAGAAAUGAUAGAUUAUGAAGAAACCUUUGCCCCCGUAGCUAGGUUGGAAGCCAUUAGGAUGCUACUUGCCUUUGCAUGUUUUAAAGACUUUGUUUUAUAUCAAAUGGAUGUGAAAAGUGCUUUUUUAAAUGGUUUUAUAAAUGAAGAAGUAUAUGUUGAACAACCACCCGGUUUUCAAAGUUUCAACUUUCCUAACCAUGUUUUUAAACUUAAAAAGACACUUUAUGGUUUGAAACAAGCACCUAGAUCAUGGUAUGAAAAAUUGAGUAAAUUUCUUUUGAAAAAAAUGUUUUAAAAUGGGAAAAAUUGACACAACUCUUUUUAUAAAAACCAAAGAAAAUGAUAUGCUCUUAGUUCAAAUAUAUAUUGAUGAUAUCAUUUUUGGUGCUACUAAUGUCUCUCUUUAUGAAGAAUUUUCUAAGUGCAUGCAUAGUGAGUUUGAAAUGAGCAUGAUAGGAGAACUCAACUUCUUCCUUGGACUUCAAAUCAAGCAACUAAAGGAAUGAACCUUCAUCAAUCAAGCAAAGUAUAUAAGAGAUCUUCUCAAAAGGUUCAACAUGGAAGAAGCCAAAACAAUGAAGACUCUAAUGAGCUCAUCCAUUAAGCUUGAUAAGGAUGAGAAAGGUAAAUCCAUUGACUCUAUUAUGUAUAGAGGCAUGAUAGGUUCUUUGCUCUAUUUGACCACUAGUAGACCUUACAUUAUGUAUAGUGUGUGUUUGUGUACUAGAUUUCAAUCUUGUCUUAAAAAAUCUCACUUAAGUGUCGUGAAAAGAAUCCUCAAAUAUUUGAAAGGGACAAUGGACAUAGGCUUAUGGUAUCCUAAGAGUGAUAACUUUGAAUUAAUUGGUUUUUUGGAUGCUGAUUUUGUCAGUUGUAGGGUUGAAAAAUAAAACACUAGUGGCACUUUUCAUUUCUUAAGACACUUACUUGUCUCAUGGCAUAAUAAGAAGCAAAAUUUGGUAGCUUUGUCAACAGCAGAAGCUAAAUACAUAGCAACUGGUUUAUGUUGUGCACAAAUCCUUUGGAUGAAAUAAACACUUAGUGAUUUUGAUUUAUCUUUUGAGCAUAUUCCUAUUAAAUGUGAUAAUAGUAGUGCCAUAAGUAUAUCAAAAAAUCUCGUGCAACACUCUAGGACUAAGCAUAUAGAGAUUAGACAUAAUUUUCUUAGAUAUCAUACACAAAAGGAUGAUAUAACACUUGAAUUUGUAAGCAUAAAAGACCAACUUGCCGAUAUCUUUACAAAACCUCUAAGAACAUUUUGUUGAUAUUAGAGGACAAUUAGGAGUGAUUUCUUUAUGAUCUAAUGUGAUGAAUUCUUGAUGAAUAUACUUUUUGAUUGCAUGAAUUUCAUGUCAUAUAUGCAUCAUAUAGAAAUAUACUUAGAUAAUGGUCAAAUUUCGACCAAAAAUCAAAAUUCCCAUGGCAUUAGGCAUAAAAAUUUUGGAAUUUCAACUGAAAAUGGUAGGAGGAGGAUCACAAAAUGAGAAAGUAUGCAAAAAUUGAAAAAUCAAAACGUUGACCAAGCGGUCAAUCGGACUAGACCGAUCGACUAGUUUGUCGAGAUUUAGGAUUUUUAAGAGACUCCAACGCUUCAAUUUUUGCACCGUUCUCCUCUAUUUCUUCACGGUUUCUCUGAUUUUGUCUUUUAGAGACUAAUUUGAGUGCGUUUUGGAUCAAUUGAAGCAUUUUGGAUUGGAUUUUAGGAAGAUUGAAAGUUAAGGUUUCGGAUUUGGGUCGCCUUCUCUUCCUCUCGCGUGUCACAAUCAGCUUUAGCAUUGUUCUCUUUCCAUUUUCACACACCUAGGGUUUCAGUUGUGAGCAUCUCUCUCUCUUUACCAACCACUACUCCCUUGCUUCUUCCAUAUGGCUCCUAGGCGAGAGUCCGCUACUUCUAGGGCACAAGGCAAGCACCCAACUGAGUCGUCUCAGUCAAAGGCACGUCGAAAAGUGAGAUUUGACAUUGCCUUGUUCAGUUCCAUGGAGGACUACCAACUAUACAAGCAACACUUUGCUUAGAGACGAGUAGUUCCCAAGAGAAAUAUUAAUUUUCCUCAACUUCAGCAUUUCGAAUUUAAGGGUCUAUUUACUAGGAUGGUUGGUUGUCUAUUGUCACAAUUUCGGAGCCGGUUUUCCUGACCUUAGUGCGAGUUUUUUACUCGAGGGCGACUUAUGGCAUGGGUGGCAUGAUCAUUUCUACUGUUGGAGGAGUUGAGAUCUGUCUGGACCCAGAGAGCAUCUGCCAUAUUUUCGAUAUUGCUCUGGUUGGACUCAAAGUAUACAAGUCCAAAAUGUGGCCCAUUGUGCCAGGAUUUGAGCUUAGAGAGGUCAUUCAGAGGAUUUGUGAACUUCCAGACGCCCAGGAGAUGGGCAAACCAUUGCCACACAGUUUGACGGUCAUCAACAGGGUGCUACACCAUAUAUUGUGCUCUAUCUUUCUACCACGAAGUGGACAUUGAGAUGAGGUCUCUUAUUAUGAGGCAUUCCUUAUUGACUCCAUUCUAACGGAGAGACGAAUUCAUCUACUAUGUCAUCAUUCACUAAGCCUCCUCACAGUGACAUACCACCUCAUCAGGCACCUCUUGCUCCUGACCAUGCUCCAUUGAUGGAUUUAUUUACUCAUAUUAGCUCUCUAGGCACUCGCAUGAAGGAGUUUGUUGUAGUUAGUGAUACAUGGUUCUACUCCAUAGAGGAUCGCAUGGAUCAGUAUCAGACUGGCUUCACGUCACAGUUUGAGUAUCUCCAAUAGAGGAUUGAGCAUAUUGAGGAUCACUUGAGCAUGAGAAGAUGAUGGCUUUUCUAUGCUCUGUGUUUCCACCUCCACCUCGUCAACCUUGAUUUCUUAGAGACCCAUUGUUUUCAUUUUGUAAUGUUGCCAAAAGGGGGAGAUAUUUAGGAUCUAGGACUCUAUAGGAGACUUACAUGCAUAUCAUUUUCAUAUCAUUGUUUGGAUCGUACAUAUUGGAUAGUGAUACUUUUUACUUAUAUAUGAUAUGCCUAUAUGUUUCAUGUCUUACAUUGUUUCUUAUUGCAAAUUAUCUCUAACAUGUCUUGAUUAUCUUUUUUUUAACUUCAUAAAUUUUGAUUGUUAACCCAUGAUUGGUUUGAGGGGAAGAUUCUUCUUCUCCUAGAUAACCAAGGUUUGUCAUCAUAAAAAAAUUGGAGAUUGUUAGCCCAAGGGUUCUCCUAAUCAUGUUUUGAUGAUAACAAACCAUGCUUAAGUUACUAAUUGGUUUGAAUUAUAAAGAAUUUCAAGUGUUAAUUUGAAAAUUCAUCAAAGAACCUAAUGGAUGCAAGAUCAAGAUUUUUGGAAGACCUUUAAUCAUAAGAAACAUAUGUAAGAUGAAUGCAUGGGUGCACUUAAGAUUUGCAUAUCAUUUCAUGCAUAUUUGGAAAACACGGUUUAUGCUUUAAAGUUACAUUUCCAUCAAAAUUUGAGAUCCAUCAAAUGAACCUUAGGAAAAAUGUUUUAAAAUUGGCAUAUAAUUUUACCUAAAGACCUUGCCUAAGUGUUAGAAGCAAAAGGACAAAAAAAAUAUAGGUUUUCUGGUCAAAAAUGGUGAACCAGUCAAGGCAUUGUCUAAAUCAGCUCAAUCGGCCAAGGUACCGGUCGAUCGGUUUCCCUUUCCCUGUCGAGAUCUAGUCAAGAGGUACAAAAAUCACAAUCUCUGUCUCUUUCUCUCUUUGUCUAUCUUCCAGUAGUCUUUCCUUCCCGGUCGAGGGAUUUGCCUUCCCGAUUGAGGUCCGAUUGAGAGUAAUAGUCACUUGCCAAAUAUUAAAUGCUCCAACAGUUAGUGAACUGGUCGACCCCCACCUUGCCCAGUUGAGGUUACUUUUUGGUUUUCUUGGCUCCCGAUGUUAGAAACCUAUAAAUAGAGAGUUCCACUUCAUUUAUGAGCAAGAGAACACUUGCAUUUAUUUGUUUACCUACUUGUUCUUGCCUUAAAAGCUCUCAUUUCUUUUCUUGGUGCAUUAAAUCUCCAUUUUGAUAUCCUUUAGUGCACCUUUGUGAUUCAUCUUAGCCUUGAGUUGUAUUUGAGCCCUUUUUUUAGCUAGGUUGAGAGUUUCAUACUUGUUAAUUGAGUGUUAAAGCCUUCAAGUGAGUUGAAACUUGUAGAGAUUAUGUGAGAGUCGAUUGGAGCCGAAAUCCAAGUGUAAAGGUGAUUAGAAGCUUGGUUGAAGCUUCAAGUUAGUGGAAUCCUCACUCAAUUAGGAGCUUGAGGAGAGUGGACGUAGCCAAGGAAGUGUCGAACCACUAUAAAAUUUGAGUUUGAUUUCUCUAACAUUGUCUCUUUAUAUUUGUUUAUCUUGUGCUUAAAUUUAUUGUGUUUAAAAAGAAUUUUUAAAUACCCAAUUCACCCCCCUCUUGGGUGUUUUUCUCUUUUAAAAUUAGCCUUUAUUUUCUCACAAACUAUUGUAGUAUAGUGGUUUUUAGGUGUCAUCCAUUAGGAUGAAUUGUUCUCGGUAAUUAAGGCGUGAAUGAGAGGAGAAUUAAUGAUUGUGAUUAAGUAAAAUUGAUUUGAAAAUUCAUGGUGAAAAAUCAAUUUAACAAUGGUUUCUAAUUGAGAAAAACAAUGAAAUGUGAAAUAAAAUAAAAUUAAUAGGAAAUGAAAUUCUCGAAGUUAGAAUUUUCUAAAAAACAAAUUCCAUGGUGAAUGGAUGUUGAGAUCUAAUUUUCAUCAAGUUAGAUUGAAAACCGAAAUUUUCAUAUAAACUGAUUUUUUAUUUAGUUUUAGGUCUAGAUUUAAUUUCCCUUAAAAUUAGGUUAUUUAAUCCAAGAAAUCAAUUCAAAUCAUAUAUUCAAUUCAUCUUAAAUUAUCUUCCAAUUAUUCACACAAUGCAACUAUUCAAUCUCAUCAAAUCUAGCUUUUAAGAAUUUAAUGAAUCUACCUAGUUUGCAUUGUAAUAGUCAUCCAUGACAAUUUGAAGAGAAAAAUAAUUCAAUUAAUCAAUCACUUGGAUCAAAUUACCUUUGCAAUUAAAGUUCAUUUCUCUAAUUCACCACAGAUUUUGUCUCUAGAUCCUCCUUUCUCAAAGAAAAAUGAGAUUUAGCCACACAUGAUUGGAGAUUUGGUCUCAUAAGGCAUGUUUAGCUAGUGAUAAAAUGAGAGAAAAUAAAGAAAAAUAGAGAAUUCGAUUAAGAAAGAAAAUCUAAAAAAUUCUACAAUUAGAAAUGUCCAAAAAGCUUUUUCAUGAGAAAAUCAAGUUUCUAUUUAUAGGCCAAGGUCAAGUGGACACUUGACAUCAUCUAAGAGGUCUUCCGGAAGCUUCUUCAUCAAGAAAUCUGGAGUUUAAUAAUAAAAUGGUCAUUUCACAAGAGCUCAAACAAUUUCGCAUGAUUAUGUGAAAUAAAAAAUGCAACAACAGCAAUUUACAUCUUCUUGGAGCAUUUCGCAUGACUGUGUGAAAUUUUCACAUGAUCAUGUGGAAUCGACUUGACAACUCUCAUUUAGCCUACAACAUAAUUCCACCUUUUGGUCCAUUUUUCAUAGUCAUGCGAAAUGGAAAUAUUUGAUUUUUAAGUUUUCUUUUGUCAUUUCUUUCAUUUCCUUCUCUUGAUUCCACUUCAACUACCUCCGAAUCCUGGUCCAAACCAAUUGCAUUACUUCUUUCAUUAUGCAUUUGGAUCAUCAUCAACAUUAUUUGUUCUCUUCAAUUUGAUUCAUCUCUUUUGUCACCAAUUUAUCAAAAUCAUACCUUGAAAUGACUCCAAAACUUCAUAAAACUUGUUAGUAACUCUUGCAAGGGCAACAACAUAUUAAUUAAGUGUUUUAGGCAUAGUUACUACUCAAAAGAUGCGAAACUCAUGAUAAUUAUUAUAUAAAAUAUGCUCUUUUUGAGUAGUAAUCAACUUUCUUGCAUAAGCAGACCUUUUAGGGUGGAGUACUAAAGACCAAUAUGCUUGUCCUUGUUGUAAUAAAGAAACUUGCUCUUAUUGAUUGCACCAUGGGAGAAAAUUUUGCUACAUGAGUUAUCAUCAAUUUCUUCCCACCAAUCAUAGAUUUAGACGUGACAAGAGGCCUCUUAAUGGCAAGGAGGAACUGACACUCACACUUAUACAAUUAUCGGGCAUUGAUGUGUUGCAACAAUUAGAAUAACUUACACCAAUUAUGUUGGGGAAGUCACAAAAGGCAAACAUGAAAACUAAAAGGAAAAAAGAAAAAUGUUACAUAUCACCACAACUGGAAAGAAAAAAGUAUUUACUUUCAUUUGCCAUAUUGGAAAGCACUUAUUUUACAUCAUAAUAAUUUAGACAUAAUGCAUAUUGAGAAAAAUGUGUGACAAUAUAAUUGAGACAUUGUUCAGUAUUGACGAAGAAACAAGGACAACCUAAAUAGUCAUCUCGAUUUACAAGCUCUAACUAUUAGAAAUGAGAUUCACCCAAUAGAAAGCAGGACCAAAUUUAUUUUGCUUGCAACAUGCUACUCACUCACCCCAAAUGAGAUUAAGGAAUUUUGCAAGUUUUUGAAAUCAAUAAAGGUCCCCAAUGGCUAUUCUUUCAAUAUCUCUCGUUAUGUGCAACUCAAUGAAAGGAAGAUAUAUGAGCUCAAAUUGUAUGAUUGUCAUGUCCUAAUGCAACAACUUCUCUCACUUGUAGUUCGUGGAGUUCUACAUAAGAAUGUUUGUGGAGUUAUCAUAGAAUUGCGUAAUUUUUUCAAGCAAUUGUGCUCAAAGGUGUUAGAAACAAAUCACUUACACCAACUUGAGAACAAUAUUAUUGUCAUACUAUGUAAAAUGGAGCAAAUAUUUCUUCCAUCAUUCUUUGAUAUUAUGGUGCAUUUACUUGUGCAUCUAGUAAGGCAAAGGUUGCAAGACUUGUGCAAUAUUGUUGGAUGUACCUAAUUGAACGAUAUUGUUAUAAUUUCAUAUGAAUCAUUUAAUUUUAUUUUAUAUUAUGUUCAGUUCAUUAACAUGUACAUUGGUCUACAUAUGGAUGAUGAUAGGUACCUAAGCACUUUAAAGUCAUAUGUGCGUAAUAGAACUUUUCUAGAAGGUUCUAUUGUAGAAAGGUACCUUGCAAAAGAAUGUACAACAUUUUAUUCUAGGUACUUGAAUGAUGUGGAAAUAAAGUAUAAUCACAAUGAUAGAAACUUUGUUGGUUUCAACACUAGAGGAGAUGAAAGGGGUUAUCUUUAAACAUAUUGGACAUGCAUUGGGAAAGCCCAUAUUUCAUUAACUUAGUUCAAAAGAGUGGUCACAAGCACAUUUAUAUGUGUUGACAAAUUGCGAAGAUGUCAUACCAUUCAUUGAGUAAAAAAUUUAUUUGAAUUUUAAUUAAAGCUCUAGUUUAUAUCCUUAAUCAAUGUUUUUUAAAUUCACAAGGAGCACAAGCAAACCAUCAAGGCUAGACCACAUAUACGUGUUUGAGACGUAGAUUUAAUUCAUAACAAGGAAUUUAUCAAGUGGUUUGAAAGACAUGUAAGUAUAUUCCUUAUUAUAAGGGAUUUAUUUCACAUUAUGUUUAUAUUGAAUCCAAACCUAUUAUUGAAUUGUAGGUUGAACAAUUACAUAAUGAAGGUCAUAUAUCUGAACACCUUCUCACAUUAUCAUGUGUUCCAAAUUCAUUAGUUACAUGCUUCAAAUGAUAUAUUGUCAAUGGAUUUAGAUCCCACAUUAAAGAACGUGAUAAAAAAGUUUUUAAAAAAAGACUCAGAAUAAUGGAAUUGUUGUAGUUGCAAAAACGUCAAGCUUUACAAGUGCAUGUGAUAUGAGUCCAAUUAUUAGUGAUGCUCUCUACUAUGGUGUUCUAACUAAAGUUGUUGAGUUACAUUAUCUUGGUGAAAAUAAGGUUGUUUUAUUCGAGUUUGAUUGGUGGGAUGUUACAAAUAUUGGAAAAUUGAUAAAAGAUGAUGAGUACAAUUACACAUUUGUUAACUUUGCAUGAAUUCUAACCACGAACGAACGAUUUGUACUUGCAUCUCCAGCAAAGUAAGUGUUCUAUGUGAAGAAUGCGAAUGAAUCAGAUUGGCAUACUAUCAUGGAGAUGCAACCUCAAGACCUCUAUAAGAUGAACGGGAUAGGAUCCAAUGGUGAUUUUGAACCAUUUCAACAAAGUGAACUACAUGAUCACUAAUAUAUCUCAGAUUUAGUUGAUGAAGAUAUAAUCAAGUGGAACAAAAGUGAUGUUUUAGGACUAAUCAUCCUAAAAAAUAUUGUAGUUUCUUAAAAAAAAAAUGAAAAUGAAGAAGAUAAUUGAACCUUUGUCAUACUUUAAAAAGCAACUAUGCAUUGUUCAUUUUGUAUGUUUUGGUUUUCUUCAUUUAAUUUCCUGAUUUUUGUGAUUCAAUGUCAUAUUAUUGAUCUUGAAAUAUUUUUCUAAUUUUUCAUUCUACGAUGGUUUCAACAAGGAUGACAUCAAGUCAAAAAAGGAAAUGUGGUCCCACACACAAUAUUGCAUUACAGGGAUUAAGGUCAGGGAAGAAGGUAAAAGUUGCAUUUAAUGAGUACAAUCAAUUGGUUAAACAGAAAAAUGGAAAACACUUAUCGAGCUACAUAGGGACACUUGUAUCUAACCAACACAAUGUACCUCUCCAAGCUAGUGAUUGGAAAAAUGUUCCAAAUGAUGCAAAAGAGAAAGUAUGGCCUUUGUUUUGGUAUGUUGUAUUUCUCACUAUAUGAUGUCAUUUCACUGUUAUUCUAUUUUGUGACUAACGUUUGAAUCAUAUGUAAGAAAAAUUUGAAGUAGAUAAAGACUGAAAAGAUUACAUGUUGGGUAUAGCCUCAAAUAAAUAUAGAAGCUAUAAAAAUAUGAUGAAUGCAAAAUACUAUGACCCUUGGCAUAAGGAUGCAUGAGGAGAGGUUAAUACAUAAAUCACCAUUUGUCUCUGAUGUUGAUUGGAAGUGGCUUGUCUCUGAUGCAUAAACCAAAUCCCCCACUGAAUGUUUGAUAUUUGAUAGCAGGAAAAACACACCCGCAGCUAUACACCUCCAUCAUUCAGAUAAUUAUAGUGGGGGAGAUGAUUCAUGGUUGCCCUUAUACCCUUUAUUUGCACCAUCUAUUGAGAUUCUUUAUCAUGGCCAGGUUUUACUGCAGCAAUAAGAUAUGGUGGCAACAAUUUUAUCUAUAGGUGCGGUUCCAGACCGCCUCCAUAGGUGCGGUUCCUGACUGCCUCCAUAGGUGCCUCUUCUUGUAAUGUUUGUUCUGGGAAUUACACUUGAAAGCCUUAUCGUGAUAAGGGAUUACAAACACUAGUUCAGAGGACAGCCAUGUUAAACUUCCACUAUGUUUGUGUCACAUUAUCAGCAGCCUAGUGUUUAUUGGUCAUGCUAUCUGCAACUAAUAUAACCCGGUGAACUUCAAUCUAAAUUCUGAAAGUACUCAUGUGACAGAUGGUGCCUUUCAGCAGAUAUCAUCAAUUUAAAAGUAGUGUGUGUGCCUAUAGGUGGGAAGGCCUUGGCAAAUGUUCAGUAUUCCGGUAAUUCAAGAAGGAUAUAUCUAAAAUAGAUUUUCUUCUUGCCCAUUUCAAUAGUUAAAAUUUGAGAAGAUUGUGUCCACAUCACACAAAUAUUAUUGGUCCUUCUGUUGCAAUUUACCUCUGAACAUGUCUUCCAAUUCCCACGGUCCUGUUACUCCAGGAAAACUAUUUCGGUCAUAUUGAAAAAAAAAAUAUUAAAGAAGGUACACAUGCUUUUAAGUGGACUGGGGCAUUCAUAUCAGGUGGUCUGUAUCCACAUAUGCCACUUCGUGAAAGGUGGAACAGCCUAAUCACUAGGCUAUUUAGUGUGGCCCAGCCACGUUAAUCAAGCACAAGUCUUCAUACUUAAAGUCAAAUGGUGUCUUUAGUCUCAUUACACAUCGCUAUUUGAAGAUUAACUCAUCACUAGUGUAAUGCGAUUAAGACAGUCCUAACUCAAUAUUUGUUCUAGUUUUGGAUGCAAAUGCUUGCUGGUUUCAUCAUUGGAUGGGAUAAAGGUGCAAUCAGGACUAUGAAUACGUGCAGUAAUACUUCAUUCUCUUUUUUCUCAAUGAGACUUCUUGGCACAAUUUUGCUGCUCAGCAACCUACCUUUCCAUGGAAAAUCAGUUGUGACUGAUAGUAAUGGAUAUAUUCUAGAAAGCUAAACAUAGAUAGCAUUCAAUAUUAUCGAUAUAACAUUAACAGCGUAUGUCUCAAUGCUCAUCAGCUACAAGCAAUGGACAAACACUUUGAGUAACUCACAGCAGUCAAAAUUCCUAAACAGGACAGACGUGACAGAUCUAUAUAUAGAACACUGCAUAUGAGUCACAGGAAAAGAUAAUACGGGUACAUAGAAGCUCUUAUUUUACAUAUUACUCAUACUGAUCAAAGUCGCUCAGUUGGGAUGGAUGGGAGAAGGAGGUUUGAGGGGUGGCUUGUGCGGGGAAGUUGGCAGCUUCUUUCCGGGAGCUGGUUGCUUCUUUGCUGGAGUUGAAGGAGGCUUAAUCUUCCGAGGUGGCUUGUAUGAGUCUUCAGCAUUCUCAGCAGGAGGGUGACCAGGGUUGUGACCAUAAUGUGGUGGCUUCUCUCCCUUAGGUGGUUUGCCAACUGGGGUUGGUGGCUUGUUUUCUGGGAGUGGCUUCUCUCCCUUGGGUGGUUUGCCAACUGGGGUUGGUGGCUUGUGUUCUGGGAGUGGCUUCUCCCCCUUGGGAGGUUUUUCGAAUGGGGUGGGUUUGUGUCCUGGUGGUGGCUUCUCUCCCUUGGGAGGUUUACCAAUUGGGGUCGGUGGCUUGUGUUCUGGGAGGGGCUUCUCUCCCUGGGGAGGUUUAGUGGGUGGCUUGUGUUCUGGAGGUGGCUUCUCCACCGGAGGCUUAUGCUCUGGUGGUGGCUUCUCGAAGGGGGGAUGCUCAGGGUAAUCACCAAGUGAGGGGGUGGUGAGAACCACCAUGCCAAGCAACAACACUAGCAAGUAUGUAGUAGACAUCUUUGGGUUUGGACUCAGACAGUGCAAAACUACGAGAAAUCGCUAGCCCUUUAUAGCGGCUCGGACCUAAUACUGACAUAAUAUAAAAUAAAUAUUAUAUUUUAUCAAGAGAGAACAGAGUGUAAUUUUAUCAUUAAUACCGAUCGAGGCCAAAGAAAGAAGACCCAUAAUCCAUUUCCCACAAGCAUACACAAUGCAGCUGUAAUUUUAUCAUUUACUUUUAUCCCUUGGACCACUGCAUUUUUGUUGAGAGACACAAUAACACAUUUUUAUCUGUCAUUCAACAUUUACAGUAAAGAGAGGGCACAAAACGCAAUUAGAUAAAUUAUGUUUUGCCUGCUAAAAAGAGGCAAAUAACUUUAUUUGCAACAUAAUUAUUUUGGUUUCUAGUGACCCCGGGGCCUUUCGGUUGGUUUGGGAUCGGAAAAUGAACAUCAUAGGGGGGGUUGUGCCCUUAUGGGCAUAUAUAUCUGAUAGCUUCAACUGGCCUUGUUCCUAGAAAGAAAUUGCCAAAGAUAUAAACUUAUUCCAGGCUGAAAGUAGAUGAGAGUCAUAAUGAACAUCAACCUUUGUUCAGUUUGAUUCAAUGCCCCCAUAGUGUUCAUUUCACAGAUCUGAAUGAUUAUAUCCGUUGAAUACAUAAAUUAAUGAAGACAAAUAUGAAACCCAAGAUACAUCUCUGCAUAACAACCCCAACCCUGGUUGCUAUGUUUCCCUUCUUCUAUUCACAUGAGGAUACUGGUUAUAAUUGUCAAACUUGCAACAAGCCCUUUGACACCUAACGUCAAUGGACGAAUUAAAAGUCUCCUUCAAACGUCUAUUUCACAGCAUGAAGCUUAUAAAGGAUGCUGACAACCUUCAGAGUUAGCGACAAAAGAUAAUUAUCAAGGAGAGAUAGUUCCAUGAGAAUUCCAAGGAGUCUGAAUCAAAGACAAAUUGCUCACUCAAGGGUUCUUAUUUUCUUUUAGGUACAAAUCUCUUGAGUGUUGUUAAAGAAACACGUCACUGUCAUUUUGAUUUGCAUUUAACAUUUCACUUUUGUUCUGGAAGGUUUGUUCCGGAAACAUAUCAAAUGAGCAUCAUUUUCUUCUUCGGUGACACAUGGUCGCGAGUACGUGGGUCCAUUUUCAUGCCACUUAGUUGAAAAGUUGGAAAGAAAAAACAUGCCAACAAGAAGAUAGUGAGAGAAGGGGCACUUCAAGCCUUUAACAUGAACAAACAGUAAAUAAAAGAUGUUUCUCCACUCAUAAAAGUGUGUUAGAUAGCAAUAUAACGAAUCACAUCCAAAAUCUUUACUAGGCUCAAACAUAAAGAAGACUCAUUUUUAAGAAAAGAUAAAAAUGGCAUUGUCUGAUAGUAUCCAAUACACGAGAUGGCACUUAAUUUGUACAAGAUCUGUCAAUGCUGACGCACAUUUUCUGAUUAAAAAAAAACUGAUCAGUCAAAAGCAAUGAAGAGAAGUGAUGACAAUGAAUGAUGCUUCCAAUAUUUUCACCCCUUAUAGUGUUCUUCAUGAUUCAGAUAUAUAAUUGGAAAUAGAACAACCCUAUGCCAUACAUUCGUCUAAGUAUGGUGUCUAAUUUUUUGUGUCAGCGGUUGCGAAUGGAGCGUGCAAAAGUCCAAAUUGGCGUCUCUCCAUUUCCACAUAGGAAGGUGACCUUUAUUGACAAAUACCCAAUAUUUGUAGACAUUCCUUAAAUAUCAUAACUUCUUGUUGAUUUGAAAAUCAUUUUUCAACUACCAUGUUUUAAUAAAUAUUUUUUAAAAUGUAUUUUUAUCAAAGUCCACCAUGAUGGAUAAUAUUCACCAUGCAAUAAUUAAUAAAGUACAAACUAAGCGAAAUGAAAAGCAUUUUCUUUGCUUUGAGUUGAUUUUGGUUGCAUUGAGUUGAUUUUGGUUUCAUGGUUUUUUCAACUCUUAUUUUGAUUGGAAGAUGUCAAGAAAAGAAAACAUAAAGAAAAAUUAAAAGGGAAAAAAGAAGAAAAAUAAAAAAAAAUAGAUUUAAAAGUUAAUAAAUUAUUUUUUAUAUUUAUUUUAAUUCAUUUCACUUAUUUUUCUUUUACUAUAUAAAAUUUAAAUAAUUUAAAUUUUAUAAUUAAUUUAAUUACAUUUCAUUUUCUUCUAUAUUUAAAUAUUGGAAAAAUAUUUUACUUAAUAUUUUUUUCUUUAAUUUCUUUGGCAUUUUGGGAACCAAACUUAGCCUUUAAAAUAAAAAACAAAAAAAAAAUGAAAAUAAGGAGGGAAAAGUGAGAAAAGAUAAAAACAAUAUGUAAAGGAUUUGAAAAGUAUUAGUUUGUAAUUACUAUUUGGAUUUCAAUAGUAUUUUAUUUGUCUUUCUAUAUUUCAUGUAAGAGAGAAUUUAAGAUAUUCCCCAAGGCAAAGCAUUAGUUACCUGCAAUCAGUGGUGAUAAGGCUCCAAGCCAAUUUUGGGCCCCAUAUCUUAAGACAGUACAAUUUCCAUUUCAACAUUUCUGAUUUCUCAGAUGUUUCACAUACCACAGAAGAACAUUGUUUGUGAAAAUAUGCAUUUAUGUUGGAUUUUGUAUGCUGUGGGGACUGGGGCAAGGAUCAUAUGGAAGAGUGGUUGACUUUUUCUGUACUUUAACGGUUGAAAUAGGAUAAGCACGGGCAUUUGUGAGGCUUAAUUGAUUUUGAAGCCUGAAAUUGCGUUUCUGUCAUUUUGUCAAAAAAAUGGCAGAUUCCAUACUCAUAUGUUUGGCCUGUGGCCAUGUACAGAUGCCAUUUAGUGACCAGUUUGUAACUGUCAAUCGUUGCGUUUUGACUCUGCCUCAACAACAUCUGCCAUUGACGGGUUUUCAUACUUGCAAAUCAAAUAGUCUUUCGUCCCAUCAGGAAUUUCGGUUUAAAUAUUAUUAAGCAUACGUUUGGCUGACAAUCAUUAUCCAGUUCAUGAUUUGGUUUCUUACCCUUAAUCAAUGGUUUCUAAGUGAAUAUAUGUAGAAGGAAAUCCGAAGUGUAGACAGUAGUAUCGAUAACUCUCAAUAUUCUCUAUAUAAUAGAAUAAACAGCGUCAUAGUGAUCGUCGCCUACAAGCAAGGUACAAAUACCAAAACGAGUGACUCACAUAGACAUCUCCCAACAAGAUGUAGUAGUGACUGACACAUGGACACAAUUAACUCGUAGAAAAGGAUAAGACCAUUGCACAGCAGCUCUUAUUUUACAUACUACUUAUGCUAACCAAAGUCAAUUAGUUGGGAUGGGUGGGAGAUGGAGGUUUGUGCGGUGGCUUGUGGGGCGGAGUUGAUGGCUUCUUUCCAGGAGCUUCUGGCUUUUUCAUCGGAGCUGAAGGAGGCUCAAUCUUAUGAGGCGGCUUGUAUGAGUCUUCUUUACUCUCGACAGGAGGGUGGCCAGGGUUGUGAUCAUAAUGUGGUGGCUUCUCUCCCUUAGGUGGCUUGCCAACUGGGGUUGGUGGCUUGUGUUCAGGAAGUGGUUUCUCUCCCAUGGGAGGUUUAGCAAUUGGGGUUGGUGGCUUGUGUUCUGGGAGUGGCUUCUCUCCCUUGGGAGGUUUAGUAGGUGACUUGUGUUCUGGAGGUGGCUUCUCCACCGGAGGCUUGUGCUCCGGUGGUGGCUUCUUGGUUGGAGGGGGCUUGGGGUAAUCAGCAAGAGAUGGGGUGGUGAGAACCACCAGUCCAAGGAACAACACUAGCAAGUAUGUGGGAGACAUUUUUGAGUUUGGGCUGAUCAGAUGAUGCAAAACUAAAGCAUUACGUGACCUUUUAUAGCAUGUAGCUCCCAAUACCCACUAAGUAUUGUGGGGUCCAUUUGUGCCCUACGGGGUUGAAAACUUAGACAAUUGGGCAAGGACCCACCUGACUAUGGAGGACUAGUGAGGUGUGAUCAUAGCUUUAGGAUUUUUCUUCCUCUGCAGCCGUCGUGCCGUUGGCAUGAUUUUCUUAAUCUUAAAUAAAGGCAUAGUUAUAGAGUUGUUUAAUCUCUAAAUGGGAUUUUAUAUAUAUCUUCAGAUAGCCAUUAAUAUAUUUGAUGAAGAAAGAAAGACAAGUGCAUACAACAUGUAUACGACUAGCUUUCAUGGAGUUCAUUUAUGAUCAGUUUUCCUGUACAUGUAAACCAGGAUCAUAUAUAUGUUUCUGUUCCACAACUAUUUUGGAAUCUUGUUUAUCAGUUUUUAUCAUUAUAAUGUCACAUAGGCUGCCAACUUGGGCGCUAAAAGAACCAGUUGGGCUAGUUCGUUUCAGAAUUUCAAUGUGGAUUCAGGAAUUGUUUUGUAAGAUAUGCGAAAUAGUAGAGGGAUGAAUAGUGUUUCAUUAAUAAAAGUGUCCUGUAAAUUAGAAGGUGUCAUAGAAACUAUAAUCAAUAAAUAACUUUUUUUCCCCACGGGUGGUGUUUCUUGUGGGGAUCAGUGACUGGUUUAGGUUCACCCAAAAUGAGUUCAGACUAAAAUUGGUUUGAGUCAAUGCCGUGUCUCUUUUUUCCAGAAAUCAACUAUUUUAUGCAUUGAAUAAAUCAUACAAAGAAAAUAUGAACGCCCGCAAAACCUAAACCCUGGUUGCUAACUUUCUAUGUUUCAGUUCUAUUCACGCAAGAAUAUUAGUUUAAGUUUGGGAAAAAUGGCAACUUACCUAGUGAUUACUUGGUUUUGGUUUGCGACUAUUUACGCAACCAACCAUGAGUUUGACUUUAACGUCAUGGGUUGAAGCCUCCUACAGGAAGGGAGAAAGCUCCACAGCUAGCUCCAAAAGAGAAUUAUCACAUUGAUAGCUCCAGAGAUUCCCAAGGGGACUGAAUCAAAGACAAGUUCCUCACUUUUUCUUCUUUUGAGGCCAAAUAUGAACCAAGGAUCACACAACCUCAUUCAACUUCAUAAGUUUGAUUUCAUGCAGUUGAACACUGGGUGAAGGCCAUGACAAGAAUUGAUUCAAAAAUUCUAUCACUCUUUUAAGUAAUGGAAGAUUAUUAUCUCUGAUUGGCAUCACAACAGCACAUGCUCCUAGAUCUUUCUAGACACUCCAUGCAAUGAAAGCACAAUGGAUCUUGUAACGAUAGAAACUAAGCCAUGCUACAGUACUAGAUGAUGAGGUAAAACUAGUAGACACGGGUGGCAGCCUAUAUGGGAGGGACACAAGUCUAAUUGAUUUGCAUUUCAGCAUUAUAGAUAGGUAUGUUUUGGAAGAUUUGUUCUGGAAAUACCGCACCAAGUAGGAUUCUUUUUCUCUUUAGUGGGUCCACUUGCAUGCCAAUUAACGAGUUGAAAAGUAUGAGCACCUACCUCGUGCUCGUGGAACCGAAGGUCAGUGAAGUGGGGCUCCUUUUGGCCUCGUGUAAACUUGAUUCAGAAGUGAAGUUAAUAGUCUUCCAUUCAGAUGGAUACAUGGGAAUUUUUCUCUUUUAUUUAUUUAUUUAUUUUUUUUUUGUGUGUGUAUGUCAAAGGAUAAUGAAUGAAGCGCGUUAGCUUGUUUUCUGACUGGAACCGCAGAUGUCCAAAUUGGAGUUCCUUCAUUUCUUACUUAGGAUUGUUACAUGUAUAAACAAGGUAUAAGAAAUAUGCCAACGUGUCUUGAGGAGUUAUUGAUUAGAAAUAACAAGUCACCCGACUGUAGAGUUCCAAGAUUUGAAUCUUCAGACCCUAUAGCAGCCUCUGGGGUACGUGGCAUCCUAUAGCAUAUUAAUGAAGGCUUUUUCGAUUUAGACUUCACAAUACCAAUUAAUAUGUAUGCACAAAAUGGAGAUGACCCCAAAAAAAACAGAAUCGCCAUAGUUUAUGAGGUUAAGGUGAUUCUCCACUUAAUAUCUACAUUAGCUAAUUAUGUAAAUCAAAUGAACUUCUAUUUUUCCUUUUUUUUUUUGGUUUAUGUCAAAUAGUAGCCCAUAAUUAACCCAACCAUUAGCCUGUUUGAAUUGAUUUCACAUGCACAAUGUUGUAGUAGUUCAUAUUUUGAAUUUUAUUUUUACAAAGGUAGUUAAGGAAAAUGAAGUAUAAUAAUUAUAAAAGCAGACUAUAUACACUACAAUAAUUGUUAGAAUGGUAUCUCAAAUUCUAAUUUAAAAUAUUAUUUUUUGUAAAAGAAAUAUUAUAUAGAAUAUUUCCUAAUUUUAUAAAUGAUUAUAAUUAGAUCUUUAUAAAAUAAGGAAAGUUGGUAAGAAUAUCUUUAUAAAUAUUUUAGGUCAUGAGAGAAAGAAAUGGGAUAAAAAUGUGAUGAAGAGGUGAAAUAAGAGAGUUGAUUAGGAUAUAGAUGUGAAGAAGAAAGGGAUUCAAUAUAUAUAUAUCUUUCAAUUACCACAUUAAAACCCUGUGAACCUUUUAUAUGGUUUACUUUAUUUUUAUAUUCCUCCUUUAAUAUAUUUACAUUAAUGCUUCCAUUGGCACAACAAUAACGAAUUACAAAUACAAGCAACAAGUCCCAUGUUUUAUUACCAAAAGCAGGUAAAAUCCACCUAAUAUAUUACAAUAUAUUCAUCCAAUAUUUUAGACCAAUUCUUCACCAUAAAUAUCAUAAUGUGGCUUUUGUUCUUUCUUAAAUUUAAAUUGAAUUGUCUUAUAUCAAUUUGUUUGUGAUUUUUUCAUUAACUUCACUUUCAUUUGGUUAUCUUUGGUUUUUGAAAAGUAUUAAGGAAUUAAUUAACAAAAUAAUGUUAAGAAAAAUAAUUUUCUCUCUUUUGAUUUUGAUUUUGUAGUAGAAAAAUAUAAUUAAAAUUAUUUAAAAAGUAUGUAAUUUUAAAUUAUUUAAUAUUUAGAUAAAAAAAAUAAGUCUAAUGAGUUUAAAAUAACAUAUAAAAAUAAUUUAUUUAUUUUAAAUUUAUUUUUUAUUUUCCAUUAUGUUCUCUUUCUCUUUUACUUUUUCAUAUUUUUUCUUACGAAGAAUCAAACACAACCUCAUAUUAUAUGUCAAGUGUUUGUCUAUAUUUGAGCAAUGUUAGAUACGGCCAUGGAUUCAUCAAACUAAACUGAUUUUAAUAGAUACUUCACAAAUUGAUUUAUACACUAAAUCAUUGGAUAGCAAUGAUGCAUUGGAAUUAAACGUAGGAUGAAGCUCGAAGAACACUGUUUGUGUAACAACAUAUUUAUGAAAUUAUGCAAAGGAUGAGCUUCGGGGUAGUAGUACAAGGUCAUUAAUGGAGAGCCGUGUUAAACCUUGAUUGUGAUUGGAUUCCGUUAUCAGCAACAGCAACCUUGUUUGUAACCUUGAAAGUCAUUCUGUCCACAUCGAAACUCCAAUUUGACGUUUGUAAUUACCAUUCCUGGAGUGUUCCUUGAUUGAAAUUUAAAUAAUAAUUGCGGCCCACAAGGAAUAUUUUCGAUUCUGUGGGAAUUUGACAAGGUUUGUUAGAGAAGACUGGUGACAUGUUGACUUCAAUGGUUCAAAUAGGAGACGUAUGUGGAUUUGGGGGGUUUAAUUGAAACUGAGUCCCUAUGGCUUUUUAAUAUUUGCAUUGAGCAGUCUCCAUGUGACUUCCUAAUUCCCACCAACCCUCCUGUCCAUGCUGUGAAACUAAAUUGUAAUUUAUCAGCCUUUGUCAAUGGUUUCUAAAUUAAAGAUAUAGACCAUGCAUGUACUUUAAUAAAAGCAAAUCUAAAGUGUAGAUAGCAGCAAUGGUGACACCCAAUAUUCUCCAUAAAAUAGAAUUAGAAUAAGCAGUGUUACAUUGUUCAUGAUCACCUACAAGCAUACAAGAACUUCCAUGAAUAACUCAUAGCAAUUGCCAACAGGGCGUCGUAGAGACUCAUACAUAGAACACUAUCCACCCAGAGGAAAGGACAAGACCAGUGCGCUGCAGCUCUUAUUUUUCACAUGUAUACCACCACUCGUAAUAACCAAAUUCACUCAGUUGGGAUAGGUGGGAGAUGGUGGUUUGUGGGGUGGCUUGUGGGGAGGAGUUGGAGGAGGCUUUAUUUUCUGAGGCGGCUUGUAUGAGUGUGCAGGAGGAUGCCCGGGAGUGUGACCAUAAUGUGGUGGCUUCUCUCCCGUAGGUGGUUUGCCAAAUGGGCUUGGUGGCUUCUCUCCCUUAGGAGGUUUACCAAUUGGGGUUGGUGGCUUGUGUUCUGGGAGUGGUUUCUCUCCCUUGGUAGGUUUGCCAAUUGGGGUUGGCGGCUUAUGUUCUGGGAGUGGCUUCUCUCCCUUGGGAGGUUUGCUAAUUGGGGUUGGCGGCUUAUGUUCUGGGGGCGGCUUCUCUCCCUUGGGAGGUUUGCCAAUUGGAGUUGGCGGCUUAUGUUCUGGGAGUGGCUUUUCUCCCUUGGGAGGCUUGCCAAUUGGGGUUGGCGGCUUAUGUUCUGGGGGUGGCUUCUCUCCUUUAGGAGGUUUGCCAAUUGGAGUCGGCGGCUUAUGUUCUGGAAGUGGCUUUUUUCCCUUGGGAGGUUUGCCAAUUGGGGUUGGCGGCUUAUGUUCUGGGGGUGGCUUCUCUCCCUUGGGAGGUUUGCCAAUUGGAGUCGGCGGCUUAUGUUCUGGGAGUGGCUUCUCUCCCUUGGGAGGUUUUGUUGGUGGCUUGUGUUCUGGAGAUGGCUUCUCCCCUGGAGGCUUGUGCUCCGGAG